AUUAACAAAUCUUUCUUUGUUUGUUGAACUUUUCUCAUAUUUAUACCUAUUGAAAACCACACAAAUUUUCAAAUAACAAAGAAACAUAGUAAAUUCCAUACAUCAAAUUCAAAAUAUUUUCCAAUAACAUAAAAGAAGGUUCACAAAAAACAACUACAAGUCAUUACGUUAUAUAGAUUAAUCCAACCACAUAUCCAAGUUCAUAAAAUAUACAAAUGCAAGUUGAUUUCACUAAGAAACAUUUUGUCCAAAUAGCCAAAACAUAUGCAUGCUGCUUUUAACAAAAUAUAUGCAUGCUGCAGCUCUUAACAAAAGAUAUGCAUGCUGCUUUUAACAAAAUAUAUUGUUGUUGAAAUGUCAAUUGUGGUUACUUUGUCCAAGUAACAUGAGUACGAAAGCUUUUUUCAUUGCACCAUCCAAAGACAAGAAUGUCCUCUCAUUCUGUGGCUUUUCGAAAAGAAUAUUGAGUGCCUUGAUUUGAUCCUCAAUAGACAAAUCCAUCUUUGACAAUUCUGAAGCAAUCUCAGGUUUUGGAUCCACUCCUUUCCCAAAAGCAGCUUGUAAAACUUCACCCAACUUAUCCACUGAUUCAGAAAGCAUUUCUUUAAAUGCCACAGCAAGAUCAUUAUCAUUAGCAGCUCUCUUCCUUUUCCGGGUACUUGAACUGCUUGACCGUCGAGCAACAGAAGGAGAACUAGUCUCCACCUCAUCUUCAUCUUCAUCUUCAUUAAUGUGCUCUGGCUCAUUCAUCAUCUCAGUAGGAGUUGCUGCUCCUACUCCAGUUGCUCGGUCUUUCCCAAAAAAUAACAUUCAAUCUGUCAUACAAUGGAAACGAUUUUCCUAGCCAGCCCUCUGCUUCUUUGUUAACCUGCAAUGCGAAAACAAAUCACACUAUCCAUAAAAUACAAAUAAUCUUAUUUUGUUCCAGAAUGGGGCUAGAUGAUAUGGUUUGGUAGACACAAUCAUACUAUUAAAUUGUAUGUAAAGGAACAUGUUAAGUAAUCAAAUAUGUAAAGUUAAAUUCUAGUAUUAAGUUACAGAAUUACCUUCACAUAUGACUGCCAUACUUCAUUGCUAUCAACCUCAAUACAUUUUCGUACAUCAUUCCAUGCAAAACCAGUUUUAUUAACCAUGUCAUAAACUAUUGCAUAAUCUUUUUUCCACCUCCUCAUUUUGGACUCAAUAUGUGGAACUGCCUUUAUAUUGGCAUUAGGACAUUUCAAAUUAAUUGCAGUUUCAAAUUGAGCCAUUGUUCCGGGUUUGAAACAACCGUUAUCACAUCGCAAAUUCUUAACAACUGCAUCCUCAAGUAUGGACAGCAAUGCAUCUUCUUCAUAUUGUUUCCAAACCCUUCUACUUCCUUUUGGUUGACUACUUUGUUCACUUUCCAUUCCUAUAAUUACAUACACAAUAAGAUAGCAUAUAAUCAACAGUGCAUAGAAUUAAUAGUAAGUGAAAAACCAUAAGCAAAUCAUCACACUUUUUAAAUAAAUACAUAACCAGGUCACACUUUGUUAAGUAUCAUAACCAAAUACAUAAGAAAUCACUAUUUGUUCAAAUAACAAACCAUAACCAAAUGACAACAUGCAUAUGUAAGAAAAUUUAAUCAAAUCACACUUGUGCACGCCACUCAUUGUACAUAUUCAUAGCCAAAGUGUUUCUCCAUGCAGUCCAUUCUUGUGUAGGUUGAACACUCUCAAUCAUAUCUUCAUCAUCAUCACUACUUUCAGAUUCGUCCAAGUUUAGGAUUUCAUUUUCUAUUGGAUCAGCUGACAUAUGCCUUCUAAUAAGAUUAUGUAAUAGGCAGCAGGCUGUCAUAAUUCUAAGUUGUGUUUUAAUUGGGAAAAAUGAUGGACCUCUUAAGAUACUCCAACGCAUCUUAAGUAGUCCAAAACAUCUCUCAAUGACAUUUCUAGCUUGAGCAUGUUUCAUAUUGAAAUACUCCUCAUGAUUAAUCGGGAGUCUUCUAUUUCUCCACUCCGAGAGAUGGUAACGCACUCCCCUAUACGGUGCAAGGUAUCCUGGACCAUUUGUAUACCCACCAUCCACAAGGUAGUAACACCCUAACACAUCAAAAAAUGUAUAUUACUAUAUAUAAGAAAAAUGAGGAUUCAAAUUACUAAUAUAAACAAAAAAUCUAUUGUUACCCGUGGGAACUUUUAAUCCCGAUGGUCUACUUAUCGCAUCUCGGAGUACUCUAGAAUCAGAGGCCGACCCUUCCCAACCUGGGUACACAAAUAUAAAAUUCAUGUCCAGAUUACAAACUCCCAACAUAUUGGUCGCAAUCUCUCCCUUCCUCGAUCGGUAUCUUGGUUUAUCUCGCUCAGGGACAUGAACGUUAAUGUAAGUCCCAUCCAAUGCCCCCAAGCAAUUCUAAAAAAAAUCAUUAACAUUAGUACGCUCAAUAUAUUUAAUUACAUUAAUUUUAGAAGUAAUUUUUAUAAAAUAUGAAGAAUACCUCAAACCAACUCCAUUUAGGAUCUGGGUAGGCAUUAGGAAUGGGUUCUGGCACUUUCAAAAGUCUACCUUGUAGCCUUAACACUCCAUGUAGAAUGGAAUUGAAAUACCUACUUAUGGUCUCCCCCGAUCGACAAAACCUACUCCCAAUUGUACGAUUCUUGACAUGAUGUGCAAGUAUAUGCAAAAACAUGCAAACUUGUUCUUCCAUUGUCACUACACCAUCCAAUUUUACUCUACCGUCGUCACGAAGCAUCUGACAUAAAUAAUGGAAUGUUCUUCUAUCCAUUCUAAUUUGGUUCACACAUUGAACAUCAUCAUAUCCUAUUAUGCUAUCUAAAUAGGCUGACCCUACCAUUCUCCUAACAAAUGUGCGAUUUCUAAGUGCAAGUUGCCGAUUCCGCCUUCUAGCUGAAUUAUGAUUCAUCAUAAACCACAUCAUCAACCAAGUCACAAUAUUCAAGUACCACAACUUAACAAUGAAGCAUGCCACAAUCUUUCUUUCAUCCAUGUCUAGUGAAAACAUAAAAUAACAUUAUUAGAUAGUGGCAAAAAAUUAAGUAACUGGAGCAUGAAUGCAUAAUAACACUGAAACGGAAGGAAACAUGUUAAUAAGUCCUACCAAAAAAUACAUGCGCCAACAGAUAAGAUGAGAGAGCUCAUUCAAAAAUCUAGAAUGGCCAAUAAACAAGAAACAACGUUAAAUUCAGCCACAAAAAACAUGAAAGCAAACAAACACAAGAGAAAUUGAUGAAAGCUGCCUAACCUUCUUAUCAGAAACAAAAGAGCAGAAGUUUCUUUGGAAUCACAUAAGCAAGAAGCGAAACUGAUGAAACGCCCUACCAACACUAUAAUACAAAAUGGCUGAUUGUCUCAUCAACCCUGAACAGUCAAUACCCAUUUGGGACAAUUGUCUCCCAAAUUCCCAAGAGGUCAAUGGUCAUAUCUAGUUAAGUAGCGAAUAAGCUCAUUGUCCAGCUACAACUUCUACCAACACCAAACAAAAGCCAACUAAAAUUGUUUCACCAGUACCCCAACAUUGAAAGCCUUUUGCUUUUAUCUCAAAGUCCCAGUUUUUCUAUUCCUCAACUGAACCCGCAUAAAAGCUAAUAAGCCUAGGACUCCAAAGCAAUACACUCAAUACAAAUAGCUAGCUUCAAAAGAGUCUUUAAAGAUGAUGUGAUAUAGGAAAGUAAAAGCUGCAUCUCUGUGGUAACAAAUUUAUCAGCCAGUAUCAACUAUCAAGGUUAUAAAUGAAGAAUUGCGUGGAAAAUAAUCUAGAGGACUAAACAAGAAGCAAAGAACCACAGAGGUACUUAGUGUAACAAUCACAAGGUAGCAAUGUGGUGUCAUGUGAGCAGCCAUUAGGGAACAAAAUGCACAGCGCUCAAUGUCACCAACAGGAUAAAGGACUAUAACCAAUCGCAUAAUUUGGUUCCAAUGGUAUAAAUGUAGCUUCUACACAACCUGAAAACAGGUUUCACAUCUGCCACAUCAUCAAUUUAAUGAAUUCAUACGAUAAAAUAGAUGAAUAAUAUAAAUUGAUAUGAUUCCAAAACCUCAGGAUUUAAUGUAAGAAAAUUAAUAUUUCAUGAUCCAUUUUGGAAAAUCACCUAAAUUGAUUAAAAGGUCGUACCCAGUGCACAAGGCUCCCGCUUUACACAGGGUCUGGGAGAGGUGAAUGUCGGCUAGCCUUACCCCCAUUUUAUGGAGAGGCUGCUCCCAAGUCUCGAACCCGAGACCUACCGCUCAUGGGCGAAGGCACUUGCCAUCGCACCAAGUGCGACCUCUAAAAUCACCUAAAUUGAUUAAGAAUGUAAAAUGCAGUUGAGCCAUUUCUUUAUUAAUCAACGGAUGAACAACAGUGGACAUGUAAGAUUUCAAAUCCUUGCUAUGAGUGGACAAUUUAUAUGUUGAAGCUCUAUCCCUAACAGCAAAAUUUAACAAGUUCAAAAAAUUCCAACCGAAGCCUAACUCACACUUUUCCAAGACGUCCAAACAGGUACAAUUUAGGGCCUUGUUAAAUUUUCCAAGACGUCCAAACAAGUUCAAAAAAUUCCAACCGAAGCUAUAACUUAUGGCCGUUUCUGAGAACAUUUGUAGACUUGGCAAAAAGCCGAGUCCGAGUGGAAAGGAAGGCGACAGCAAAACACAAGGGAAACAAGAGUUGAGUCUAAAACACAAGGAAGGCUACCCAAUCAUUAAUUCUAAUUAAAGUUAAACACCAACAACAAACCCAGAAGAAGAAAAUUGAAAACCCUAAAAUUCGACCCCAAUAGCAAACCCUAAAAUUCAAAAAUUCUAAUUAAAACACAAAUUUACAUAAUCAAUUGCAUAAUUAGAGAGAAAAUAAUAACUAGAUUCAAUCAAUUGCAAGAAAAAUAGGAGGAGGGGGAAGAAUAGAGGGAGGGGCGGAAUCCCAAAAUAAGAAAAUUGAAAAGACGAAAAUGUGAUUCAAACGAAGAAGAAGACUGUGAGAAGACAUACCUGGGAUGAGAAAGAUGGCGCCUGGAGAGGAAGAGAGAGUGCCUGGAGCGGAAGAAUUCGUCUGGAGAGGAGCGGAAGAAUUUGUCUGGAGAGGAAGUGGAAGACUGCGUCGGGAGAGAAGAGAGCCCGACUAAUUAUACCGUGAAAAUGGGUGGUAUAAGCAAGCGGGUACACACCGUGUAAAAAAGGUGGGCCCGGAUUAUUUAAUCCGGUGCUUAUUUAAUCCGAACUGUCACCAAACACCGUACACCGUAUUAUUAGUACUAUCCGAUCCGUUAUACGGUGUGCCAAACAUGGCCAAAGUGCAGAUCCAUAGAGAGAUUUGAGAUAUAUAACAAUUUGGAAUACAUUGUGCUGAUAACGUUUGAAAAAUGAAAUAAUUGAUUUCUAGAGAUGAUUUAUGGUAUUGAAAAAUUGACGGUUAUGAUAAAAAAUAUUGCUUUUACGAUAAUUCGUAUUGUUAGUUUGUUUGAUUUAUAUGGAUGAUUAGAAGUCUUCAAGUUCACUGAAUGUUUCUAAAUGAUCUUUAAUAAUCAUUAAGAGAAUUAAUUGUUUCGAUUAUGAUACGGUAAAAUGAGAUCACAGUAUCAUUUAAGGAUUUCUUUUUACAUGUAAGGAGACAUGUAGUAUCUCUAGUUAAAUCAUUGUGUUCAUGGUGGCAUACACUUAGGUUGAAAAAUGAUUCUUCUAGUGUUCUAGCUUGUCUCCGUUUCGGAUGACUUUAUUCCUCCAUGAUUAAUUGGUACGCAAUAGUUCCGCCAAGAUGAGCUUUGCCUUCCUCAACAUUAGUGUGACAUGACUCCCUCCGCAGGUGGUUAUUGUUUCUUUGCCUUCCAAUUUUCUUGGCUUGCCAUGUUACGAACUUUUAAAUUAGUGUGAAUCUCGACUUAGCCUCACUCUUUUCCCCCAACAUUUUUUUUAAAAGCCAACUUUCUAGUGGUUUAAAACACGUUGGCUACAGAGUCAACUUGCAACUGGUCAUAAAGCCAAUUUUGUAUGAAGCAUUUACUUAAUUAUGCUCCACUUGCAGAUUCAACCACACCAUAUAGCAGAGAGCAUCUCAAACUACUCAAAAAGAUUGCAAACUUUGGGAAGACCAAUUUAGUAUUGCAAACUUGAAGGUGGGUUGUCUGCCAUCCUAUUUUCAUACUCUUUAGAUUUCCUUUUAUUUGUGUGGUCACAGUUAGGCCAUAUCAACAUUUUAUAUUUUUUUUUUAUAAAAAUAAUAAAACAAAAAAUAAUAGGAAUAUAAAAUGUUGACGUGGCUUAACCGUGACCACACAAAACAGAAAUGGAUGAUAAUAUGGAAAUGGGAGGGCUGACAAUCCAUCUCUUGCAAACUUUGGGUAGCCGAUUAUACAUUAAAUGGCCCAGCUGAUUAGACAUGUUCAGCUGUAAUUUGUUUAAUUAAUGUCAUUCAUUAGUACUUGGACCAAGGGAUUUAGUACAGAUCAACAGUAAUUUGAGACUUAUUUGUAUAAAAAGAAAGUGGUUACCACUAUUGUCAAUAAAUUUGUAAAAAAAAUCAUAAGUAUUGAACAAACCAGUAUAAAAAAACAGACGGGUCUAGAUGGGUGAAAUGAUGGAUUAUGAUCAACGGGUGCCCAUCUAUACUCUAUAAUCUAUAUAUCACCCUUAUCAUUAUCACAAGCACAAACAUCAUCACUCACCACUAUAAUUAAAGCAUAUCUACACUUAAAUAGACCUGCAUUUAACUAAAUGGGUACCCAUUAAUUAUCCGCAUGUGAUCAGUUUAACAAUCUUUCUGAACAUAAUAAAUAUUGCACAAAUAGCAUCAAAAUUUUAUUACUCCAUGAUCUCAUAACAAACAGUACGUGAAUAAAUUGUUUAAAUCACAUUUCUAAGCCUUUUUUUUUUUUUUUUUUUUUUUUUUGAAACAGAAUCACAUUUCUAAGCCUUUGUUAUGAGUGUAAUACACCAGUCCAGUACAAACUUCACAACUACUAUCACAGUGUGUGUAACCCAGAAUAAAAGGGUUGAAAGAAUCAAGUGUGGCUAGUGCUACGAAACUAACUACUCAUCAAUGGAUUGUGUAAAAAAAUAAGUGAGAGCUGACUCUCCAUGCCGUUACGGGAAGACUGAUAAAAAAUGUCUUGGACCUGAAAACAGUAGAGCAGAGCAGUAGAGAUGUUAUAAAAACAUCCAACCUUUCGUUACAAUUCAUCUUCUAACAUGUUUACCCCUACGAACAUGUCAUCUAACCUUUAGUUAAAAAUAUCACAUUUCAAGAUGUUAAUCAAAGGACAUAUGCAGCUUUCCACAAACAACUUCUUUUAUAUGCAUAAUCUAGAAGAAAAAGUAAUGUCUUAGUUAAUUUAUGAUUCGUUUCAGUGUAAUUCUAACUAAUGAUUUUGUACCUUCACUUACAAGAUAAACAAAUAAAUAUCACCAAAUAUACACAUGUAAAAUAAAUUCCGUGAAGAAGAUUGUACCUCAUGAUAAAAUGACAAGCCCUAGAUACACCGAUGCAGAAAAAAAUAUAAACGAUAUCAAUCCCCUGCAUAUAAAGAUUAUGAGUAAUUAGGUUUUCAUCCUUAUUUUUACUACUCUAUUGAUUAAAACCUUAUUACUUUUCAGUUUUUUAUCAAGGUCCUUUGUAUUAAUAAUAUCAUUAAUUAUUUCAAUAAUAAAAUAUUUUUUAUUUCUAAAUAUAUUCAUUUAAUAUUAAAAAUGUUACAAUUAGUAUAUUUAUAUUUAUGGCUAAAUUUUUUAUCAUAUAUUUUUAUUUUUAGUUUGUACCCAUUUUUAAUUUGCAACCCUUUUUUAAUUUGUACCAAUUUUCCUUUCAAUUUUAAUUUGUACCCAUAUAUUAAUUUCUUUUUGUGCCUAUAUUUUUUAAAGUUUUAUUUGUAUUGUACCCAUUUUUAUUUUUGCUAAAUGUACCCAUUUUGAAGAAUGUACCCAUGUUUUGAUACAAUAAUUUUUGGUUAUUUUUAUGAAUGUACCCAUGUUUACACACACACACACAAUAGUAUAUUUAUAUUUUAAUAUUUUUAAUCCCACAAAUUAUGUUUUUUAUUUAAAAUCUCAUUACUAUAAACAACUAUAAAUUUUAAUUUUUAAUUUAAAAAAUAUAGUAACGUACAUAGAAAUAAAUUAUCAAUUAAUUUUAGGGACUUGGAUCAAAAAUUGAAAACCAACAAAGUUUCAGUCAAAAAUUAUUCAUAACUAGGGAUCGCAUCCAAAGUCUCCCUAAAGAUUAUUAUGUUACAAAAAACGUCAAGUUUUAAUCAUCAGUACAAUUACGUUUUUUUACCAUUACAUCUAAAAUCUUAAAUAAGGAAUUUCAAGUUUUAAUCAUCAGUAUGCUUAUAAGACUUACCAAAUCACUCCCCAUCCAACCCCAUUACAGGGGCAGGGGCAAACUUCUGCAAACUUCUCAGCGUCACUGGAGUUGACUCUUAUAGAUGUUAAAUCAUCAUAUAUAUCUGCGACAAUUACAGUCACGCGAUAUAAAAUCAGUGAUUCAAAUGUUCAAAAUAGCUGAUAUAUAUAUAUAUAUAUAUAUAUACAGAUUGCUUAAGGGAAGGGAUCCCCAUUUUUUUUUAAAAAUGGGGAUUAGGUGUGGGGUCUACUCCACAUCGAAUUUCAACGAUCCGAACCAUCUAUUUUGUUAGUCUCGAUUCAUAGAUCAUCCUUGCAAAAUAUUAGCUAAAUUGGAAAUGUUUAAGACAUCUAAUUGGGUUCAAGGAAAUGAACGAAUACUUUGUUAUAUAAGAAAAAAUGAAAUUUAAUCUUGAUAAUUAAAUAGGCAAAUGGUUUCGGAUUGAAUUGAAUUUUUGCAAGGAUGAUCUAUGAAUCGAGACUAACAAAAUAGACGGUUCGGAUCGUUGGAAUUCGAUGUAGAGUGGGCCCCACACCUAAUCCCCAUUUUUUUCAAAAAAUGGGGAUCCCUUCCCUUAAGCAAUUUGUAUAUAUAUAUAUAUAUAUAUGUUAACAAGAAUCACUGAGAAUUACCAUAAACUGAAAACAAACUGUUCAUCACACCUGCAAUUUGAAAAGCAAAAUAUAAGAAACUUUUCAUUUCGCAAUUUGCACACAAGAGAUGUAGCAAUGCAAGACUAAGCGCUUCAUCUCAGAAAGUAAAGAUUUGAAAAGAUAAGAAUGUACCAAUGAAGAGAAUAACGUAGCGAAGAACACGGACUUUCGUAAAUUCUUGCAGAACCCAUAUUAUAGCAAGGAAUACAAUAAAUCUUGAAAGACUCAUCAACAAGGAUCGGUAAUGUGUGGAAGUAUGUGAAUAAUAUAAAACUAAGACGUAUUGCACGCAUGCGAAGAUACUCACCAAUACAAAGUCCUCGAAGUGUCCACUGUAUAAAACAUUAGAAUUUUUUGAACGCAAGAGUGAAGAAAUUAAGAUCCUGAAAGUUCUAACACAAAAAUAUGAGAAUGGAGCUAAAACAUUAUUGUCUGCAUAUGUUUACUGCUCUCUUACAUUUUUUGCCAUAAAAAGCACAACUAGCAGGGCAACGCCAAAACAACCAGCAGCAAUUCGAGCAGUUAUGAGAUUUGUGGAUGCGAGUAUUAAAGCCAUUCCCCAAAAUGAUGAACCUAGAUCUGGAGGCAGAAAGAAAUACGAAACCAUGAGAACCAAGAUCUGGAUACAAGUCAUGACUAGUUAGUUUAACACAAAAGCCAAUUUUAAAUAAGACCGUAAGAAAAAUACAUAUUUUGAAGCCAACAUGGUUUGCAUAUAACACCGGAAUGCAUGAAGUAUGAAACCAUGAGAAACAGUCCUACUUCAGCAUCAGAUGCCAUGUUCAGUGCCAGCACACACAAUCUGCUCGUUUCAUGAACUGAGACACAUCUUAGACAAUCGUAUAUUGAAGAUGAAGCAUAACAAACUGAGGAUGGAAAAUAGUUUCUGAACGACAAAUGCAAGUGUGAGAAAGUGAGAAACUUAAUAUGAGGAACUAUGUAUGCUCAAAUCCAGUAAGACACUAGUAUUCAUGUUUACAACUUCUAAAAUUGCAUUUCAAAGUUUAAGCCCAUAAUUGAUGUCUCGUGAAGUACAAAAAUAAUGAUACAUUGCAAUGAAAAGUAAAGUUUAGGGACAAAGGUGUAGUACAUCCUGCAGGCAAGAUCAACCAAUAUAUACCACCACGUGUUUGUGUCACCCCACCCUCAUCUGCGUGAACCUGGUACCCUCCACCUACAAAUCAAUUCAAACUAUGAGACCCAUCAGUGACAUACAACUGCCCUAGAAGCUAAGGGCAUUUAAUGUAGUGGUAUGUGAUAGCAAGUUUGCAAAAUGUGUUGUACUGUAUAUCACCCUUCUAAACAGAAGCACUUAGUAAACUAUGCUUAACAUUCACCAUCAGAAAGCUUCAACUAUUGCAAGUUUGGACAUUUAGAAAACCUAGGAACCUAUGAGAUGCCAAGGAAUAGGAAAUAUACAGGAAAAUUUAAAAGAAAUUAAUAAAACAAACACAUAAAUAAUACAAUCCAUAAUUAUGAUGAUGAGAAUUAAAAUAAGUUAGCGACAACAGUAAUUGCGAGAAUGAACCUAUUGAAGAUAUGCAACAUUCCAGAAUGGGCCAAAGCAGAACAAGCUUUAGUCCGUUGAUAAGCUUUUCUAGAAAAGAAAUGCGAGUCAUUGAUCAACCUUCUAAAGAGAAAAUAUUGUAAGAGAAGCAAGGAAUAAGUUUUUCAGCUAAGGAUCUUUUCAAUCCCAGGAUGAAUUAAGGACUUGAUGAAUCAGAAUUCGGUGUACUCGUGAUCAAGUGUUUAAACUCAAACUCAUGCAACAAGAGAGGUGAAUUCUUACAUAACAAGCAAACGACUUUGAAAACAACAGACCAAGUUUGAAAACUUUAAUAUUAACUUGUAAGAAAUAUGACGCGAAGAUGUUUGUAAACAGGAAACAAUUAGGGAAUACGGUGGCCUAUGGUGCCAACCUUAAUUAAUACUUUGUUUGAAAAACCUAGUAGUUCUAAAACCAAUAUUUGUGAAGAUCAAGAUAAGUGCAAGAGCUCUGGUAACAGCGAAUGACUGAAAACUUUGCAAGCAUGAAGACUAUGAAAGCUUUGAACUUCACAAGGAUUGUCUGAAAUGAUAUCUUUGAAUGCAGUUUUAGCUGAGAAGCUCUGUUAAAUCAAAAUGACCAACAACAUUGUCUAACAAUUUGUGGGAUUAUGAUCAUAUUUGACCUUCCUUGGGCUCUUACAACCAUCCCCAAACUCGUUCGUUGCCCUAUUGUUUUCAAAUUAUACCUUCCUUCUGCUCAUGUCCCUCAUCAAGACUUUGUUAUCAUGGUUCUACACACAUCUUGGAUUAGCUUCCUAUGAGCGAAUUCAACCCAAUGAGAAAACAGGGCACACUAAAAUACAGAGAGAACAAGAAAAUACGUUGGUUUAGACAUAUUUACUUGGAUAAGUAUACAUAUCUACUUAAGGAUAUCCUAAACAAAGUACUUCAAAUUGUUAUAUGGUGUAGAUAAUUCCACAUCAGAAAUUUAAAACCUAGCAUAGCAAUAUAUAAGAUGUUUAGCCUCUCAAAACAUUGCCAAUUGGUUUGGGUUGAACGCUCUAAAUUUUAUCACAGCCCAGAGCAUCAGUGAUCAAAGGCUGUGGUAAUGAUAAAAAGUGAUAAUUUUUAUGAAGAGGACAAGGACUGGUCAGAGAAUUACAAGAUCUGAGUUCUAAACUAAUGGUUAUCAUAGUGACUUUACUCCGUGAGAGUAGGUACUCCGAAACUGCAUAAAGAAAUUCAGUGAAACGAACACUAAAUAACAGAAGUCCUGGUACAUUGAACCACCGGUCAUUCAAUCAAACAACAGAAGGCCUGAUACACUGAAUCACAUAAAGAAAUUUAGUGAGGAAAUAUCACCGAGGCCAAAGAAAAAGAACACUAAAUUUUACUCAAUCGUCCAAACUUUGUCCCUUGCUUCUCUACAAAGCAGGGUCAUACAGAAGAUUAGUUCCACUCAAAGUCAGUGACACUGAGAUUUUCGUUCUAAUGGACUCCACAAAUAAACACCAAAAAAUGAUUUCCCUUGGAUCCUUGACUAAGAUACUGGCAGCACAACAUGAUACUGUGUCUGUUAAAGAUCCUUAUUUCCUAGCUUGAAGUUGUUAACAAGUGAAUCAAUUACAUUUAUUAUUUUGUGAACUUGUGUAUAGAGUCUAUCACCAAGAAAGCAAUUUUUUGGAAGAACUGGAGUCCUUGAAAAUAGAAAUUUAUACAAGAAAACAGUUAUUCUUUUCUCUUUGGAUCUGACCACAUCAUUUAAGAAGCAAAAAAAUAGAAAACAUUAAUCAGCUUCUCCUUACCUUGCCAUAUGUGAGUAUGCAAGCAAUUGCAUGGCUUGCUUCAUGCAAGAAGACCGUGACGAGCUUAAAAGGCGUGAGUAGUAUUGUCCUCCAAAGCUUUAACAGUAAGAAAAAACUUUUUGAUCAAAAGGCUAACUGGAUCAAGUAAGUGCUAAACCAAUAAGGAGAUUGAUUAAAAAUAAGUAAAAAAUAACGCAGGAUAUAUUUAGCCAAAUAAACAUGGCCCUCUAGAAAUCAUGUAAGAUUAGCCAAAUAAAUUCUAAGUUAUUCUGCUAUAUUCAUAUCCAUCCCCAUUCUCAUCUAAUCUCUUCGCACAACCUCAAACAGCACUAUGAGCUUUCCCAACUCCUCUAGGUGCAUUGCCAAUGGUCUUAUCAACGGAUUCCCUAGUUACACAUGACCGACUGCAUUGCCAAUGCUCAAAUCUCAUCUUGGUUGCAUGUCUUCAUCUUUCCCUGGUUGCUAAUUCCUCAUUCACACAUUGAUUCUAAUAUCAUAUACACACAUGUCCACUCUUGUUUGAUGACCAUUUAAAGAUAAACAUCACGCAAAAAUGUCAUUUCCAAAGUGACAUUUCGUUUGGAAGGAAAAGAAAAGAACAAAUCUUAUGAAAAGUCUUACUUUGGAAGCUAAAACAAGUUCUAACCCCAUUCCGAAAGUCUAUCCACCACAUAGCUUCAUGUAUUAUUAAGUUGUUAAGCAUAACUUCUCCACAACAAUCAUUAACCAAGAAAAUUCCAGUGGAAAAUAAAAACGGGGUUUCAGAAAUCAACCUUGUUUGUCCAAAACCAUUAAAAACCAACAAGAAGUUGAAUAUAACAAACUGUUAAGAAAAAAAAAUCAAACGGAUAGUAAUAUAUUGGGCCUUAAAUUUUUCCAUUUCUAAAAUCCCAAUUCAAUUAUCUGGUCAACAAGUGGACUAUAACCCCUUUAAGUUUCAAGCUGAAGAAACCAUAACAAAAACACCGGAAAGACCACUCUUGAGCUUUCUUUCAACAAUUUACAGUUUACUUUCCCGGGAAACAAACAGUUUAUGUGAAUUGAAAAAAUAAAGAGAGAGUAAGGCAUACCGCGAGGAUGACAACUGUGAAGACUCGAAUAGUCGCCAGGAAGACGACCUGGUCAUGCUUGCAACAGCUCUUCAGCUCCCAAUUCGGCAUUCUUCAAACCCAAGAAACCUGAGAGAGAUAGAGAAAGAGCAGGAAAGGCACAGAAAAGUGGUGGUUCUAUUGUCUCUUCACUUUCUUCUUUUAUUGGUCAAAUAUUUAAAUAGAUACAGUUGGUAUUUUCUCAUUGAAAGAACGUAAUGGUAGUAGCGCGUUUACAGCAGUUUUUGAACUUUGAGAUCAAUCUAACUGUAUCUAGGCUUACUAACUUAAAUCUCCGUUUCACACUAAAAAAUAUUGGGAUUGCUGGAUUUUUAGAAACUGCUUAAAAAAUUCAACAAUUCAAAGAAGGCUACCGAACAUUUUACCAAGCAGCCCUCCUUUCUUUUUUUUUCGUCGAUGGUGUCCAAACAAAAACAUGUCAUGUUUUUUAUACGCCAAAAAAUUAGAAAAUCCCAAAGAGACGGAGAAUCCAUCUUCUUGAACGCGUGAGCCAUGGACGACGAGUUUGUUGUUUGCCGAUUAGAAGAGACUGAAUGCGUGAAUGUUUCUUUAAAAUAAUAGAUAAAUAAAUAAAGAGGAUUAUUAUUGGUACUCCAAUAGGAUACAAUAAGAUAAUUUAUGCUUAUAAAUUUAUUUAUCGUUUAAUUAAUCUAAAGACUCAUAUGAAAAAUAACCUCACAAGUCCUCUAAAUGAGAACUUUAGGUGAGCGUCGUUGUUUUGUAAAAGCAUUUUUAUUGUUUAAUGUUGUAACAAUUUCAUUUCUUUUCUUACUUUUCUAGUUUCCUUUGGAGGGAAGACAAGACAAUGUUAGACUGACUUUUUUUUCUGAACAAAAAAAAAAAAAAAAAAAGACCAGCUAAUGAUAUUGUCGUUUAGAGAGAGUUGUCUCUUACACACACGCAUGAAGGAUGUUAGUACAUAGAAAGAUUGAACAAAUUGAGUAAAGAAAGACCAAAUCUCACCAAAGGGUUGAAAGGGCCAAUAACAUGACAAAAAUCCAACAUUGUCGUAUAAAAUAAGAUGGGGUACUUUAAAUGCCCCCUUUGAGAUUGAAUUGUUAUAGAUUUUACAACCAUUUUAAAUUUCAAACCAAAUAAGUUUUUGAACCUUAUAAAAAAAGAAAAAAAUUAGAAAAAUAAUCAAAUUUUAUACUCCAUAUAGAUUUAUAGUAAUCAUUUUAAUUUUAUAAUAAUCAAAACACAACCUAUAUAUGGUACAAUUUCAAUCUCCAAAAGGAUACAACAGCCGUACGUUUACCUUGGGCUGCGCUUUCAUUGUUCAAUCACCCAUCAAUUUUAUAACUUUAUUGGAAGUACCAAGAUGCCUACCAAUUUAAUCUUGAAGACUCUGUCUACUUUUGUUAAUUGAUAUACAUACCGAUCUCAGUAAUUGAUAUGAAAGGUACGUAAUAUAUGUGGGAUUUGAAGAGGACAAUGACAUAACAUAAAUUGUACUAUAUUCUGUGAACCUGGUUCAACAUAAAGGGUGUAUAGAAUUGUUAAUAAUUCUAAUGAUUAAACUAUCAUGUUUCAAUGGUUUGGAACCAUGGUCUAAAAUAUCCAUAAUAUCCCGAUAUUUCUAUCGAAAUUUCCGUGUUUUUGGACUACCGAUAUUUUUUUGGACUAUCGAUAUUUCUGAUAUCAUCCAUAUUUUAGACCUUGCUAAGUCACUCAUGUAUCUUACCAUGCAAUGUAUAAAGUGUAAAAUAUUGUACUAAUUCAUUAUAUAUAAAUGAUUAUGGUGUGUUUAAACUUCUUUCAUUAAUUACUACAUAUUUUUUACACUCACAAUGUUUGCCAGCUCGCUAUAAUCAACUUAAAUCAGUUAUAUCCAUCAUGCAAUGCAUUUCCUUCCAAUUUUUUGUAAUAAACUAAUAGAUAAUUGACUAAAUAAACAUCCUGCAAAGUUUCAAUAAAAAUUUCCAAGUUUUUCUUACAAUUUCCGUGGUUUUUAUUCAAUUUUUAUCGAUAUCGAUAAUAUCCCGAUAUUUUUAUCGAAAUUUCCGUGUUUUUGAACUACCGAUAUUUCCGAUAUCAUCGAUAUUUUAUACCUUGUUUGGAACAACUCUUAGUUCCUAACUUUUGUAUCUCAAAUUUUUACAUAGUGCCACAUAUAUAUGUUUAACAUUUCUUGUUUUCACAUGGUUGAACCAUUAUGCAUGUAUCUUCCAUUAAUCACUAUGCAUUGCAAGUACGUGAGGGGGACUUAUAUCGUAUAAUUGACCUAAAUGCAAAGACAUGCACAUGCAGAAGGUUUGAUCUUGAUCAACUUCCAUGUGUCCAUGCAACUGUUGCAUGUCGAAUUUGCUACACAUCAUUAUACAGUAUGUGCUCCCAAUUCUACACAAUCAAUGCAAUUGUGCUAGCGAAUGCGAAGCUCAUUUGGCCGAUUGGAAACAAGAGUGAAUGGAGUGUGCUUGAAAAGGUGCAGAAUAGAGUGUGUUACCCACAAUUAGACAAGUUGUAUUUGGAAGAUGCAAGACAAAUAGAAUCCCAUCUCAGGGGGAGGAAAUGAUGGUGAAGAAAUGCAGUCGAUGUGGUGGAACAUGCCACAUUCGCCAAAUUUGCAAGAAUCCAAGUGGACUCCAUUCCAGCGCAUGAUCGUGAAUGUUUUUCUUCGGAAUUUAUUACUUUAUUUGCUUUUAUAUCAUUCGAGUUUAAGAACAAAAGAUGCAAAGAGUUUAUAUGAUAUGUUUGCUGGUUUAACAUACGACUUUCCAAGGUUUGUGUUUUGUAGUUAUUCAUGCAGUAGUGUUCAAAGAUAUAUUACUUAAAGGGGCUUUUGUUUUUCAUUUUUUUUUUUGUUUUUAAUUUAUGCUUUCAUUUUGGUUUAAAGGUUGCAGACAUCAAAAUGUGUAGUUAAAGGUUGCAGAUAUCUAAAGAUAGUUUAAAGGUUACAUACAAUAAUGUGGGGAUUCGGAAAACUCUUUCCAUCUAUUAUAAGUUAUGUUCUGGUUGUUGUGAGACCCUAAAAUUAAGGGUAUAUUAGUAUUUUUACAUUAAAAUUUUGGUUAUAAUUAUCAUAAAAUUAAAAUGGUGGUUAUGAGACAUAAUUUAGUUCUUUUCAAUUUCUUGCCCAAGGUUGGGUAGAUGGGCAUGGGGAGAUUAAUGUGGGUAAGGCUGGAGGGAGGAAGCUGGACUCACUGCUCAACGACAGUGUUGCAAGGUUCUUGUUUGUUUUGAAAAACACAAGGACUGUAUAUGUAGGAAGUGUAGAUGGAUGGAAAUACUUAACAAGUUUAUGAGAAAUCUGAGUUGCUACAGCAAAGCUCUUGUAUUACUUCUUAUUGUAACUCUCUUGAUACAAAAUGAUAUGCCAAAGGCUAUAUAUAUAGUGAAUACAAAGUACUAGAGAGUUCUAACUAGAGAGUUCUUCCUAGAUAACUUAACAGACAUAGGCUAGGAACAAUGACUCUAGAAUAAUUGUUCUUGGGAAUGUCUAGAGUCUUAACAUUUAGGAUAGUGCAUUAAUUCCAACACUCCCCCUUAAUGCACUUUCUUCACAACUCCAAUGAACUAUGAGGUAGCAAAACUUUUCUUUCAGAAGUGCCUUGGUGAGUAAGUCCGUUAGCUGCUCAUCCGUUCGACAAUAUUCAAGCUGAAUUUCUUUCUUCUCAACAACUUCUUUAACAAAAUGGUAUUUGACUGCAAUGUGCUUGGUACGAUCAUGAUUAACUGGAUUUUUGCCAAUUGCAAUGGCUGACUUGUUGUCACAGUACACUACAAUGCCUCAUUCUUGAUUUUUUCAGAUAUCUUUAAGAAUUCUUCGAGGCCAUAUGACUUGAGAUGCUACUUUUGUUACUGCCACAUACUCUGCUUCAGCAGAUGAUUGUGCCACCACAUUUUGUUUCUUCGUACGCCAAGAACAUAUCCCUGAGCCAAGAGAGAAAAGGUAGGCCGACGUACUUUUCAUAUCAUCAAGACAUCCAGCCCAAUCACUAUCGGUGUACCCGAUAAGCCCUAAACUUCGAGUUUUAGCCAUAAUUCCAUAGUCAAGUGUGCCCUGCACAUACCUUAACACCCUUUUUCCAACACCAAAGUGAAGCUGACUUGGUUCCUCCAUGUAUCUUGAAAGCAUACUUGAAGCAAACAUGAUAAUCGGCCACCGAUCAAACUUUGAUACUUUGUGGCAUCAACUUUCUUUGCACCAUCAUAUUUCUUCAUCUUUUCAUUAGGCAUCAAAGGAGUAGCCACUGUUUUGCAGUUAGACAAAUUGAACUUCUUGAGCAGACUUUUUGCAUAUUUCUUUUGAGAAAUAAAUAUCCCAUUUUUGGUUUGAGAAACUUCAAUUCCCAAGAAAUAAUGAAGCAAACCCAGAUCACUCAUCUCAUAGGUGCUCAUCAUAUCUUUCUUGAACUACUGUAACAAACUUUGAUCAUUUCCAGUGAAGACUAAGUCAUCCACAUAUAAGGAAACAAUGAGAAUGGAAGCUCCUCUCUUCAAAACAUAGAGUGUAGGCUCACUUACGCUCUUUUUGAAACCACGCUUGGCAAAAUACUUAUCAAUUUCAGCAUACUACGUUCUUGGUGUUUACUUUAACCCGUAAAGGGUAUUUUUUAGCUUGUAAACUUUGUCUUCUCCCCCUUCAAGCACGAAACCUGGAGGUUGUUUAACGUAAACUUCUUCUUCCAACACUCCAUUAAAAAAAUACAGACUUUACAUCAAGUUGAUAAAUCAACCAAUUCUUUUGAGCAGUAAGAGCAAUCAAAGUUCUAAUAGUUUCCAACCGUGCAACUGGAGCAAAGGUCUCAGAAAAAUCAAUACAUGGCUUUUGCUUAAAGCCUCUUGCCACGAGCAUAGCUUUGUGCUUUUGAAUGCUCCCAUCUUGAUUGAAUUUUGUCUUGAAAAUCCACUUCACAUCCAUGACAUCUCUAUCUUGUGGAUAAUCAACCAGCUCCCAUGUUUGAUUUUUCUCGAUCAUUCUCAUCUCCUUUUUCAUGGCUUUCACCCAUAUUUCAUGAUUUUGUGCCUCUUCAAAGCUUUCCAGCUCUAAACCAACGAAAUUGCAAGUCUUGUACACUUCUCGUAGAUUUUGAGUUCUUAAUGGAGGACUUUCUGAUGAAGAGUAGUUCGGAGAAACGGGUUUUGCAUUUGAACUGCUUCCAGCAUCAUUUGAAUUUCUUCUACCGGCAACUACUGGAGUUUGAGGAAUGACUUUUUUCUUGCUGCUACUCUCUUGGAAUUUCACCUUCUUCUUGCACAAUUGCUUAUGGCAUCUCCUGCACUUUAUUAUCAUUCCAAUCCCAGCUAGCUUUUUCAUUAAAAAUCACAUCUCUACUCACAAUCAAUUUCUUAGUUUCAACAUUAUAAAGCCUAUAUAACCUUUGGUGUUGGAACAAUAGCCAAGUAAGACACAUUUUUGGCUUUUUUCAUCAAGCUUAGUUCUCUAAUAGUUUCCAACCGUGCAACUGGAGCAAAGGUCUCAAAAAAAUCAAUACAUGGCUUUUGCUUAAAGCCUCUUGCCACGAGCAUAGCUUUGUGCUUUUGAAUGCUCCCAUCUUGAUUGAAUUUCGUCUUGAAAAUCCACUUCACAUCCAUGACAUCUCUAUCUUGUGGAUAAUCAACCAGCUCCCAUGUUUGAUUUUUCUCGAUCAUUCUCAUCUUCUUUUUCAUGGCUUUCACCCAUAUUUCAUGAUUUUGUGCCUCUUCAAAGCUUUCCAGCUCUAAACCAACGAAAUUGCAAGUCUUGUACACUUCUCGUAGACUUUGAGUUCUUAAUGGAGGAAUUUCUGAUGAAGAGUAGUUCGAAGAAACGGGUUCUGCAUUUGAACUGCUUCCAGCAUCAUUUGAAUUUCUUCUACCAGCAACUACUGGAGUCUGAGGAAUGACUUCUUCUUGCUGUUGCUCUCUUGGAAUUUCACCUUCUUCUUGCACAAUUGCUUAUGGCAUCUCCUGCACUUUAUUAUCAUUCCAAUCCCAACUAGUUUUUUUCAUUAAAAAUCACAUCUCUACUCACAAUCAAUUUCUUAGUUUCAACAUUAUAAAGCCUAUAUAACCUUUGGUGUUGGAACAAUAGCCAAGUAAGAUACAUUUUUGGCUUUUUUCAUCAAGCUUAGUUCUCUUUUCAGUGGGAAUAUGAGCAUAACAAAUGCAAUGAAAAAUUUUGAAAUGACUCACCGAAGGUUUGAACCCGCUCCAAGCUUCAAAUGGAGUUUUGUUCUUUACGGCUUUGGUUGGACAUCUAUUAAGAAUGUAUACUGCUGUAUACACAACUUCUGCCCAAAAACGUUUUGGAAGCCCUUUCUCAUUUAUCAUGGAUCUAGCCAUCUCCACAAUCGUUCGGUUCUUUCUUUCAGUAAUUCCAUUUUGCUGGGGACUAUACCCUGCUGUCAAUUGCUUCCAAAUGCCUUCAUCUUUGCAAUAGACUUCAAAUUCAUGAGAGGUAUAUUCGCCUCCUUGGUCACUUCAAAUGAUUUUGAUGCUGCAAACACUUUGCUUUUCUACUAAAGCUUUGAAUUGUUUGAAGACAAUGAAAGUUUCUGAUUUCUUCUUCAAAAAAUAAACCAAUGUCAUCCUCGAAAAAUCAUCAAUGAACGUGAGAAUGUACCUGUGCUGGCUUAAGGAAGGAGUUGGCAUUUUGCCACAAAUAUCGGUAUCCACAAGUUCCAGUGGUGCCUUUGCUCUCCACGUGCUUUGACUUGGGAAUGAAUUACAUCGUUGCUUGCUCAUGACGCACCCUUCACAAGCAUCAGUUGUUGCUUCAAUUUCCGGUAACCCUUUCACCAUGCUUUUCUUCUGGAGAAGCUUUAGCCCCUGGAAAUUUAAAUGACAGAACCUCUUGUGCCAUAACCAAGAGUCUUGCACAACAUCAACCUUCUCCACAGCGCAUUGAAAGGGGAAAAGUUUGAUUUCCACAGAGCAUUGUAUUUUAGGUGAAUUAUGCAAUUGGGUCCCUAUAUUAUCUACGCAACGCAUCUAACAAGAAUGAGAUUGUAAAGCCAGUGGUGGUUGAUGUCAUGAAGAGAUAUGCUGCAGCUGAAGCAAUAAAUGUUAGUUUCAGCAAUCUAGCCCAGGCAUUUUUGGACAAACGUGAUUCUGAAACAACUUGAAGGCAAAGUAGUUUUUGUUAUUAGAUUAAGGUAUUGAGUCAAAUGCGUGUUGAUUAUUGGUCUUUGUUAACAUUUUUGUGUCGUCCUGAAAAAUUUUAUGUUUCUGUUUCGGGAUUCAAUUGUUUCUGAUUCCAAAUGUUUGCAUUUCAUCGCAAGAAAUACUAUAAUGAUCAGUUAGAUGUGGAUCCAAAUUUGCAAGAGCAGCAUUCCAAAUUACUUGAUAACUCUUCGAGUAGUCUAUUAUUAUCAUGAGCUUUAGCUUCUUUUUUCAUUUCUCGUUCAAGGAGGCACACAACCAUAACACAUUGAAGAGUAUUGACUCGAUAGAAGGCUUGAGGUGAAGGCUUCGUUGUAGAGUUGACAUAUGAAGAUGUAAGAAACAAGAUUCGUUUGAUUUCCUCAGUCGACCCUUCUUAAUGUAUGUGACAUAGUGAUUCUAACUUUUGGUAUUUGAGGAAUGAGACGCUCCAAUUUACUCUGUUAGGUACAUUGAGCAAGAAAUGACUGAAACUGUAUGGGUAGAAUUUUGUCAAUACCAAACAGUUUUUCGAUUUUUUUCUUUCUUUGUUUUGUUAUUUUCUUAUAAAAAGUUCAUACAUGGUUCUUCACUAUUGUGUUGCGUAGGGUAGUGUGGUUGCUUUGGUUGUUUCUACCAUUGUUCUUGGUUAUAACCUAAUGAAUUGCAAUGUGAAGUCAUAAGCAAUUGAUUGCCCUUUUGUUGUUACCGGUUCUCGGAACACAUACAACUAUUCCACCGAGAAGAAAAGAAAUUUGCAGACGAGAACAAGGAAAUAGAAUGAAGAGAAGACUGAUUCAAUCAUACACAGAGACAAACACAAAAUAUGAGUUGAACGAAUUGCUAGAUAACCAUGCACUGCAUUGCAUUGAUGUUAACUUAUGAUUUUGAAUGUCUCGAGAAAUAUCAGUAGCAUCUUAGAUUAUAUAUUUAGACAAAAGAAAGAUCACGUUGUGUGUUUUCUUGUGUAUGUGCUUUUGCGAUUGUAUUGUUAGCUAGUUUGAGCUUUUCCAUGUGCACCUCAGUUUAGAGAUUUCUUGAAUUCAAAAAGCAAUCGGAGAACUUGUGACCCGUUAUGUGUGUCUUCGAGGAUGAGAUGGACCGAAUGGACAGAACUAUUCAAAUUCCGUGACUGUUAACAGAGAAGUUUUCACAGAGAAAUGAAGAGUGCAGUGCAGGAGGUGCCGAGUAGGGGUCGGUUGUUAUGUCAGUUAAAAUUCCCCUCUACCCCAUUAAAGUAUAUCACAUGCAUGUCACGUGAUAUUUUUGUCGGAAAAUUUAGUAGAACGAACGGAAAGCACCAAAAUUAUAACUUAGAUAGACCGCCAGACCUAUUUGGAAUAACCAAGACCAAAACGCAAAUUGGGUUUAGCUCAGGACAAUCCUCAUUGUUAAGCAUAUAACCUCGAUGAUUACAGCGUUAUACUCUACCAUUACAUAGGAAAAAAGUUUCCACAAUCUUCCCUCUUUGUACGAAAUAAGAACAUGUAAACAAAUAAACAAAAUUUCAUAAUGUUCCGGUGUAUGAUAUGCAUUGAAUAAUGAGAAUGUCAAUUUUUUUUUUUAAUUAACGAUCAAAACUCUGAUACAUACCAUAUGCUUCCGUGCAUAAAAAAGAAACCCAAACCCUAAUUCUUAUCAUUUCUUUAUGGGUUCAUGGUCCAACAGCAAAGGUGGGGUCAUUGAAGUGAAUUGCUCAACCACCAAUUGCAUACUUUUCAGUUGCUUUGUUAUUCAACCAAGAAACAUCAAGAAAAAAAAAAAAAAGAGGAGAAAAAUGCCUUUUCUUUGUAACAAGUGGGAAAAUGGCUUUAAUUAUUUGUUUAUCUUGCUUUAGUUACCAGUUUUAGCCACUUGUCAUGUGAGCAAACGCUAAAAGAAGCAACAAAGAAAAUAAAAAGCGGUAUAUAUAUCUAGGUAUGGUAUAUAAUUACAUCUCAACCCAAAAAUGCAACAAAUUAUAUACCCUACCUAUGGGUUCUUUCACCGUCCUCUUUGGGCUGCCCUACAAGUUAAGGGUUCCUUGCACAGCUGCGUUCCACACCAAAAAAAAAACAAAGAAAAAAAAGGGCUCAUUGGUUUAUAGUGCUGUACAACUGUAAUGAAUAUCGGCCUAUUUGCGAUUUUGGUUCUUAGAAUGUAUCUUUUGUGUAUGAAGCUCGGUCACUCUUUGAUUACAAACGAUAUUAUUCCUUUAUAUAAAAAAAAGUUUAAAUUCAAAAAGUAGUAAGUUUUUUUUUCUUCUUUUUUUAAAAAAAAAAAUAUAAAUUUAAGAUAUGACAUCCUUGUUGAACACAAAUGCAAUGAUAUAGGCAUCAAAACACAAGCAAAUUACGCAAUGUAUUGGGCGUAGCUCAUUUAUUAUUUAUGUGCUCAAGAGCUAACAAAUUCAUAUAUAAAUAAAUAUAGCGCUAAUGAUUUGUUUAAGUUUACAUUAUAACGUAGUCUUAUGAUUUGAAUCGUUGGAUCUAUAAAGUGCACAUUCAAGUAUUCCUGCAAUAAUUACAUAAUUAGAAAUCAUUUAACAUUUUGAUUGCUAACAUGAAUAUUUCGUUGUUUAUACUGUGUUCGAUCGUUUACAUAUUUAGUAAUAGUUGCAUAACUACUCGACAGUUUUAAGUGGUUUACAACAAACAAGCGAGUGGGAAGGUAUUAAAUUGUACUUUUUUCGAAUUGAGAUGAAGUGCAGAAGAGUUAUAAGUAGCCUCAAUGCCAAGAACAUGAUGCAAGGACACAAGAUUGUUUCAUAGAAAACAACUGACCAACUUGUGUGUAGGAGUAUCAUUGUAAGAAGAUAAAGAAAUAGAACAGUGAAAAUUAGAAUUACGAGUAGCAGAAAUGUUCUUUUGGUAAUCAUGUAACUAAGAAAUUCACGAUUCCUUAUCCUUAAAUUUAAUAUCAGACGUGCAAAAUAAAUAAAUAUAAGUAUACACACCGAGAUAAAAUGGUAUGCAGAAAUCAUUUCACACUCACAAAUACGGAAAAAUUAUAGGCUUUAAACUUUAAAACCAAUUAACAGAUUUAAUUAAAGAAUGAUUUUGUAAUUGUUUAUGAAAACUAGUUGAUGUGGUACGUAAGGUAUAUAACAGCACGUGGGAUUGGCUGCAUAUUUUUUAGAAUGCUACUAUGCUCGGCCGUAUAAGGUAUAAUCUUCAUUUAUCUACAAUGUGAAUUCUCUAUGAAAGAAAGAUAAGGGCUUGAGUAUGAUAAUAUUAACGCAGUGGUGGUGGUGCUGUAUGAUAAUAGGAAGAAAGUUUCAGAUAUGAAUCUGAAUUUUCUUGCUUGAGAAAUUUGACCUCCACUCUAUAUUCUUCUUUUGGUGUCUAUAUUAUUCUUUAAUUAUAUAGUUUUCUAGGUUUGAACUAAUAUAAUUAUUAAUUAUACUACUUGACUUCGGAUGCAGUUUCUUCAGAGCCCAUCAGCAACACUAAUGAAGAUGGGGGACCAUCAAUCUGUCAAAGAUUUUAGAAAGAUGGUACACCGGGGUACCAUAAGCCAUACAAAUGCGGUUCUCCUCUAACGUGGGAUCCAUAUUCUUCAUUAUGUUCCCUUACGUGAGAUCACCACAAAAGUGAAUCACACGUGUAGGAAUAAAUUUAGAAAAUUAAUUUAUCGGGGCAUAAUUAAGUAGUGGUAAUUAAUAUAAGUUCUCGUGGAAUUUCAAAAACAGCACACGCAGCAUUAUCUGUGGAGUCAAAUCCAUACACAUUAUGUGUUUAGCGUACAUUCUCACCCUUUGUUCUAUUUUAACAAUAUCUUAGGUCAAUAUUGUUCUAGUGAACUAAGAAAUAAAUCAUAUAUGUAUAAAGAUGGGAAGUACAAUUUAUAAGACGUACGAGAGAAGAGAGGGUUAAUGGGCUUUUUAUCAUUCUAAGAAAAAAAAAACUCACUCUAAAUUUAAAAACGGUGUGGUUUCCCUUUAAACAUAUAGACUUGUUUCAUGUUUCUUCUUCUUCGUUGUGAGUACCAUAACCAACUCUGCAACUAAUAUUUUUUGAGCUAUAUCUGCCUACUGAUUAUUUUGAUGAAAAGCAAGUGAUAGAAUUGAUUGUGGUGGUGAAUUGAUUAUUAUUCGCCGUAGUCUAAUUCGACGUCAUAUCAAAUGAUAUAAAUUUACUAUUUAAGCAGAGCCCUAAUUCUUAUCGAGACCGCCUUUGUUUUUUUUUUCCCAUGCCACAAACUUGAAGGAGGGCACGUGCCCUCUAGGGCCCUUAAUAAGAUUUGCCCAUGUGCACAUGCAACCAAUGUUACAUCUGUCAAGCGCAAGAUCAUGACUAUAGUAAACACAAUAAUUCGGACAAAAACAAGUUGAGACCCAAUUCAAACCUUGUCAAACAACCUGCUUUUAGACAAUGUACACGAACAUAGUUUUAGUUUCUGUACAGCGGAUAAUGGUUGGUUAAGUAUCUUCAGAAGUUGACCGAAAAAAAAAACAUUAUGAAAGAACUUGAAGGCUCAAAUAUGUCGUAGUGUUAGUUGCUUUCUCAAAAUACGUUAAAAAGAAUUAAAGCAGGCCGUAAGCCACAUGCAUGAUUGGAAUAUAAUUGCAUGUGACAAACCCAAUUAUCAUCUUUGCUGCUUUAGAUUAGGGUCACAAGUCGAUUUCCUAUCGUGAUAGUAGCAUAAGGGAAAGUAGAAGUUAGAUGCCCUGCAUGCCCAUAAAAAUUGCUUUUGGUUAUACCUGCUCUUGAAGUUUACGUGCAUGCGUACAUAAGCUUAAUAUCACUGAAAACCUUUACAAAUCACAAUGCUUUGGAAUGUACAUACUCAUUCUAGACUUCUAGUUAGUGAGAGUAAGUUCAAGUAUUAUACACAUAUAUACAUGUUCUUGUGAAGUACUUUUGCCCUUUUGUUUUUCAUAUAUUUUUUAAUUAUACAGAUAAAUAAGAACGUUCUUCAGCGUAUACAUUGUGCACAACUUUGCGUAAAUGAUGUUUUUGCGCCUUAUAUUUUACUAUCGUAUUUGACGUAGGAGUACUAGAAGUGUAGCUCAGAUUGACGAAUUCCGGCAUAAAUAAUGUUUUUGGAGUUUUUGCAAUUCACAUUCUGUUGAGGAUAUCUUUCCUUAAAGAGAAUGAAACUCGUCGCUUUACUACGACUUAAGAUGGAUUUCAAGUGUUUGAGAUCGUUUUUGUGGGUCAAAAACAUAUUUUAAAUAUUUUGUGUAUUUUCAUACUCUCCUGUUUUAAUUCUUUUUGUUGUUAAUUAUGAGGUUGUGUCACUAUUUAAACUACUUUUAUGGUUAUAUUUCAUUUACCCUUUCAGUCCAUUCUUAAAAAAACAAUAGUUUAGUGAUAUUCCUCUUUAUUUGUAAGUGAAAGGUCAUAGGUUGAUUCUAGCCAAAAACAUAUUUGAACCACAUUAUUAUGACUGAUCCACUAUGAGGCUUAGCCCAUUCUUCCACCCUCCCUUUAGUGUAGAAAUAUAUCGUUUGUUCAAAAAAAAAAAGUAAUCAUUUGUGAUCCCUCAAUCGAUAACUUCCACUCAUUAUCCCUUCUGAUGGUUUCUGAAACAUGAUGGUUAAAACAUAGACCUUCAAAAUUUUGCCCAAAUUACUAUAAAAAAUAGAAUGGCUAAAAUGAUUAUCUAUUAAAUUUCAAUUGUUGAACUGAUCAAAAUUUAGUUUUGAUGACAUAUCAUUCUAAUAUCGAUCUUUAAAAUGAUUAUUCCAUUAAUUAAGAUUUGGAAAAAGAAAAAAAGAAAGACUUUUUUUGGGGGGUUAAGAAGCAAUUGAAAAUGAAAAAGAGAAAAAUUAGGUAAGCAUACAAUUUGCUAGAACCCCUUUUCCCCACGUCGCUAAAAACAUGGCCUGCCUGUUUGAAGACAGCAGCUGAAUAAUUUCAGGAUUAGGAUUAUAAUCCCUACUUUUUCCAUCCUCUUCCAUCACCACCUUUCACAUUCUAAUAUUUUGUUCUUCUCUUACUAUAAAAAAUUAAUAUAAAAUGUUAGUAUGACUUAACCAUGACCGUUCAAAUAAGAGAGGAGGAGAAAAAAGAGAGGAGAGGAUCCUACUCCAUAAUUUCACUCCCUCAACUACUUCCACCGAGGCCUGCCUGCCUUGGUUGCUUGCUUUUAUCUCCCUCUAAAACUCUCAACACACAGCAAAACUCUCAACGACUUGGUCAUUCAGUUCUCUCUGUUGUCCAAAUCACCUCCAUCUUCUUCAUUGGUUCCAUCAACAACAAAAAACAAUCUUAAGUUCACCACUUAUCUUUGUGUGUGGAUUUGAAUUCCCUAUUCUAUAAAAUCUAGACUUGGACUUGUCCAUGUUUAAGUUUUAACCCUCAAAAGCGACAUGUUUUCUUGGUUUUUUCUAAUCCCAACUUCUUCAGUAGUCUGAGUAUUUUCUGGCUUUGGCUUUUCUUUAAAUUCAAGUUAAUCUUACGGGAAAAUGGCAGUUGAGCUGUAUUCAGAUAACCCUAGCAGCAUGGGCGUCAUGAGUCCAAGGAUUUCAUUCUCCUAUGAUCUCUGCCAAUCUGAUGUUGCAUCUAUGGAACAGAAAACCCAACCUCUCAGAUCCAAUUCUUCAUCCUCAAGAAGUAUGAACUCGAGCAUGGAGUUCGACUUCUGCGUCCGCGAGAGCUUCGAGCAGGAGUCCUCCUCCGCGGACGAACUUUUCUCCGAUGGGAAAAUGAUCCCGACUGAGAUCAAGAAAAAGUCUUCCCAUCAGCCAAAGCAGUUGGACCAAAUCAUGCCUCCAUUGCCAACAGCACCGGCUACUAACCAACGUGACCCAAAAAUAACUAUGGCGAAAGAGAGCAAGAACACGACGAGUAGUAGUAGUGAAGGUGAUGAGAAGCAGAACUCAAAGUCUUUCUGGAGUUUCAAGAGGAGUAGCAGCUGCGGAAGUGGAUAUGGCAGAACCUUAUGUCCUUUGCCGCUUUUGUCAAGAAGCAAUUCAACCGGUUCUUCAUCAUCAUCAAGUGCGAAGCGAUCGUUGUUUUCAAAAGAGGGUCAGAAUCAGAAGCAGAAUUCCCAUAAAUCUGCAUCCAAAAAGCCCUCCUCCUCCUCCUCACAAUAUUCUUCUGCUUUAAUGAGUAAUUACCAAAAGCCUCCAUUGAAAAAGGGUCAAUAUGGAUCAUAUGGGGGCAAUGCUGCUCCAUUUAGUCCUGUCCUAAAUGUUCCUGCAGCUAAUAUGUUGGGUUUUGGAUCAAUCUUUUCCAAUGGCAAGGAUAAGACCAAGAAGAAAUGAUGAUAUAUUUAUGGGAUCAAGUGAUUAACUUUUUUUUUAUUGUUUAAUUUGGUUUCUUGGUAUUUUUUUUAAUGUGAUUUGUAAAUUUAUUUGGACAUUAUCUGUACGCCAAAUAGUAAAGGGGUUUUGAAGGGUGAAGACAAAGAGAUAAAGAGGUGCAUGAAGAGAGGGGACAUACCACAAGGCAUCUGCAUAAUUCAAGCCACAUGCUUGGAGUGCUAAAAGACAAGGUAACCAUAGUUUUUCUUGGUUAUUCCACAUGCUCUUUUCCCUUUUUCUUGCAUUAUUUGGUCUUCGUUCUCUCAUAUCGAUUUAUGUGUAUGGUUUGUAUGAAAAGUUAGAAUUCAGAGAGGUCUGAUCUAUGUAUUUGAGGAGUCUCUGACAUUUUCUUUGAACUUGGGUUUGGUGUUUCAUUAUUUUAGCUUGUUCAUUUUUAUUUUAAUGAAUUUUACAUUUGUGUGUAUUAUUGAGAGUAUCAAUUUCACAUCAGAGAAAAAAUUGAUCUAGUAUGUACUUAUAAGUAAUUCGGCUACUCUCUAUAUUGCAAGUUGGUUUUAUAGCAGAACUUUAACUUUUUAUGGUAUUAGAGCAAGUUGUUUCAUGGAUGAAUUACAACAACCCCACGUGCUCCAUGUUAUCCAAUUUGAGUUAUCCUCGUGUAAGGCUUGAAAAUUCGCCACACGUAAAGGGGCGUGUUGAGUGUAUCAAUUUCACAUCAGAGAAAGAAUGGACCUUGCAUAUGCCUAUAAGUAAUUAGACUACUUGUCAUAUAGUCAGUUGGUUUUAUGGUGAAACUUCAAUUUUUUUCGUGUACAUACAGAUGCAUUAUAUGAAUUGGGUUCUCAUUAGUUUGUGCAAUAAUUAGUCCAAGUGAUCGUGAACAUAAAUCAUGAUAAGUCUGAGAUAAUCGGAUAACUGUGUUGAUCAAUUUGUUACAAUAUAUGAAUGAAGAUUCCACCAUAAAAUCAAUUGACAAUAGAAGAGUAUAACUUUUAAUAAACUCAUGGAAGGUUUCUUAUUGGUUUUUUAGUAAAACACUAUGUAUUUGAAUAAAGGACCUCUUGCAGAUGAAGAGAGAGUGAUGAAAAGAUUGCAAAGAGAUUUUUUAUUUUCAAACUAAAGUAAACUUUUGUUUGGGGCAUAUUUGUUCGAAUGCAUGACUAAGCUCGUUUAUUGUUGGAUUGCUGUAAAACGAGUGAAUAAAGCCUUUGAAUUCUUCGAAUCUGAUGAGUAAGUGAGAACUAGGCCCAAAAUAUCUUGAAGGAGAAAUGAGCCUUAUGAAUACACUGUUAUUCUUCCAGCUGCUCGUAUUUGGCUUCCUGGAGUGCUUUAAAUAGCUCUGGAAAUGGUUGAAGAUGAAUGGCGAAAAAUUCUUAGCAUGAGAGUUUGAAGUGUGGUAGCUAAAGAUCCACAUGUUUAGAACAUCGGAUAAAUGAGGUUCGGUUAGGCUUGAUUAUGUGAUAAGGCUUCGUAAGAUAUUUUGGUUGCGGUUUAGUUGUUGAUCAUGGUGAUGGAAGGGCUUUAAAUGUAGAAGAUUUGUGGUGAGCAUUAUCAACGCAAAAAAUUGGGAGGUCAACAAAAAUCAAUGUGGUCAUUUUUUGGUGGGUUUGAGAUGUAACGCUAGAUUAUGGACAAAGCAACUUGAGCGGUUCACUCUAAAAUUGGGCUACGCAACUAUAGCGAUAUGCUAUACAUUCAAUGUGGAUUACAAGAGCACUUUACAACAACGCUAUGUAUUUUUUUUUCUCAUGGAUUCAACUGCUUAUAAGGGGUACUCAACCCUUUUAUAUAGGUCAUGAGUGAGUUCCAAAAGUCUUAGACCCUUUCUAUCAUCGCCUCAUCGUUUAAUGAGCCGAAUACGUAAGCACGAUCUAUAAGCUACUUUUUCAAUGUCCAUUUGAUAAGUGGAGAGGAAGUGAUAUUUGCUCAAGACUAUUUGCAUGGUUUCCUUAGUCGACACAUACUAAGCGCAAUUCUCAUCCAUGACUGGUUGGAUAGCAUUUUAAUGAGCGCUAGGUCUGAGAAAAAGUUACGUCUCUUCAUAGACUUCUUUCCUAUCGAUGGCCAAUGCAAGGCCUAGAGUUAACGUAUGGGCAUACCUGUCCUUCAAAUUCUGUGCCAAAAAGUUAUCAGGCUCACCAACUGUCUUAAGUGGUUGGAAAAUACUUUAGUUUAUACUCUCGUCUCUACUUAUCAAUAAACAAUCUAAGGUCAAAAGCAGUCGUUCGAUAUUAGUAGUCUUCUUCGUUGCUGCAGUAGUGCUCUCUUCAGGCUCAUCUAUUGGGUCUAACAACAGCCAUAUAUUAUAUUAAUGGGUCUAGAAGGUCAUCACUAAAAAGUCACCCAACUCAUUGUUAAAGUAUUUCUUCUUAGGCAUGAAGUUGUCACGGUCGGUCGAUCUUUAAGAAAAUAUAGGGUUGGAUUGUUGUUAUUGUUGUUUUUUGCAAGUGUACAACGCUCUUUUUUAUUUUAUUUUCUUUGUUGAAGCGUUUGUCCUUUUAGAAUGCCAAUGGUCCUUCAACUCCUUGCAGAAGCGGGAAGUCGAAGCUAGGGGUGGGUGUGAUCCAAUUCCACCCUCAAACCGGAACUAGAAUUGAAAAUUAUCAACGGUUUUGUUUGAUUUGGUUUUGUUUAAAUUUAGAGAGCUACUAGACCCAUUCAAUUGUCUUAUUUCUCCAUCCACGUUAUAAUCUCACCUUCCUUAAAAAGUUAAAAAAUUAAAAUGUUAUUUCCCCACCCACUAUUAUUUUCAAUAUAACCUUUAACAUAUGCAUACAUAUGAAAUUAUAAAACAACAUAUAAUUUUCAUAAUGCAUCACAGACAUGGUAUUUCAACUGGCUCUCGUGCCAGGGUGCUGUUGAUUCAUUCCAAGCAUUCUAAAAUGCACGCGACAAUGAAACAGCCAAAAAAGGAAAUGAUUGUUUGAUUUGCUUAAAGAUUUUCGUAGGUGAGUUUUGUGUUUCUCAACAUACGUUGGCCAAAUUCAAAUAAGCAAUACAAUUAAGGAUAUGUUGCCCAAAUCCUUUUUGCUGAUCUUGAAGUCACAAGUAUGCAAAUUCAAUUGGAAAACACAGAGGUAUCAAAAUUCAAAAGGAAAACUUCGGCAAAUGCAAAAUACCCACAUACAAAAUUAUUCUUUUACCUCUUCAAUAUAAACAUAAUCUUCUACCUCUUCCAUAGAAGCGUCAUUUUCUACUUCUUCAACGAAAAAGUCAUCUAAAUCCUUUUUUUCCCUUCCUCUAGAUGAAAAGAGAUGGAAAGAUGAGUUAGCGUUCCUCUAGAUGAAAAGAGAUGGAAAGAUGAGUUAGCGUUUAAGAUAAACUGAGCGUGCAACCCAACCCUUUUUUUUAACACAAAAGAGGAUAAUUAAUGUCCUUAUCAGUCAUUUUACAAAUGAACAAAUUUGUAAUUGAAAAUUUUAAUAAAAGAUGAGUGAAAAGAUAAGAUAAUGGGGUGGGAAUAACAUAACUCUAAAUUUAUUAUUAAAACUGUACAAUUCCAUUAAUGUCGAUUUGAUUUUGGUUCAUGCUAGUUUAUAGUUCUAACAAGAAUUAUAUAUAUAUAUAUAUAUAUAUAUAUAUAUAUAUAUUUUAAUCUUCUACUUUCAACACUAAACACAUUUCAACUACAUAUUCAAGAAAAUUUGAGCUCUCACACCUAGAAAAUUUGUGACCGCAAGAAAUAAGAUUGGGAUUUUGAGAGUAAAAAUUGAGAACUUAAGAAGCGUUGAGGAGUUUUGACUAUUAAUCUCUUUGCCGAUGAUCACGAUGAUGCUUCCGUUGAAUGGUUGGCGAGAGAAAGAGGAAGGGGAAGAGAUUAGCAGCACAAAUAAGAGAUAAAUAAACACGCAGAGACGAAGAAAAUAAGAGAGAAGAAAGGGCAAAGGGAGGCGGAGAGAACAAACACAAGAGAAAUGUGUUAGGGAAGGGUUGGUAUUAGGCUUAUCAGUUCAGUAGGGCUAUUUGUGGGUAUUUAACUUGUUUGAUACUUAAUAAGUUAUAGUUGUAUUAAGUGAUAUUUUUCAUAGACUUUUUGUUAUUUUAUUUUUUUAGUAUUGUUAAAAAAAUUCUCUUAAAAGUGAAAAUUUUCAUAAAUCCUCUGGCCCUCAUAUUUUUUUAUAGAAUUUCCAUGCUAACAUUAUAAUAUAUUAUAUCAAAAACAUAAAACGAUGGAGAGCGCAUGAAAAGUUCUAUUUUGAAAGAACCUCCUUAAUAUUUCUUAUGUUUUAUAAUGUUGAUACGAAAAUUAUGCAAAAAAGAUAGAAAUGCGGGACAGUCGAGAGGGGACAGAGUGGGAGAAUCUCCCUAGCGUUUGACAUUAUCAGCGGCGAGUAGCAUUUUGACAUUCCCGGCAGCGAGUAAACAUUUGCACAGAGAGUAUCGAUUUUUUAAAAAGGUGAAAAACACGGGUGCAAGAUAGCGGACAGACGUAGACCCAACGAAAUCUCCAAUACUCUAUUUCCAAUUUUGUCCCUAUUCUAUUCCCCUAAACCCCCAAACAAUACCAUUAUUUUAUUACAACCCCAAAAACUUAACAAUAUUUUACUUUUCGCGCUCUCUGUUAUGUUGACCGCCAGUGCACUCUACAGUGCGCUUGGGGUGUACAGUGUACACUGUUGUCGUCUUCCCUUAUCCUACGCACACGCUACUGUACAAAAGCCAAAGCCUCUUUUUGCAGUGACGAGACUGCGAAAAUGGCAGAGAGAAGCCUUGUCCAUCUUGGUUUCGAUCUCUAGGGCUUCGCGGCGACAUACGACGUGUCGUUUGCGUAUUCCCUUUUUUCUCGAUCGGCGCUUUUCAUGGUCGUUAUUCCAUCGUCGUUAUCCUCACCGUCAAUCUGAAUCGCUUCAGACUCUCUGUCAGCUGCUACUUUUCUCGGUCCAUUGCAUGCGAAAAACGGGACAUAUUUCAUCAGACCUCGUCGUUUUACGGUGAAAGGUUGCUUUCGUUGCUCUGCACUUGCAGGACAGUUGUUGCUGUGCGUCUGUUUUGUUCUUUAGUCGCUUGAAGGAGUGUAAUUAUUGUACGGACGGCGGGUUUUCUUUGUUUUUGUUGUAUGUGUUUGGGUAUUUUCAGGAACAAAAAUUGGGUUUGGAGGAAAUGUGAGCCCUUUUUGGUGGAAUGGGGUUUUUUAAAAAUUGGAUUUUGGUUUUUGUUUGGUAGAUUUAUUUGAGUUUUUGUCUGCAAAAGGUCUCAAACUUUUGGGUGGAAGGUGAGGUUUUUGGGUUUUGAAAGAAAAGAGCUUUGAGGUUUUUCAUCCGUGGUGGGGAAGAAGAAUGAAUGAUUCUACCGGGACAACGGCGUCGUCUUUGGCGAUAGCAGAGAAGAAGACGCAUAGGCCGGGUGGUUGCGUCGGCAUUUUCUUCCAGCUCUUCGACUGGAACCGCAGGUUCGCCAAGAAGAAGCUCUUCUCCAAGAAAUUGCUUCCUCCAUGUAAGUCUUUUUUCAUCGUGUAAAGCUACAUUUCUCUUCUUUAUUUCUUAUUUAAUUAAAAAAAACGAAAUAUAAAAAAUUCGACAACAUUUUUGUGUGUUAAUUUGAUGUAUCAGCUCGAGGAGCAAACAAAGUUUCCAAGAAGUUUAGAGAUGAGAAAAUGCCGGUUUCGAAGCUUCAUUUGGUAUGCAUCUUAUUGCUUCUAAAUUUAGAUUAUUUCUUAGUUUUGAUGGGUUUGAUUGUUUUAAUUAUCUUUCUUUUGUUGGGCAUGCUGGGUAUGUGUGUUUGAAUGAUAGAUUGCUGAUGAAAACCGUGGGGGUUUCCCAAAUGCGAAGAAAAAUGUGAAUCGUAGCGUUGAUUUUGAGCACAAGCAUGAAUUGCGAGCUCCAAGUUUGGUUGCUAGACUUAUGGGACUUGAAUCCAUGCCCGCCACACGCGAGAAGCCCAAGAAAGCUUCCUUUGCUGAUGUUAGGGGCAGCGGAGAGAAGACAUUUGUGAAUAACCAUAGUGGUAAUGAUAGAGAUGAAUUGAAUUUGGAGACAGAAAAUGCAAAGCCUGAAUCAAGGCCUCAGAAGCUGCAGAAAAUGGGACCGUAUGAGAAGAGGGCAGUGACUAGGUUUGGAGCCGAGGCACUUCAAAUUAAGAGUGUUUUGUCGCGCUCGAGAAAGCAUCACCCAAAGCUUGCUUCUCCAGUGAAGAGUUCAAGGAUUUCCUCUGGGAAGAAUUCUUCGCGCACUUCUCGGUUGAUUGAUGCUGCUACUAGAAUUUUGGAACCUGGACUUCAGUCUACGAAUAGAGCAAGGGGUGCUCUCACUUACUCACGUUCUUUUCAUUAUCCUCUAGUGGAUGAGGUUGUGGAAGAUGGAACAGCAGUUCAAUCACUGGGGAUUUCUAAUCAAGCAUGUUAUAAUGGUGGUGCAGUCAACUCUAUGAUGGGCCAAACUUCUUGCAAAAGUUGUGGUAAUUUAGUAGAUGUGGACGUGACAUCAAAUGUGGAGGAACAACAACCUGCGUUCCCAUCCUUUGCUUCAAACUUAGUCAAUAGCUCUUCGCUGGUAGCAGAACAAAGGCCAAAGUCAUCCAUAUCCUCCUUGGGGCAAGAAAAUGAUGCAAUUUUUCAGGGAACUAGGAACCAACCUGUAUCAGUUCGUGGUCAAAAGAAAAUACUAUCCAUAGGUGAACCUGUCACAGAAGGGAAGUCUCUGCCACCAGAAGGUCUAGCUUCAUGGCAGUUGUCGUCAAGUGAACCAUGCAAGCCUCAAAAUGGAGAAGCAUCUUCUAUUACCUCAAAGAAUAGGUCUCAGAUGCAGCAUCGAAUGUCACUAGGAAGAGAAAGGAUUCCACCCAGAUCCAAACUAAAUAGUCUUGAUGGCAGAAGAGCCUCAUCCGCUGCAAAUGCUGUUAGAGGGACAAAAGACUUUGUUGCCUUGAACCGGAAUCUGAGUGGUCGUGCCCAACCGAGGGUGCCUACCAAGGUGAACGAUUCUAAGUUAGACACAGAGAGGAAAACUUUUCCUGGAAAAGAUGACUACCCAUCACAGCUAAGGACAACAAUACGGAAAAGGAGGAUGAUCAAUGGUAGUGGCCAAGUUGAAAGUAGUGGUUUUGUUAGUUCAACUUCCACAAGACAGGAGAAUUAUCAGUUUGAUAAGUCAACUGGAAAAGGAUUAGGAAAUGGUGCUCAUUUGAUGGACCACACUUCUGCUAGGAAUAAAUUAGCCGGUCGGAGAGAAGGUAACAAAGCAAAUGGAAAUGAGGACACUGAUGUUAUUUCAUUCACAUUUAAUUCCCCUAUCAGGAACAAGACUGGAAACCCUACAGGAAUGCAAGGUACAAGCAUAGACAAUUGCAUCAAGUCCCCUCCCCAAGAACCAUUGCCAUUGAGUGGAGAUGAUAUUGGUGCCCUUCUGGAACAAAAACUGAGGGAGCUUGCUUGUCAAGAAGAUGAUGACAUGGCAACAGGUGCUUCAUCCAAGAGGUCCACUGCUAUGAUUCUCCAAGAGCUAAUAUCUGCCUUGUCUGCAGAUCGUUCUCUUUCUCACGACGGACACAUGGCCAAUACAGAUAUAGCAUCACCUGUAAGUCUCUUUGUUUAUUCAACUGUGUUUAUUGACUUGGCAUUACCUGUACCGUUUAUACCAAGAAAAAAAAAUAUGCUGGAAGUGUAUUGAUUUGAGUUUGGGAACCAGUUACAAUAUAUUUUUUUACUUUGAGAGAACAAUGUUUCUAAAUUUCGAGGCUUUUGUAUUUGGUAACUGGUUUGGCAGCUUGUUUAUCAUGUUACGAUUCUAGUAUUUGUCUAACAUGAUGCAUUUUUAGAAUUGCGUUUUAGAUGUAUGAUUACAAUUCUUAAUAUAACUGAUGUAUGACUUAUAUAACUGUCUAUCAGAGUUGGCCAUUACAUGCAAGAUCUCCCAUGGAUAAUAGUUGGGCGCGUUUCAUGGUGGAAAGCGUUAUAUUUUAGUCAUCUUAGGUUGUAGCACUGUUUAAUCCCUUAUACAUGUCCCAUGCAUCAUGAAAUACUUUUGAGUUUGAUUUCCUGGAUGCUAUAUUAUAGAUAUGGAAAGUAUUGCUUAAUAAGUAGUGGUGACCUACAUCAGAUAAGCUUAGAUAUUCAUAUUCUUGUAUAAGUUGAAGUUUCUUCACAGUUAUCACAUCUGCUAUUGAGAUUGGAUGUUCAUGUAAUCAUACAUGGAUGGUACAUGGGUUCCAAAACUAAAGUCCCAAUUUUUUUGUUUUUCUUUUAAUUUAAGAACUUAUUCAUGUUUUAUAUAGUUGGUGGUUGCUUUUUUGUAUAUAUUAUGGACACAAACAGAAAAAUUCCUGAACUGGGAUGACUACAAUGGAUACAUCAUUGUUUCCUGAUGGAUUUCAUUAGACUUUCUGGAGCUUUAGUGCUUCCACCAGGCUAGUUUGGGUUAUAAGAAUGUGUCAGGAAUUUGAAGUAGAAUGGCAACUCUUUCUUAGUUAUGAGGAGUUUGCAUGUAGAUUCUGCUUAUCAAAUCACAGGCCUUUGGGCAUGCAUACUCCAGUCUGGCAACAGUAGUUACUAUGGCAUCUACAUGGUAUGAAGCUUGUCCAUGUAUUUUACUUGUAAUUUAGAUGAUGAGUGGAAUGAAGAAAAUUCAGGUCGUGCUAUUGCAUUGAGAUCGGGUCCUAGAUUUGGAAAGCUAUUUCAACAGAGCAUGCUGCUUGAACCAUUGAUUUACUUUCCUCACCCUUUGCUUGUAAAUACUACCCACUAGAAUUUCAUAUUGCAUUGAUGAACCGGGGGCAACUCCUUGGUUAUAUUCACAAAAGUUACUCUCUUGGUACCCUAUGGUACUGUUUGGUAUGUGGGACAGGAUGGAACGGAGUGGGACGAGGCGUUCCGUCUCACGUUUGGUGCGCCUAAAAUGGGUGGAACGUGCUGUUCCACGGGACACAAAAUUAUAACCUCUCCGUCUCCUUCCUCCUUGUUUCCAUCCGAGAGCAUCUUUGCUCCCUCUCCGUUCCGUCCCGUCCCGUCCCGUCUGCAUACCAAACGAUACCUUUAAGUUCUAAACAAGAGAAAAAAAGUUAUCAACUUCAAAGGAAUUGCAUUCAUGAGUUGGUUGCUGGUAGGAUGUUUGCUGCCAUCUCUUGUGUAUGUAUUAGGGAAAAUUAUAUGAAGGAGAUGCCGAACCAAUAGGGAGAAAAAGGGGAGAAAAGGAAGAAAGAGAGGUCAGGAAGAAGAACAAGGGGUUAGCUAGGAUUUAACAUUAGUAUAUUAGAUGAUGCAAAUUCUCAGUAGUACUCUAGUUAACAUCUCUAAUCAAUCAUUUGCUGUAUGCUUCUUAAUUUGCUAUUUGCUUCUCCCGCAACUUUUACUGCAUAAGUUUCUGGGGAACUAUCGUAGUUAAUGCUCGAUAGCCCUUGUCAUGCAAAAUUAGUUGUUUAUAUAGUCCUUUAAUUUAAUCCUCACCGUUAACUUCUUGAGAAAGUAGGAAUUAUUGUCAAUCUCUGUUAAUGUGCCUGCAUUGUGCGCAACUUUAGAAUUUUCUUCUGUUUGAUUAAAAGGUGAUUCGGUACACAUUUCUUGACUCAUUUAGCUUCUGUUGGUCCUCCUCAGGCUCGUGGAAAGACUGAUAGAUCAGUUGGAAUCUGUCAUGAUGGUCAUCAUUUGAGCCCUGGGUCUGUUCUUGAAGCUUCAUUUUCUUCUAGUAGUCUGGAUGAUAGCUCAGGUAGAGUAUUUGAGUAAUAGUAGGAACUGCCAUGCAAAACAGAUUCAUAAUUACCUUUUUUAAACUGAGGUGGUAGAGUACUCGGCUAACCCCCAAAAGCUAAUUGUGAUUUUGUUUUCUUUUGUAUCGGUAAGAUCCUCUGAAUAUGAUUCUUAUCUUUGUAUUGCUUCUGAUACAGGGAAUAGGUCCGUCUACCAUCACUCAACGGAUUACUCUGAUGAUCCAUUGCAAUUGGGUCAUGAUACUGAUAGUGUAGACUCUGCCACUUCAGUGGACAAAAAUAAGACUGGCAGUGAGAUAAUAACUGCUCUUUUCAAUAAUGUAUCGAGGAUAUUGCAUAGCAUCGAUGCUGGUGGGGAAAGAUUGAGUGGAGGCAAGCUCACCCAUGCAAAUGAAGUUAUAUUGAAUGCUGAACUAUUGUUUGGAGAUUUGACUCUGCACAGCAAGGGGAACAUAAUGGAAGGUCUUUUCAUCAGUUCCUUGCCUCUUGAUCUGGAAACUAUUGCUGACACCUUGAUGACAAAAUUCUGUGUGUUCAGUAGUUUUGGGGACAUCAAAGAACUUGGUGAAUUCCUUUUUGACUUUGUCAUAGAGUACUUAGACUCAAAAUAUGGCCGGUGCUGCAAUUCCGGAUUCAGAUUUUGGGAAAAACUCCCCGUAGGCAUGAACCAGAAGUUGAUGAUUCAAGAGGUUCAGGAGGGGAUUCAGAAGUGGACGGAUUUGGCUGGAAUGAUUCCUGAUGAGUUGAUAGAAUGGGAUAUGAGUCAUGCCCUGGGUAAGUGGACAGAUUUUAAUACCGAAGCUUUUGAGAUCGGUUCUGAAAUUGACGGAGACAUUCUUCAAAGUUUGGUUAAUGAAGUUGUGAUCGACUUAUGCGAGUGCCAGCUGCUGGGUUCCUUUUGAAAUUCAUGUAAACUCUAGCCACCAUUUUUUUGAGUUCGUAUGAUCCUUGAUCAGCCAUGUCACAUGUUAAAUUCUGUCUGUUAAACCAAGCAAGUGUAUUCUUUUGUACAAAUCAAUGGAAGGCCUAGUUCAAUUUUAAGAUCAGUUAACAGGAUAUGCAAGAAGAUUUCAGUUUUUUUUUCCCCCCGCUUUGAGACUGUGAAGUAAAAUUGAGUUGUAUAAAAGUUAAGCAACCUUUUGCACUCUAACUGUAACUGAUGAUAUGCGCAACUGGUGGGUUGUCGCGGUAGUUACUGCCUUCCUCUUCAACCUAUUGCAUCUUGGGUUCGAACUCUCUCCCCUCACCUUAGUAUAGAUUAGUGCAAUAUAUCGUUUGUAAUUGGCUAAAUACGAGAAGAGAAGAUGUUUUCAUACUCACGUUUUCUCUCACUCUUUUCUUUUGCUUUUCUUAACCUUCGGAUGAUAAACAAUCCAACAAACUUUAACAUUUACUAGUUACAUUCCGAAACAAAUAAAAAAGAAAAGAAUUUUAAGUGGUAAUCAAAUUCCCAGGUCAUAAAACCUCAAGCAAAAUGUUCAGCAAUGAAAGAAUGAAUCGAGACGAAAAAAAACCCAAAAAGCACCAUACUUUCAGAACUGUCUGUAUCCCAAAACAGUCUUUGGCAUUGCUCUUGCAUUGCCAUUGGCCUUCCUUCCGCCCCUGUUUUCGCCGCUAAUAGCAUUAGCGGCGGCGGUCGACAACCCCUUCAACUCCUCCAUACUCGCGUAGCUCUUCCUCGCCAUGACCCCUCCGCCAUUGUUGUACCUCUUCUCCCCCGCGCUCGCCGACUUACUCCCUCUCGAAUUCGACAAAACCCCGUUCGCCGCUUUCGCCGAACUCUUCGCCGGUGGGGUCAUCUCCUGCAUCGACGGAAGCCUCGACGGCGGCUUGCGGUUCUCUUUUCGCAACACGGCUGAGAAGUCGGGCACCGACUGAGCGAGAACGGAAGACCCCUUUCGCGAAUUGGUCAGAUGGGUCUGAAACUUGACUUGUUUCUUCGAUGGGGUCGAUUUCGAUUCGGGUUCUUCGAGCUCCUCUGGGCUCAUGUACUUCCUCUUUAGCCGCGAUUCUCUGAGCUCCGCGUAGGCUGUGUAUCUGGGUCCUCUCUCCAUGGGGUAGCUCUCGGUGGCGAACCUCAGGGGGGCUGGAUGUUGAUCUGGGGUAGGGUUCUGGGAAAGAAUGAGAGAGAUGGGGUCGAUGGCUUGGAAGAGAGAUUGAAAAGCUGGGUUUUGUUGAUUGGUUUGUUGCAGAGAGCUGUUAGUCUCGGCCAUUGUUGAAGAAUUCAAGGUCCCAGCUAAGUUUUGUUUUCUUCUUUCGUCUUCUUUCCCUCUCUAGAAUCUCAAUCAGUGUGCGGAGACAGAGAUUUGAGUUUUUGUUGGUGAUUCAAUAAUGGCAUUUGUAGUUUGUGAUUUGGGUUUUUCUUUCUUUGCAAUUGAAAAUUUUGGAUUUGCAACGGUCGAUAGAUGGAGGUUACUCUUUUUCUUGCAUCCCAACGUUCGGAUUUUAAAUCGCUUUGGAUACCCUAUCGACGGUCUGAUUUGACUGAUUUUCCGUGAUGGAUUUUCCAGAGCCGUUGAUCUUUUUAUUGUUGGUCAUAGAUUGCCGUCAGAUGAUAUGACUUUCCAAAAAAGUUCUCUCUCUCUUUUUGUAGUGGGGAAAGACUUUUUAGGAUCUUUAGACAAGCCGGAGAUUUGUAAGGUUUCCACUUGGAGGCCCGUUAUGCCUCCAUUGGUCAAAUAUUGUAAACAAUGAGCCGGAGAUUUGCUUGGUGUGAAUGUGUGAUUUUCAUAGGGCUAAUCGUAGACCUUUGUCAUUUAUCAUAGUGGUAGAAAGGAGUUGAAUUUCUGCAUGACGGCGUGAAUUCGAAUCCUAUUAGUGACUAAUUUAAUAAAACCUAUCGUUUGAAAAAAAAAUUGGCUAAUUGUAUUUUAGUCUAUUUAAGAUGAUUUUUAAGAUGGAUUAUGAGGUUUUAAUUUUUUUUCAUACUGCACCAUGAUGUUUUAAAAUUUUAUCAAUUUAUACUUUUUGACUCUUUGAAUGUCUACUUUCCCAUUGAAUUGAAGAGUUUUUUUUGUUAAUGUGGUGCAAAUAUGACUUACAUGUUAAAUCAAUUUUGAAUGUCAUGCUUACCAUAUCAUUUAUUUAAUGAAUAUUCAAAUGAUUUAUUAGAAAAAAAAAAUUAAUACAAUUUUAAAACUUAUGUAAAAAAAUUAAAACUUUGUUGGCCGCUUUGAAAACCACCACAAACCUAGGGGCUGUGAAAUUAACAAAAUUGAAACCUUUCGGCUUCAACACAGAGACUCCUCAAUACUGAUUGCUAAUGCCUGAAAUUAACAAAAUCUCAAGCAGCCAAUAUCUGCGUAUAUUUCUAGUGUUGUCUGUGCCGUCGCAGGAACUCCAGUUUUUUACACUAUCCUUCCCAGAACGGCGGCAGGCCGGCGGCGAGAAACCGGAAAUUAAUUAACGGAAAGAUGCGAAUAAUUCAGUGUUGAUUCCAAUUAUACGGGUAAACUUGACGGAGGGGGCAAAAUGGGACUCAAAACAUCGGUCAGGCAAGAUGAGUCGCUUUUAACUAUCGAUACACGAUGUGAAAAUCUAAGGUGCCAUGGUAUUAAUAUUAUGCAGAUUACAAACCUGUUUCAGAAGAAAUAUGUGACACACAAAAGGAUUUGUGCAAAUUACACUUUGUGAUAUUUGUAUUUCUGCCUCAAAUUAAAACUAGUGAUGCUCUGGUCAAAUCCAUUCAGCACCAGGGUCCUUACAGCUUCAACCCCUUGAUCCAGUGCUGCAUCAAUCUGUUCACAUAUAUAGCAGAUAUCGGUCAAAUUUGAUAUUACAGGUUGAAAUUCACACCAAUUCAAGUGAACAGACAACGUAAAUUGCAGAUGCGUGAACAUUUGAAUGUGCAUGGCGAGCGUGUGGGCAAGCAAAUAUUUUCUGACCAUUUAAGUGAUCAAUGAAUUUCCUUAAUACCAUGAGUCAGAACUAUUUAGAAACAACGAUAUACCUGAUGUCUCUCGACUGUACUGAAUCUCUGUAGAAGAUAGGCUUUCAUGUCCAUAGUUCCAGGUGGAUUUCCAAUACCUGAAACAUAAUUCAUACUCCUCUUUUAGUUUCCAAUUAAGGCAAGUAUAGACCCUUUUGGACUAAGACACUUAACCAUCGGUUGAAAAUACUACUGAAGAAACAAACCUAUACACAGCCGAGGAAAUUCACGGCAACCGUCCAGAUGGCCCAUUACACUUUUUACACUGCAACAAGGAGAAAACAAUUAUAAAAAGUUUGGAACAUGAGAGAAGCGGGAUUCAGCAGACACGUUAUUACUCAGUUUUGUAUUGCCUGAUAUGGAGUUACGUGGAUCAGCAUUUCUGAAAGAAUGUGUCACAAGACAAUCAAGUUCAAGCUGUUCAUAAUUAUAUUCUUUCCUUCCUGCCUUCCGUAUGCUUUCAACUAGAGAGCAGAGAAAAUAAGAGAGAAAAAGAGGAAGAAACAAAAGAAACAGAACUACUAAUAUUUUUUGCGUUUGCUUAUCAAGAGAAAGCUAAUAAGAACAAAAUGUAAUUUUGGUUAGGGGCAGUACGAGUUGGGUUAAAUCUUUUCUUUUCUUCAUGGCCAAGCAUUGGGUAAACAAGAAUCAGGGAACGUAAAUGGCAGAUAAAAAAGUAGUGGUUUAAUAAGGACAGGAAAAUAUGCAACGCUAACAAGCUAGAGAAGAGUUUGACUUUCAAAUGAUCCACGCCAAGCACAAUUUUUCUGAGGCAGAUAAAAUGUUACUGUUGUCACUUCCAAUAUUAUCAAACAACCUCCAGUCUAUAACUUCACCUAACCACAAAUGCACAUAAAACCCAGUAGCACACAUAUCAACAACUUUGAGUGUGCCCCGACUCUUCCAUUUUUCUACAAGAUUCUGAGAAGAGCAAUUGAAAUUCAUUUGGACUUUUAAAGCUCUAACUGUAUGGAAAAGGGAAAGAUUUGUUUAGAGAAGAUUUCAAACAAACAACCCCGGAAAGACUAUGUAUAGUCUUUGCUUCCUUCUAUACUAAAUCAUCCGAGCCAGAUUGGCUUUUUCUUUUUUUCUAAGCAUAUCAAGGAAAAGUGAUGCAUAGUUGUAACCAAAAAAAACAAAGUGAUGCAUAGUUACCCUUUGAUUUUGCAAGGAAAUAAAGGCUUAAAGGUAAACAACUAAACAAUCUACAGGAAAAAUCUCGGUUUUCUGUAGCCAAACUGUCAAACCCGUCAAAUUAAGUAUGGGUAGCUAAAAUUUGAGACUGAAGUAUCCCUUUCUAGAAUCAGUAUAAUGUUUAUUUAAUUUCUAGUUCGGAAUCUAUAGAUAAAAGGACACGAACAGGGUGUUUCUUCAUCCACUUGCUAUUCAGCCAACACUAAGAACCUCAAACCCCUUACUUAACUUCUUCUUAUGACAUCACCACUAAUACAUCUCUAAUUGAAUCUAGUAAGAUUCCUGCUCCAUAUCCUUCUUAAUAAGCAUGGAACUUAGUCACAAUGGUACAUGAAAACUUACUAACAAUGGACUACAGAAAGCAUCUGUGCAAACGUACCUUCACAGGAUACAGAAUGCAAAAAUUGAGAAACUGUCUUUAAUACUUGUUCAUUAGGAAUUUCAACACGGUUAAUUUAGCAGCUCUCGUGAAAGACAUCAAUUAGAACAUAACACGGAAAAUAUAAUUUACUAUAGAAUCCACCUCAUUUAGUAUGUUAGUUAUAGAAUCUUCAAUUCUAAGUCAGAAACUAGUUGGACAAACUAACAUUAUGCAUCGUUAAGAGAUAAAAGAAUCAAACUACUUUUUCUUGAUUUUGAAAACAUAUUUAUUCAAGAACAGAGGAAAGUGAUAGAUAAAUUUUCAUAUGAAUUCUGUUCAAAAUUAAUAUUCACACAUACCCAUUGUGAUAGCCAUGACCACCUUUUGGCUGAAUCCUCAGAACACCAUUUGGUAAGCUCAUCUCAUCGUAAACCUACAAGUCCAUGGCUCCCAUUAAUGUAAUGCGACAUUGAACUUGAUGAACUAAAUUAAAGAAAGGAAUUUAUUAAUCUUGUAAAGCUGACAUUAAGAUACAAAAAAUGCAUACCAGUAAAAUAUGGCGUAGGGGUACUUGAUAAUAUGCCGCAAGUGGUCCAACCUUAAGAAUAAUGAAAGGAGAAUAAGUGAUUGGAAAAAUGCAAUCGUAAGGUAGCUCUAAUCACACUGGCAUUUACUCAUUCAACUAAAGAAAAGGAGAUACAUACUAUGAUGCUCAUGGAUAUUCUGGCAUAAGUGCACCCAUAAACAUGAACAUGAAGAAAAAUAUUAAUGAAAAUGGCACAUCGCUUCACCACGUUAUCCCAUUUUGCCAACAAAAUUGAUCACAGUAUUAUAAUCUUUCAUGAGCUCGAAAAUGUCAAUCAUCUGAUUACACACCACAAUGAAAUAUAUGGUUUGAAAUUUUCAAACAUGUAAUGAUAUAGAAAUCACCAUUGCUUAGUUCACAGCCAGGUUAAACUCUACGUGAGUGAAUGGUAAAUGAUUGUAAUCAAUUGCAGAAAGCACACUCCGGAGCUAAUUAAUCAUUAUUACUUUUACAUAUUCCUGGAAGACGGUAUUUCAUGAAACACAGCUCUUCUUCCAUCAAAAACUGAUUGCAGCGUUGAGGAAAAUACGAAUAAUUAUACUAAAUGAAAGCUCCUUUUGAAGUUUACUUGAACCCUUCCAUUAGGUGCAACAGAAAUUUACAUUAUGGAUUCUCAAUCUAAUGGUCUGUCCAGUAUAGAGUAUCCUGUCACUUUCGUUGGGACGUCACAGAGUUUAGGUUAUAAGUAAUACAAAGUUAUCAUAGAACACUUAUGGGUAGUGGAGUGUAUAACAGUUAUGUGAGCCAAAAUUGACACCAAAAAAAGCAAACAGAAACGAUGAGAACACACCGAUUCUCCGCUAUAAUUCAUGUAGGCUUGAGGCUUCACCAACAAAAUUGGUACUUCUCCAAUGGAGCCUGUACUGAUCACAGAGAAGAAUCUAAAUGAACACCAAAACACAUGAAAAUGUGGAAUUGAAAAACAAGAAUUGAAACACUUAAAAUACUACUGAAGACCCACCUAUUCCAAUCAAGGCCUUCGACUGUAUUGUAUUCAUCGCAAUGCCUUCUGCUUUAGCAAUACCAUCAAUCAUCUCGAAACCAAUCUGGUGUACAAAACCCACAGGAAACAAAGGGUAAUGAAAAAGAAUUCAACCGAAACACUUAAACUAGUUUAUAAAGGUGGAAUAUUACAUUGUGCCUAGUCCCAUGGUACUUGUUGCCAGGGUUACCCAAUCCAACAAUCAGCCAAGGAGUGUACUCCACUUUAGCGCCAUUGGUAUUAUCCGGUAAGCAAGCCUUCACACGUAAACUUGUGGAAACCGAAUACUUCCUUAGAGAAGGAGGGCUGCAAGGUCUUCUCGGAUAUGAUAUGCAAUAGUUUGGGGCAGAGACAGCAUACCACAUUGACCUAAACAUCCAAAACACAAAUUAGAAGUAUGGUUAGCAAUGGGUUUGAAUCAAAAACCACUUAGCACUUCAUUAACUGGCCAAGUUUCAACAUUUUUAAUACCCCAGUUGGCUAAAUUCUGAGAUUAUUUGUUCUUGUUUCCUCUAAUUAAUAUACUCUUCACUAAAUAUAAGCUUAAGCAGAAAAGAAAUACACAAAAAAAUAAAAAUAAAAUUAAAAGACAAGCUUGGUAAGAGCAGAAUAUGGAGAAAGAAGGGGAAAAAUCACGAAAGAAUUAUAAAACGAGGAGCAAAACGAACCUGGCUGCAAAUUUUGGAGCUUGUAUUUGAAGUGGGGAUAUAUGAAUGUGAGGAAGUUGGAGAGAGAGAGAGGAGGUGCUUCUCGACGAGAGCUUGGAAGUUGUUUAUGGUUUGCAGUCGCAGACGGAGGUGUUUCAGAGGAUAGAGUUAAUAAGAAAGAUCUAAGAUUUAUCUGAUUUGAGGAUAUACCAGCAAAAAACCCCGAAUUUCACUUUCAUUUGGCCCAAUGCACCUUCUCAUUGAUGGGUUGGCCCAAUUCACUCUGGUAGUUUUGACGGAUCUUAUACGGUGAAAAUACAAUAAAUUCAAACUUUAACGAAAAACUACCGGUAUAGUUUACUUUAACGAAAAAUUACAUUUUUACACUAAAAAGUCAAUUAUGAUACUAUUUAUUUUACCCUUUAUUUUGUCUUUAUCGUUAAAACUCAAAAUUCUCAAACCAUUUUCAUUAAUUUUUCUUAAAUUCAUAGGUAAAUUACAUUUUACCCCCUCAUGUUUGGGGUUUAUUUCAAUUCCUUAUAAUAUCUUUAAAACAUUUCAAUUUCAUACAUUUAAUUAUCAUUUUAUUUCAAUUUCAUAUGUCUGUUAAAAAAAUCUGUUGAGUAAAUCGUUAAGUGAUGACGUUGCAAAUAUGAGAUCCAACGUGACUGCCAAAUUAUGCUACGCGGCAAAAAAAUUAAUUUUUUAUGUUAAAAAAAAAAAGAAAAAAACUAAACAAACCAGAACCCCCGACCCACCUCCCCUCCCAUCCAAAAACCCACCCCAGACCGCCCCACCCCCACCUCUCUCUCUCGCGUCUGGCGACGAACGCUGAGAUCUGAAAAUCUUUGCUUUCCUUUCUCUUCAACUUUCUACUAAGAGGUCAUUCUUCUUUCUUCCUUAAUCUUCUUGCAUUCCUCCAAAAUUUGACUUCAGUUUCUCUGAUUCGCUCUGAUUCAGUCGCAAUUUUGGUUCUCCAAUCUCAUCGCGCAUUUCCGAAUAUUUCAGAUUCGUCAAGGAUUUCAUGAAGGUCUUCGAUCAGACGGUCCGAGAAAUGUUAGUUUUUAUUGCGAUUUUACGCAAUUUUUUCGUUUUAAUUUGGUAUUGCAAAUUUGAAUUUGCAAUUUGAUUGACAUUUUGUUUGCUUAAUCUUGAUGUGCAGAAAGAGGGAGGUGAAUCUGAAGGUUUUGAAGGUUCCGGAGAUGGGAAGAGGAGGUGAAUCAUUUCUGGGUUCUGUUUGGUUUUUUGUUUUUUUUUUUAAUUUAAUUUAAUUUAAUUUUUAUUUUAAUAGGGUAAAUAUUAUUAUAUUUUAAUGCAUAAAUUUUUUUCUUGCCACUUGGCACAAAUUUGACAACCAUAUCAACACAAAUGUAGACUCCAUAUUUGCCACGUCAUCACUUAACGGUUUACUUAACAAAUUUUCUAACGGAUGUAUGAAAUUGAAAUAAAAUAAUAAGUAAAUGUAUGAAAUUGAAAUGUUUUAAAGAUUUGUAAGGAAUUGAAAUCGACCUCAAAUUUAAGGGAGUAAAAUGUAAUUUACCCUAAAUUCAUUUGAACAAGAGUUAUAUUUUAUUAGAUUAAAUUAUCUAACGAUUCUUAUUUAGAUGUGUAACUUAAUGUGCACUAAAAAAAACCUCAUAGAUGCAAAUCGAGCAAAUUUUGUACAAUGUUUCUCUUUUCACAUCUAGAUGCAAAUUACAGUUAAGUUACAAUCGGGUAAAAAACCCCUAAUAUCAAACAAUUUAUAUUUCAAUUUUUAGUUUUAAAAUAUAUAAUAACCUAUACAUUAUUAUGUCAAGCACUUCGGUUAAAAACUGAAAAUCAACAAGGUUUCGAUCAAAGAACAUUGAUAGUUAGGGACCGCAUCCAAAGUCUCCUAAUACUUAAUUACCUAAAACAAAGAAACACUACAAAAUUGCCAAAAUAUUACAUAACUCGAAGAAACUAAAUCUUGCAAGACUUAUUCUAGCCGAGUUACAAACAUCUUAUUAUAAAGAACUGGUGCAACAGUUGGUGCGGUUAGUGCAGAGCUCUGCUGCGAACAUGAGUGAAGAUUUUGGUCUCGGGGCAUCUCGUCACUCCAGUGCCAUGAGCGGCAGGAGAGAAGAUCUGGCAGCUUCUUGUCGCUUGACUGACGUUUGAUGAUGAUGGCGAAGAGAGGACGAUGAUUUUCAUUUUGAUCAAUAUCAUGUAAGCAUAUAAAAGAGAGACAGAUUGAGUCAUUUCCUUUAAAUAUUUAUCUCUGUCUGCUAUGCCUGCCCAAUAUUUUUAAAUAGUUCGAAUUCAGAAUUAAUCUCAUGAAUUCUGGGCCCUAAAGUUCUCCAAGGCACUCUAGCUUGUCCCCUGUUGGAGAAGCAGAUUUAAGAAAAAAAGAGUUACUGGAAAAUUGAUCAUGGGGGAGUACAAUGGGAAAUUCAGGAAAGUAAAACAUGUUUGGGGUCUGAUUUAAAAUUUUUGAUCUGUAACACCCAACCGAUCUUCGGCUUAGCCCAAAAGCUCAAGCUGUUGAAUGUUUGAUCAAAUUUAAACAAAUUUCAAAUUACUUUAAUUUGCACAAUUCUUGAUUGUUUGAGGAUUGAGAGACAUUUGAGAUUGAUUUACAAUUCCAAGCUAUUUGUUUUCCAUGGUUAUAUUAAAUUGGUGAAAUUUGACCGUUAGGCUUUGUUUGGGUGUAAGGGAUUUAAGCCAAGUGAGGAAGCAAUAAGCUAUAAAACUUUAGAUGCGGAAAUGCACUACAUGACCAUUACCAAGUUACAAAUGUAUGCUAGACGGAGUUGCAAAUCCCUCUCAUAUGCCUUUGUAAUGCAAAUGUGGUGCAUUUAUAAUCCGUCAUUGUAUAUUUUUUUAUUCAUCUCUUAUUUAGCUUCAUUCCUCCAAAUAUAGCAUUAUGUAAAAAGAAUACUAAAGUUUUGUAGCGUGCUUAUACUUAAAACUAUGUCGUUUUGAGUAUAGAGGAGGUGUAGAGUGUCACACCUUGAUCUCAAGAUACGACCAUGAUCGACACAUGACGACAUAAAGUACUUAUGAAGCUACUGUGAACACGGAAAAUUCCUGAAAUGAAAGAGACAAGAACAACGAACGUGCACAAACAAAUAUUUAUGUUUUGAUGAUUUUGACUUACAAUCUCUCUCUAUUUUGAUCCUCUGAUUCGAUCUCCGUAAGGUGUUGAUUGGUGGAUAUUUCGUUGAUCCAAGGGCCGUCAAGGCUUGAUCUUGGAUGAACUGUUGGAAGUUUCUUCAAAGGGCCGUGGGCUUGAUCUUUGGAGGUGGAUUUGAGCGGAUCUUCAAGGAGCCGUUGGGGCUUGAUCUUGAGGAUGAAUGUAUCUUCAAGGGCCGUUUGAGGCUUGAUCUUGAAUAACGGUAAUGAGCAGAUCUUCAAAGGCGUUUGGGCUUGAUCUUGAAGAACAGUGAUGGACGGAUCUUCAAGGGCUUUUGGGCUUGAUCUUGAAGAACGGUUGGAUGUGUGGAUUUGUCGACGUUGUUAAUCCAAAGGGGUCGUUGGGGCUUGAUCUUGGAUGAACGGAUGAUGAACGAUGGGGCUUUCUUCAAGGGUCGUCGGGGCUUGAUCUUGAAAGAACGAUGAACGAAGAACGAAGAACACUUUCUUCAAGGGCCGUCGGGGCUUGAUCUUGAAUUGGUGGAUGAUUGUUGAUCCAAAGGGCCGUUUGGGCUUGAUCUUGGAAGAACGAUGAACGAAGAACGAAGAGAGCUUUCUCGAUUCUUCGGGAACCUGGAUGCUUGAGAGCUUCGGAGUUUCAGAGCUUCAGAGCUUCAAGGUGUAAUAUGAAUUGGUCCCUCCCCUCAAAUGAAUGAAUUAGCCUUCUAUUUAUAGAAAUUUCCAAGGCCUAAUUUUGAAUAUAAUAUUCCAAAUGAAAUAAGUCGUUUCUGCCAGGUGUUGACACGUGUCCUAUUUGAUGACUUUUCCAACUUAUUUCGAUUUUUGUUUAGACACACGCUACGUGUAAAAUUUAUGUAAUACAUGAGCGUUGAAACUUUAAUUUAUCGGUCAACAUUUAUUUACCAAAAUUUCGAUGUCUACAAAUGCCCCCACUUCAAGACGCGUUGUAUACAUGUGCUUGUCGUGUGUAGGAGAUGCGUUUUGAAGUCCCUUAUUGUAGAUGUCGAUCCAAGGGCCAUUCAAGGCUUGAUCUUGAAUUGGGCCUGAGAUUUCUUCAAGGGCCGUUGAGGCUUGAUCUUGAAUUGGGCUUGAGAUUUCUUCAAGGGCCGUUUGAGGCUUGAUCUUGAAUUGGGCUUGAGAUUUCUUCAAGGGCCGUUGAGGCUUGUUCUUGAAUUUUUUGUUUGAAAUUUCUUCAAGGGCCGUUGAGGCUUGUUCUUGAACUUUUGUUUGAAAUUUCUUCAAGGGCCGUUGGGGCUUGAUCUUGAAAGUUGAAAUUGGACCACAAGGAGCUUCAUGUGGUAGAUGAUCCUUGGCUUUGGUAGUGGAUGAAUCGGCACGUAUUUGUUUUUGCGCUUUGUUGACUUUCCACAGCUUUGAUUUUGAACUGGGUUGGAGGAUUUUCUGGAUUCCUCCAAUUGUUGAUUUUCCACAGCUUAUUCUUGAACUAGGUUUUGAUUCAAGAGUGGUAGACACUUGAUCUUGAAUCGGACUUGUGAUUUCUUCCAGGGCCGUCGAGGCUUGAUUUUGAAUUUGGCUGGAAGCUUCUUCAAGGGCCGUUGAGGCUUGAUUCUUGAAGGUUGACUCGAACAUAUUGCAAGCAGGCACGAGGUGAAGGUGACGAUUUGUUGCUUUGUUCAAUCUUUCUAAUUCACACCUGAGCAGUUUGGUCAACGGUAUGAUCUUCAAGAUUGAUAGGGUUUUCUUCCAGUUGAUGACUUGAUCUUUAAGGAUUUGAUUCAAGGGUGGUGAAUCGGCACGUGCAGCCCACAACGCCUAGUAAGUCGACCCAAGAAUUUGAGGGUCAAAACGAGCUCACCGUCCAGAGUGAUUGCAACCCUGAUGAUAUGAGAUACUUUUGAUUUUGAAGAAGUAGCGGAUGAAUCGGCACGUGCUUUGUUGUGCUUGUCUCCACAUCCUUCAAUGUAUUAUUUUCCCUUGCUUUAUCUGUUCCUCAGGCAGAAUGUGGCAUCUUUUCGAGUUCUUCAUCUCAGACUCUUUCUGCUGAGUUGACUGUGCAUGUUGCAUUCUUCUCUGCUUGUUUCUUCAGGCAAAUGUGGCAGCUUCUCAAGUUCCUCAGUUCGGACUCCUUCUGCUGAGUUGACUGUGCAGACCGCAUUCUUCUUUGCUUGUUCCUUCUGCACGUUGUCUCCACAUGCUGCAAGGUAUCAUUUUCACUUGCCUUAUCUGUUCUUCAGGUAGAUGUGGUAGCUUCUUUGGAAGUACAGCAGCAGUGGGAGACGAGUACUCGAGAGCAGUGCUAGGUAGGCAAUCAGGGAAGGGUUCCAAGCAGUCGGUUCCUUACCCGAGUUUGAGUGGAAGUUCCGGCAUAUUGCUUUCUUUAUCCUUGUCUUUGCAGGUAAGAACAAAGACAAAGGAAAGGACAGGGAGAACGCAUGAUAUGAGAUACUCUUGCUUUCUACCCUAGUGAUAUGAGAUAAUUUUGCUUUAGUGUCAUUUGUUUGCAAAGGUACCCCAAGGAAUAAGGAACACUGAGUAACUCAAGAGGCUUCGUUGGGAAGGCAUUCUCAGAGAUGAAGAAAGGUCUGUAUGUCUGCCUUGCUAUGGAGGGUGAAGGUGGACAGUUAUAGGAAGUUCUUUAACACCUGUAGAGGUACUAUUCUUUCACUCGUGUCGGCAACCGUUGGAUGUUUGAACAGUAAACUUCACGUGCUUUCUCCUUCACCCAAAAAUCUUCGACAAAUUGUCCGUGAUUUGCGCAAAGUUGAGUGUGCAUAUGACAGGUGUUGACGAGGCUGAAAAAGACUGGCGCCUCUUCGAUAUCUGGGAUCAGCGCUUCGACAAAUUGCCCGUAAUUUCCGCAAAGCUGAGUUUGUGUGUGACGAGUGCCGACGUGUCUGGAAAAGCAAGAUGCUUCUCCGAUUUCUGAGCUUGCCUCUUCGAUUUUUGAAUGGCCUCUUCGAAUUCUGAGCUCGCUUCUGAAAUCUCGUCGAGUGCUAAUUUUUUAUAGAGGCAUGCAGUUCGUUUCAAAACACACUUGAAUUUUCGCUUGUGAAAACUCCCAUCUUGUACUUCUAAGAUCUUGAUUUGUCCGAUCUCUUCUUCCUUUAACACUUUGAAAAUGUCUGGACCCUCAGACCGUCGUUUUGACUUGAAUCUUGGUGAAGAGGCAGUCCCGCCUUCUCCAGACAACAUAUGGCGCCCAUCCUUCAUAUCCCCCACUGGUCCUCUUACCGUUGGGGAUUCGGUGGUGAAGAAUGAUAUGACCGCUGCGGUGGUGGCCCGAAACCUUGUCACUCCCAGAGAUAACAGACUACUUUCCAAACGGUCUGAUGAGUUGGCUGUUAAGGAUUAUCUGGCUCUCAGUGUGCAGUGUGCAGGUUCUGUGUCUAAUAUGGCCUAACGCCUAUUUGCUCGAACCCGUCAAGUUGAAUCAUUGGCGGCUGAAGUGAUGAGUCUCAAACAGGAGAUUAGAGGGCUCAAGCAGGAGAAUAAACAGUUGCAUAAGCUCGCACAUAGCUAUGCGACAAACAUGAAGAGGAAGAUUGACCAGAUGCAGGAAUCUGAUGGUCAGAUUUUACUUGAUCAUCAGAGGUUUGUGGGUUUGUUCCAGCAGCAUUUACCUUCAUCUUCUGGGGCUGUACCGAGUGCUGAGGCUUCAAACAGUCAACCUCCGGCGCCUUCUCUUCCUGGAGCUCUGCCGAGUUGUGAGGCGCCACCUGAUCGUCCUUGAAGAUCCCCUCUUGUAAAUUUGAUUUGAUUUGAUUUUUUUUUUUAUGACAUGUGGAAUGCGAAUUUAUGUAAAUUUUUUAGAGAAAUAAAUAAAAGAUGGACUUUACUAAAUGCAUUAUAUAUGUAUAUAUAUAUAUAUAUAUAUAUGUAUAUAUGUUUCUCAUGAUGCCAGAUGCACCAUCACUUCCCUUUUAAUCAUUUUUUUCUUUUUUUUUUCUUUUCUUUUCCAUGGUGCCAGAUGCACCAUCAAAAUUUUCUUUUAUUUUUUUGUUUCUUUCAGCGGUGCUCACACCCACCACAAUCAUGAACCUUUUUUUUUGUUUAAUUAAUUAAUUUAUUAUUAUUAUUAUUAUUAUUAUUAUUUUAUUUUUUUUUCCGGUGCCACAUGCACCUUCCCUAUUUUUUUUUUCACGUGGUGCUAGCACCACUUUCCUCCACUAUCCCAUUUUCUAUUAUAUUUUUUUUGUAUAAAUUUCGAUGAUGGGCUGGGCGAAUUUGCAGGGAGUGGAGCAAGGAGGCCGAGAAGAUGGAGGAGAUGUGGACAGACGGUGCCAACGCUUUGGAGCUGGGUUCUUUGCUGGGCUUAGGCGUUGCGCAACGGAGAGGGUGCCUAGAUGAUGUACUGCAUCACCACCGCUUGCACCAUGAAGAUCUCUCUGUUAAAAGCUUUGAACAGACUCCACAAGACUGCAAAUCUAUGGAAGGAGAACAUGAGAACUUGCUGCUGGAUCCAGUUAGCUUUCCAUGGAUAGAACCAAAGUUCUCACUGUCAAAAGACCAUUUUUCCCUUUGAGAAUAGGCCACGAGCUCAGAAAAGGUACGCACCAGCCAUCAGAAGACCCACCUAGAGAUCCAGUCGCCAAGUCAUUGUUGCAAGUAGAGAGAGUCAGAGGUGGCGGAGACAGAGCCUGUCCUCCAAUGCCGGCGACGAGAGAGCAGAUGAGUGCCACGUUGAAGAUGUUUUAUCUCGGAUGCUGCUGCUCUACCAUGGUUCAGAACGACGACGAGGUCGUAAGUUUGGAGACGCAGGUUUGCACAGAGGAGGAGCGGAGGAUAAGGGCUGACGUGAAGGUCCACUUGCUCCGGGUGUGCACACCAUGUGCAGCAGGCCGGGUUUGGUGGAGUGAGGCAGCAGAGAGCGGCACAAAGACCGGUGAAGAUGACGGCGGAGAACAAGGAUUGCUGAGUCUGGUUGCUCAUGAAAAGCUGCGGGUUCAGAAUCUGCGGCUUCUCGUCCGGGCUGCUCUCAAAUUGCUGCUGCCGUUCGAAAACCCCGAACCGGCGAACCCGAAAUUUGGGACCGAAACGCCGCUGCCCCAAUUAGAUCGAAAUUAGGGCCCUGAUCAACGAUUCCCAACCCGGCGUUGCUGUCGAAAUCAAUGGGGCUGUUAUGGUGGUUGCCCUUCCCGCUCUGCAAUAGCUGCUUGAGUCCACACGACAUGUCAUCCACAUCCCCGGCUAUCCACCUCAGCAGAGACGUCGAUUUAUCACCGCCACCACUGACGUUGUUAAAAGACGAAGAGAGAGUGGAAGCCAAAGUGGGUGGGCUCGGGUUUCUUCUCAUAUGAAGAACAGAAUUGGGCUCGCCGCGGAAAGCUGUUGAGGUGGAGGAGUCGCAGCGGAUGUGCGGGAGAAAGAUGAGAGUUAGCUGAGAGACGAGCCUGGAUUCCAGCUUGAGGUCCGUGAGCUCGCCGGACCUGGAUUUGGGUGCCCUCUGGGUGCCCCGAAGUUCCACAGAGACGGAGGGAGAGGGAUGAGAGAUUCACGAGGGUGGUAGUGCUGUUACGCCGUCAUUGGGGUGGCUCUGGUACCUCAUUAUGUGGGUGCGGGCUCGAUCGGCGAGAGAGGGAGAUCCGAGAGAGUGCGAGAGAUGAGAAGAGAUCCGAGUGGAGAUGGGCUUUGAGAGCUGAGAAGAGAUCCGAGUGGAGAUGGGCUUUGAGAGCUGGGCCUGGAUCUGUGCGUUGUGGAGAUGGCGGAGAGACUGGGCUUGGGCUUGGUGUUGAAAGAGGGCAGCACCGCAGAUGGGUUCGACGAGUCUUCGUUGUGGGUCGUAGUGGCCUUUACACUGUGUCGUCUGGAUUUGCACAUCCUCCAAUUGUUAAGACCUUAGAGUCCAUUCUUAUAUAUAUUUGUUUUUUUGUGUUUUUUUUUUUGUAAAUACAUAAUAACAUAUGUAUUCAUUUUUUUUGAACUGUAAUCUAAUUUUGUACAAAGAAAUUGUAAUAACAUAAAAAAAAAAAUCUUAUUCUUCAUUUUGAUGUGACUGAACUCGAAGUUGAAUGUUCGAGAUGCCUACGUACCCCUCCAAUGAAGAGAUCAAGUCAUAACGUAGUUCAAAAACAUACAUAUUUUUGGUAUUUUCUUUUUGUGCCGUUUGCAGUUUUAACUCAUGCAGGCAAGGAAUGUUGGUGUCGUUUGCAGUUUCAACUCGUGCAGGCAAGGAGCAUUUGGUGCCGUGUUGCAUUUUCAGCUCGUGCAGGCAAGGAGCGUUGGUGUUGCCUUUUAUGCUCGUGCAGACCAGGAGCGUUGUGCCAUGCAGUUUAGGCUCGUGCGAACAAGGAGCAUUUGGUGCCGUGUUGCAGUUUCAGCUCGUGCAGGCAAGGAGCGUUGGUGUUGCCUUUUAUGCUCGUGCAGACCAGGACGUUGUGCCAUGCAGUUUAGGCUCGUGUAGGCAAGGAGCGUUGUGCCAUGCAGUUUAGGCUCGUGUAGGCGAGGAGCGUUGGUGUUGCCUUUUAUGCUCGUGCAGACCAGGAGCGUUGAUGUUGCCUUUUAUGCUCGUGCAGACCAGGAGCGUUGGUUCGUGCAGUUUAGGCUCGUGUGAACAAUGAGCUUUGGUUCGUGCAGUUUAGGCUCGUGCGAACAAGGAGCAUUGGUGUUGCCUUUUAUGCUCGUGCAGACCAGGAGCUUUGUGCCAUGCAGUUUAGACUCGUGCGGGCGAGGAGAAUUUGUGAAUUUUGUCAAGCAAUCCGGGAGAGGCGUUCCUCACAAUUUUCAUAGCAAGGAGCUUUGACCGCGUGAUUGAAGAAGUCUUCGGGCAGGAAAUCGCGCAUCGUGAUGGGGAUGGACGAUCUAUGUGUCGAAAUUUCAUCAUCUUCAACACGUUCACGUUGCUUUGAAGGUUGACAAUAGCUGCUUUGCCCCCUUUCCGAUUGGCGGACUUGUGGAGGAGACGUAUGCUUCUUGUGCAAUUUCUUAGGAGUGACUUGAGUCCAUCCUUCAACUUUGCUUGUCUUUGAGGAUGCCCCCAGCGGUUGAGGUGAAAACUUUGAGUUGGAAGAGCCAAAAGUGAAGGUGGUAUAGUUUGACUUCGCCACUUCGUCAAGAUCUAGCUCGAUGAUUCCUUUCUGAGCCAGCUUCAUGAUGAGAUCUUUCAGCACGAAACAUUUUUCUGUCGGAUGACUGAUGAAGCGGUGGAAUUUACAGUACCUUGGAUUGUCGGUGCGAUUCAUCUCUUCCGGCCGUUUGCACUCAGGCAAACUGAUCACCUUCUUGUCCAACAGGUAAUCUAGCAUGACAACCACAUCAGAGUCGGGGAAUGGAUAAGUCUUCUCCUCAAGCUCAUUCAAAGUGCGUCUACGCGUCUCUUGAUCACGAAAAGCUUCGGUUUGAAUCGCCUUGCCUCGUGUGGAUAUUUUGACAGGAGAUGUGUUGAUCAUCAUCGCUUCCUUGGUGGGUUUCCAAGCAGCCUUUUCCACCUUUGUCCCAAGAACUUUGUCGUUCUUGUAGUCGGCGAUCGGUUCUUUCUUCCCAUGAUGGGCGAUGCUCAACUCCAUGUCAUGGGCGCGAGUGGCCAAUUCCUCGAAGGUCCGCGGUUUAAUGCCUUGAAUGAUGUAUUGCAAACCCCAUUGCAUGCCUUGGAUGCACAUCUCGAUUGAAGAGGUUUCCGAGAGCCUGUCUUUACAGUCGAGGCUUAGAGUGCGCCAUCUGUUGAUGUAGUCAAUGACUGGCUCGUCCUUCCACUGCUUUGUGCUCGUUAGCUCUAACAUGCUCACAGUGCGGCGGGUGCUGUAGAAACGGUUGAGGAAUUCUCGCUCUAAUUGCUCCCAACUGUUGAUGGACUCAGGCUCUAGGUCCGUGUACCACUCAAAGGCAUUUCCUUUCAGCGAGCGCACAAACUGCUUGGCGAGGUAGUCUCCCUCCGUCCCCGCGUUGUUGCAAGUUUCGACGAAAUGUGCAACGUGCUGCUUUGGGUUUCCUUUUCCAUCAAACUGCAUGAACUUUGGUGGUUGAUAACCCCUUGGCAUCCUUAGGGCAUCAAUUUUCUUGGAAUAGGGCUUCGAGUAGAACAAGGAGGUAUGUGAGCUCCCUUCGUACUGUGCCUUGAUGGUGUUGGUGAUCAUCUCUUGCAGCUGCUGGAUAGAAAGAGAUCCCAUAAGUGCCGCUGUUUGGUCUGGCUCCGGCUUCCCAUCGAUUUUCUUCACCGGGGGUUCUUCGUCUCCGCCAGCUCCUCCCUUUAGUGGAUCAUCCUCUGGGUCGGGUUUAUCGUCGUCCUGCGCCUCCAGUCGGUUGACUAGUGCUGCAAUUUGCAAGUCUUUUUCUGCCACAGUUCGGGUUAGCCUUGCGAUUGCUUCAUUCAUUUGAGCCAGCUGCUCAUCGAUUGAAGUUGCUCCAAUAGUCAUGACUUGCAUGGCUGAACUGUCGCUUGAAUCGGCAUCGGAGAGCAUGGAUUCGGCGUAUUUCCUUGGGCUUUCCCCCCUUGGUGCCCUUAGUGAGGCUAAGGUGAUCAAAGGCUCGUGCCUUGGGUGCUUUUGUUCCCUUGGCAGAGUUGAUGCAGAGGUGAAAGAGGCGGCAGAAGUAGCUCUUGCCAUGCUUCGAGUCGUGACGCCCAAAGUGACACCAGUUGCGACGAGGACGCUUUUGUUCUUUGCACCGGUUGUGGGAACAGUUUGAGCCUUCCUUGAUACCAUUAAUUUUGGAAGUGCGCUUGAAUUUCUUGAAUGGAGAAAGAGAUGAGAGGCAGAGAUUGUCCCACUGGGCGUGCCAAUUUGUGAACACGGAAAAUUCCUGAAAUGAAAGAGACAAGAACAACGAACGUGCACAAACAAAUAUUUAUGUUUUGAUGAUUUUGACUUACAAUCUCUCUCUAUUUUGAUCCUCUGAUUCGAUCUCCGUAAGGUGUUGAUUGGUGGAUAUUUCGUUGAUCCAAGGGCCGUCAAGGCUUGAUCUUGGAUGAACUGUUGGAAGUUUCUUCAAAGGGCCGUGGGCUUGAUCUUUGGAGGUGGAUUUGAGCGGAUCUUCAAGGAGCCGUUGGGGCUUGAUCUUGAGGAUGAAUGUUUCUUCAAGGGCCGUUUGAGGCUUGAUCUUGAAUAACGGUAAUGAGCAGAUCUUCAAAGGCGUUUGGGCUUGAUCUUGAAGAACAGUGAUGGACGGAUCUUCAAGGGCUUUUGGGCUUGAUCUUGAAGAACGGUUGGAUGUGUGGAUUUGUCGACGUUGUUAAUCCAAAGGGGCCGUUGGGGCUUGAUCUUGGAUGAACGGAUGAUGAACGAUGGGGCUUUCUUCAAGGGUCGUCGGGGCUUGAUCUUGAAAGAACGAUGAACGAAGAACGAAGAACACUUUCUUCAAGGGCCGUCGGGGCUUGAUCUUGAAUUGGUGGAUGAUUGUUGAUCCAAAGGGCCGUUUGGGCUUGAUCUUGGAAGAACGAUGAACGAAGAACGAAGAGAGCUUUCUCGAUUCUUCGGGAACCUGGAUGCUUGAGAGCUUCGGAGUUUCAGAGCUUCAGAGCUUCAAGGUGUAAUAUGAAUUGGUCCCUCCCCUCAAAUGAAUGAAUUAGCCUUCUAUUUAUAGAAAUUUCCAAGGCCUAAUUUUGAAUAUAAUAUUCCAAAUGAAAUAAGUCGUUUCUGCCAGGUGUUGACACAUGUCCUAUUUGAUGACUUUUCCAACUUAUUUCGAUUUUUGUUUAGACACACGCUACGUGUAAAAUUUAUGUAAUACAUGAGCGUUGAAACUUUAAUUUAUCGGUCAACAUUUAUUUACCAAAAUUUCGAUGUCUACAGCUACCAUCCCUCGUUUCCGAAACUUGACCAAAAACAACCAAACGGUUCGAUAACGUAGUAACUUUUUCUUUUAUUUCAUGGUUGCAUCUAACCUUUGCGUUAGAUUGCCUACGUACCAUAAGACGGAAUCAAGCCAUUCGUAGUUCACCCCUUGUUUACUCCGACAUUUGUCAUGGUAUUUUAUAGCAAAAAACGUAGAGUUCCAGAAUCACUCAAUGAAAUUCGAUAAGUAUGGAUCAUUAAUAGGAAUUAAGAACGUUAAUUAACGCUGAAGUAAUGAUCCAAUCAUCCACAACCAUAUCAUUUGGUUUGCAAAUUUGGUUUAAAUUUUUUUGAUUUCCCAAGCAUUACCCUGUCAAUAUCCCAAAGAGAUACAACUUGGUAGUUAAAUCCAAAGUCAACUCCCCAAACCAAACUCAUUUAAUUUAUUUUAUUGCAAUCAAAGUAAACUUACUUUCUACACAAUAACUUCUUAAUAACAAAAGAAACCCCACGAGCUUCUACAUCUAUUAUUUUUGCAUUUAUAUCAUGAACUAACUCAUUGAUUGAUUUGGGCGGUAACAUAAAUUGUAUUAUUUGGUAGUAAAACUACAUUCUUUUCAAGAUAUAAAACAGUAUUGUCCUAUGUCCUAGUGAUAACAGUUGAUGGAAAAAUAGAAAAUGGGAGCAUUUUGUUGGCAAUGUACAUGACGAAUGUAUCUAUUUUUAUCCUUGACACCUUUCUGUAUAGCAAUUGGGUAAACUAAGGCUGAGGAAUAGUCAUAUAAUAGCCUUGGAUAUUAACUUAUAAACCUAAUUGGACCUACCUUGAAUUCCAACUCACAUAUUCACUCGAGUUUCUCCUUAACUAUAUAUAAGAUGAGAAAUAUCUAGACCUGACAUUCGUGUCGUGUUUUCUGUGUUCAUUUCGUUUUCGUGUCAUACUCGAUAUUUUAACGGGUCGUAUCGUGUAAGACCCAUUAAAAUAAACGGGUAUAUGAACUGACCAGAAAUUGACUAGUUAAUAUUAAUAGGUAAUAUAACCUAACCCAUUACCUAUUAAAGAAAAUAUAUUUUAAGCCAAUAAAUAAUCAAAUAAAAAAAUAUUAUAUUAAAUAGUAUACACAUACCACAUUGCCGCAUAAAUAUUACUUCAAACAUAAAAUCACAUUUGUCUUUCAAGUAUCACAUAAAAACAGAAAAAUAGUGAAAAAAAUUAUAUAAACGCUCGUACUAAUUAACAAGCUUUACAACUUUCGUGAAUAGCUCAACUUUGAAAUUUGCCACUAUAAUCACAUAAACUAUAGAUUGAAAUUUAACUGUUGAUUGUCGUUUACAUUUAUGCUCCAUUCUUCUCACCAAAUUUGUCUUUUCAGAUUUUCUUUUUUGAAAACAUAAUCUUUUAGAGGAUUCAGAAAGAUGAAUGGUUUUGGUCGUUCAUAAUACAUUCUGAAUUUACCUUUAGUGAAACAUUGCUUGGAGUUUAUAAAGUUUCUAGAAACUAUAUAAUAUCGACUCAUAUUUCAGUUAACCAUAAUAUCAGAUUUUGGAGUUGACCCCUUCACAAAAGUUGUAAAGCUUGUCAUUAUGAGUAAUUGUAUAUGUGUAUGUGUGUGUAUGUGUGUGUAUAUAUAUAUGUAUGUAUGUAUGUAUUUUUUUUCUUUUUUACAUUUUUCACAUUUCUACAAUGAUUAUUAUGAAUUUUAUUAAUUUUGCACUCAAAUAAAAAACACUAUUCAUGAGGGUUUGGAUGGUUUUAAAUCUAAACAACAAUGUAACCAUCGUCUACACGUGGAGGAUCAAUCCCAAGCGUCUAUAUAUUCUUUCACUUUUUUACACUUGUACAUUAAUUAUUAUGAAUUUUUUUAAUGUGUUUGGUAUUUGUAGAUUAUUUUGAUAUUUUUAUUUUUAAUGUGUUUUACAAUAUUUUAAUUUCAAAACAUUUAUGAGUAUGAGUGUAUAAGAGAGAGUAAAAAAAUUUUGGGUAACAAAUCAAGUAAAAUUUAUAACAUUAACGAUAAUAAGAAAAUCUCACAAUAAAAAUAAAUAAAUAAAACUUAAUUUUUUUUAACUUAUAUAGAAUAAAAAUACAAUAAUACAUAUUUAAUAUACAAUAUAUACACUAUGGUUGUUGUAUUUUAUAGUAAGUUUUUUUUUUAGUAGUUUAACUUUAAAAUCAUCAAAAUAAUUUAAGCCCCACAAAACUUACAAAAAUAAAAUUAUAUUUAUAAGCGCAACCCAAAUUAUGUUCAAAUGUAUCUUAUUUUUCUUCAAGCUUUACAUAAUUGUCUAGUCAAUGCUGACCCAACGGAAAAAUGCAAUGACCAAAUCUGCAUUUUGAAAGCCAACCAAUUCGACACCUUCAACACAAAUAAAUCACGGCAACCGACAUCUUUGAUUGAAUCAUGUCUACCCAAAUUGAACACUAGACGCAAACCUAGAUUUGCAGAAAAAUCUAAGAUUUAUUUAGGCUAAUGAUAUGGAAAUUGAAUAGAAAUGGGAGGAAAAUUUCGUUUCUCUUGUGCUGAGAUGUUUCAUAUUCAUGUUUGUGAUUAUUCAUCCGUAUUCGUUUGAUGUUUGAUUAGUGUUCAUGUAUUUACUUAAUACUCGUAUUGCCUAGUUCUUUAUAACUAGUUUUUAUUAUAGUACAUGACAAUGACUAAUUGACAAAUUCACGUGUUUUAUUAGUACUAGUGUUUAAUCAUUUACUUAAUACACAAAUUAUUUAACAGUCAUAUGUAAUUAAAAAUGAUAUAUUCUUUUUUUUUUUUGGUUACAUACUUAUUUGUUAGAUGUUAAAUAUAUUAAAUAAAUACUACUUAGUACUAUGGUCUAGUAGUAUAUCUCUUCACUUGUAAGUGAGAGGUUUUAGGUUCGAUUCUCGUUAAAAACGAAUUUAAACCACAUUAUUGCUAACACAUUGUGAGGCUAAGUCCACUCUCUCCUCUUAGUGUAGACAAUAUCGGUUGUUCGAAAAAUAAAUAAAUAAAUAUAUAUGUAUGUAUGUAUAUAUAAUGUGUGUACCGCAAUUAGUCCCAUAUUGUUGUCUCUCUAUUUCCAACGAAAGCAAAAGGUUGAAACGAAGAGGUGGAAAUACGGUGAGGGACCAGAUGUAUUUAUAACAAGUUAGCACCAAAACUUUUGUCGUUUUGGUUGUAUUCUUUUUGUUUAUUUUCCGACUAUAGUUUGACUUUAACAAAAAAUUACAAGAGUUGUCUUUUUGGUUUUUCCGACCAUAAGAGUUGUCUUUUUUAGUUGAAAAUUACUUUUCUUAAAACAAUCGGUAUUCGAAGGAGAUUUAAAUUCGGGAACUUCUUUAAUAUUGAAAAAAUAAGUAUUAGAUCGUUUGCUUGCAUCACAAAUAAAUUGAACUUCUUUAUCAUAAGAUUGUGCCAUAGAGGGGUUUAAUCUGUAGUUAAGUUUUUUUCCUAUGCCUUAUCACCAAGGAUUUUGUAUUUUCUUUGUGUUUAUGCCAAGAGACAAUCCUAAACUAAUCGGAUCUUAGUUUGCAACUGCAAAAUAACUUGGAAGACAAAUAGUAAUGCAAGUAAUGACAGAAAGGAAAGACAAGGAAGUAAAGGAAGGUUAGAUGUUCAUCAAAUGUUAAUUAACAAGAAAGUAAAUUGCAUAUAAGGCUAAUAAUUUGAAAAGAAAUGACAAAUACAAGUAUUCAGGCAAAGUUUAAACCUAUUCAAGCAAAAAUUGACUACUAAUAGGCAAAUUCUUGCAAGCAAGGGAAUUUUUUUUAGAAAGGAAGUUAAUACAAAAAAUCGAUUCUACAAGUGAUAUUGCAGAGCUAUAAAGAAAAAUGAAAACUAAUAAAAAGAACUUGAAAACUUUGAGUUUUAACAAUAAAGACAAAAUAAAGGGUAAAGUGAAUAGUAUCAAUAUUAACUUUUUAGUGUAAAAAUGUGGUUUUUCGUUAAAGUGAACAGUACCAGGGGCUUUGCAUGAAAGUUCCCUAAAGAAAAUGAGUGUCUGAACAACAAAAAGAAUUUGUAAAAAGUAGGUUUGCAGAGCUUUGAAGUCUUUUUGUGUGGAGUGAGUGUCUCUUUGUGCAGAGCUUUGAUCUCUUCCACCAAGACCAUUAAAUCAAGUGAUCCAGACCCUUGAAAUUUGAUCUAAUGGCUAAAAACAGGGGUUCCCUUUAAAAGUUAGAAUAAUAUUAGCUAUUAAAUCAAAUUUCAAAGGUCCGAAUCACUUAUUUUAGUGACCUUAGUGUAAGAGAUCCUUUAUACUUCCCUCUUAGUUCAUUCCUUAUGAUCCAAUAAGUUGCUGAUUUGACUACUGCCAGAGGAUGAGUUUUUCAUCUCGCAGCUCGAGCUUUUGUCCCUUUGAAACUACAAUUUUUCCACCAAAUAGCAACUGUCCUCUGAAAAAAAAAGGAGGAUAAAUCUCAGUUUACUACCUCUUAUAUUUUGUGGUUUUCAACAUUUAUUACAUCAAGUUUUUUUCAUCUCAGAGUCAUACCUAAAGUGUAAAUUUUGGGACAAUCUCAUACAUCCGUUAGUCAAACUGUUAAGUCUCCCUGUAACUGAUGACGUAACGCCCAUGUGGACAAUGAUUGGGCGCCACGUGUCAAUAGAGAUCCACUUGAAUAUUAAAAAAAUUAAAAAUUAAAAAACAAAAUAAAAUCCCCCCUAUCUCCUACCUCCCUCAUUCCCCUCUCUCUAUUCCUUCCUCUGCAACCCACACCUCCCUCCCUUCCAUCUCUCAUCUGCAACCCGCAACACCUCCAUCAUUCCUCUUCAUACCACCACCUUCCCCACCAUUCCUCUCCUAACCCCAACCCUCUUCUUCCUCCUCAUUCUCCUGCACCCCAACCUUUGUCGUUGGCUGUCCACAACCGACCCGUCCCUAAGCCCCUGGAGACAAUGCCAUUUUCCAUUUUUGCCGAUGUGGAUCCUGUUGAAAAAUAUUAGUAGUUAGGUUUAUUGUAGUAUUUGGGUUUUGCUUGUUAGUUUAGGAUUUAGGUCUAGCCCAUCCGAGUUAGGGUUUCUUAGAUUUGGUUCUCUAUAAAUAGAGUUUGUAAUUUAGUUUGAGAAUAAGUCAUUCACAAUGUAGUCUCUUAGGGUUUUGUAGUCGUUUCGGCAUUCUCAGUUAGUUUAAUAAUAUUCUUAUUAUUUUGUUAGUCUUGUUCGUUUCGCACUCUGAUAUUCAACUUGGUAUCAGAGCAGGUUUGAUCCUUCGGGAUUUAAUCUAUUCGUCUCAUAUUAGUUUGUUGUCAUCUUCCUCUGUUUGAUUGUUCCAAUUUAGAUUCAUCGUGGAAAUUGUUGUUGAUCGUUCUUCAUUGUAGUCCAAAAAAAAAAAUUGUCUUCGUUCUUGUCCUGUACUCCGGCUUAUGAACCUACACCUGACCUGCAUCCCACAACAUUUCUGCAUAUAAACUGUUGAACCACCAUCCGCAUUUGCAUGCACCCACUGCUGAAAUUUAUUCGUCCUCGCCAUCACACCACACCCACAAUCUGCUACACCCGCGUGACUCUGUGAACUUCUUCCUGCAUCAUACCUGCAACCCAUCUGCACUCACUCUUGGAUCCAUCUCCUCCUCACUGACCUUCUGCACCAUUCCCGCGGUCCAUAUUCAUCCCCAACGAAGCCCAUAUUCGAGAACCACUCGGAUCGAGCUCGUCUCCCCUUGAAGUCUUGUAAACCUGCAUCUGUUUCUGUUCCGCACCACACACCCAUUGUCUGCAACUUGAGCCUGUAUAUGCACCUGUGCUGGUUUUGUGCGAAUUGAAGAAAAGAAAGAGAAAUAUGGAAAAGGACAAAAGACAAAUUGGUUUGGUCCACACGGGCAACAAGAAGAAAUUGUUGGUUUUUGGUUUUUUCUUUGGGCCCACGUUUGAUAUUGGGCUUGUGUUUGGAGAAAUGACCAAAAUAUCGAUAUUAUCGGUGAAAUAUCGCCGAUAAUAUUGUUUUUUUUUGAGAUGACAAUAUUUCCACACUUAUCCACUUAAUUAUCGUCAAAAUAUCGCGAUAUUAUUGAUAAUAUCGUUUCUUCCUCUGCAGCUCUGGAUCGCUCAUGCUCCAACUCUUUGUCACCGACUUCCCCUUCCUGAACUUCUCGCCGUUGUUUCCCGCCUGGGUUUGCUGCUGCUACUGUUGCGGGUGCAUUGAGGACACGUAGGACGCAUUGUAGACAAGGAAGAAAGGGAGAAAGUUGACGAGGUGAUGGUGGUGAUGUUGUCGACGUCAGGGUGGCGACGGUGCCUCGGCGUGGGUCUGGGUUCAAACGGAGAGGGAGAGAUGAGUGAGAUCUUUGAGAGAGAUAAAACUGAGCUGAGAGGGGGUGGCUCGGGAAAGGAGAAGAGGAAAAGAGAUGGGGACUUGCCACGUGGCAAGUUGUGAUAGGAUGAUAAGAGUUAGGAAAUCCCAUCCGGAUAGGGUAAGUGUUCAAAUGACCAAAUUGUAAAAUUCGUUAACUUUGAGGGACAAAUAUCUGAAAUUACAAAUUAUUUAAGGGUGGGGUUUUAUAAUAGGUGUUGGACAAUUAUUGGGCCACCUAAGUCAGUAAAAAUUGGGUACUAACACCUUAUCCCAGUAUUAUCCUGCUGACCAUUUGUUUUUUUUUUCUCUCUUAAAAUAUUGUGCUAACCACCACUUCUCUUCUGGUCUUUAUCUUUCUACCCCACAUGUUUGUUUACCCAUUUCCUCCCUUGUUUUUUUCCUCUUAUGACCCCAUCUUUUUUGUGGUUUAUUAACUCAUUUCUCUUUUUUUUUUUUUUUUUUUAUCUUGUAUGUAUUUUUAUUUUCUCUUUUAAGAUUUCACCGUAUUUAUCUUAAACUCUCACAUUAUUUAUAAAUAUCAUAUUACUUUUUAAAAACAAUGUAAAUAUUGUUUAAUGCUUAUUUUAUGAUAAUUUAAAUCCAUCUAGGCUCCUACCUAGAUCUCGCUUAGACACCUAGCUGCUAGUUCCCAAUCCGCUGUUUGACUAGCAUCUAACAUUUUUUAGGAUCUAAUCCUAGCCAAUUUAAACUUUUUACAUUGGCUUUGAUAUUAUUGCUCAUAACUGCUUUGGUAGAGAGACUGUUUUCUAGUAUGCAAUGUAUCUUACCAUGUAUCUUACCAUGCAAUUAUUGGGCCACCUAAGUCACUCAUGUAUCUUACCAUGUAAUGUAUAAAGUGUAAAAUAUUGUACUAAUUCAUUAUAUAUAAAUGAUUAUGGUGUGUUUAAACUUCUUUCAUCAAUUACUACAUAUUUUCUACACUCAUAAUGUUUGACAGCUCGCUAUAUAAUCAACUUAAAUAAGUUAAAUCCAUCAUGUAAUGCAUUUCCUUCCAAUUUUUUUGUGAUAAACUAAUAGAUAAUUGACUAAAUAAACAUCCUACAAAGUUUCAAUAAAAAUUUCCAAGUUUUCCUUACAAUUUCCGUGGUUUUUAUUCAAUUUUUAUCGAUAUCGAUAAUAUCCCGAUAUUUUCAUUGAAAUUUUCGUGUUUUUGGACUACCGAUAUUUCUGAUAUCAUCGAUAUUUUAGACCUUGGUUUGGAGCAUGUAAUUGUUAACUGUAAUGAUUGCUCGAGUGCUUGAACUGGUGAUCACUUGAUUGACGUUGCGAAAGUUAGAUUUUUUGUUUUGUUCAAGUUUGUUCGGAAGUUGGCAUUGGCAUUGGCAUCGACAUCGGCAUCGGCAUCGGCAUCAGCAUCAGCAUUGGCAUCGACAUCAGCAUCAGCAUCGGCAUCGGCAUCGGCAUUGGAAUUUGGAAGCUUGCAUCCACAUCUGCUUGUUGGCAAACUCAUGCCAUGUACCGCCAUGAGUUUGACGGGGGGUGUUGGAAAAUAUUAGUAGUUAGGUUUAUUUUAGUAUAUGGGUUUUGCUUGUUAGUUUAUGAUUUGGGCCUAGCCCAUCCGAGUGAAGGAAAUUUUGUGAAAAACAUGUUCAUUUAAGCAACAUCUAUAGCAUGCAAUUAACACUUAAAGGCGGAAUCAUGCUUGCAUGCACUUAAAAACAAAACAUUACCCAUGAAAUUCAAAGCCUAGUAGUUAGGUGAACCAAGACUCAACUCAAAACAAAGUUAUUUGAGAAAUUUAUACCUUUGUUGAUUCCUCUUUGUAUAAGCAAAGGAUAAUCACCCAAGAGAUAGGGCAUUCAUUCCUUGCUUCUAAGAUCCAUCAAUUUCUAGGAGGAGGAUGGUAUAAAAGAUUCUCCAAGUUCUCAAAACUGAGAACCUCUAAGUCUCCAUACCAAGGAAAGAUUGAUGAAGAAAUGAGUGACAUAGAGGAAGUAAGAUUGCUAGCUAUGUUCCUCUAGGGUGGCCGGCCUCUUAGAGAGAAAAGAGAGCUUGUGUUCUCAUCUUUUCUCCAAAAGAAAACCCUAAAUGAAUUUUGGCUAUAAAAUCAUAUUUAUACCUACAUUCAUUGGAGUGGCAAACUUGUAAUUAAGUCCAAAACCCACUCCUUUAUCAAUAUGGCCGGCCAUAGGGUUUCAUUGGGCUUUUAGGCCUUUGUGAAUUAUUUGUCAUUAAGUUGUCAUACAACUUAAGUCAAUGGGCUUGACGUUCGAAGCCCAUUGGGCCUUGAGGCCCAAAACUAACCCGUGGUCUUUUAACGAACUUUAUUCGUUUGAUUAAUUAACAUAUUAAUUAAUCCUUGCCAUAAAUAAUUAAACCAUUUAAUUAUCCUUACUCAUCUCCGUUGUUUAUUCAAUCUCUGCCUUACCCGGUGUACGAUCCAUUAGGUUCUUUUUAGCGAGGCAGUGUGCGAUUAGAACUCUUUCAAAUUGAUUGUGAAUUGAAACUUACUUUCAAUUCUCCCUUUAGUGAUUAUAUACGUCUAGGGUUUCCACAAACCAUGAGUGACACCUAUCAGUAUGUCAUGGUUACCCAAGCUAAUCAGAAGAGGUGGAGAACCUAUUCAGUUGAGGAUUACAAUGCAAUACGGUUUUUCUCUAAUACAAUACUUUUGACCACAUUGUUUGGUUUGAUAGUUUAAUCAUGUCUACUAUCCAAUGUGAUUCAUUUACUUAUAUGAUUACCUUGAAUGUGAUUUGGAACGACUUCCUAAAUCUCAUUCAUACUCUGGCCAGAGAUUCUUAAUCAUAUCAUAGAGUAUUCUCCUUUAAACGGUUUGAAGGUUAGAGAUCCUUGUUGCGCAUUCACUUGCCUUCAUGGCUAAGUGGCUUAACCCCAACUAUGCCGUGGACACCCUCGGACGGGGUGACUUUGACAUAGUCAAAGAUCAAGGACCUAACCACAAGACAACUAUGAUGCCUCAGGUCAAAGGACUACUUUGCAUUAUCCCAACCAUGAGUUCUCAUAUGACAUGAGUAUGAGAACUCCUCGUUGAUCGUGUUCAGUGGACUCAUUCGUUAUUGAGCACCUACAUGCUUGUCUUGGUGUCAAUCACACCAAUGACUCGAGACUAGUCACUCUCCCUAAGAGAAGACAUAGCAUGUACUGAUCUUAACGGACUGUCAAUGCCCAAUUGGCAAUCCUAUGAUCAGGAACGUUUAGGGUAUGUAUAUUAAUCUAACUUGUUUAAAUUACAUUCUCCUAAUUACAUCUUGGACUUAUCGUUUAAGCAUACAACAAGUAUAUGAGACGGCUUAAAACAAUAAUCUUUGCCCUUGAUAUUAAACUAGAUUAGUUUAACAUGUGAAAUGUCCGUAAAGUAUCAUCAUAUAAUUGGUUUUAGGGCACAUUUCCAACACCGAGUUAGGGUUUUUUAGGUUUGGUUCUCUAUAAAUAGAUCUUGUAAUUUAGUUUGAGAAUAAGUCAUUCACAAUGUAGUCUCUUAGGGUUUUGUAGCCGUUUCGGCAUCUGAGUUAGUUUAAUAAUAUUCUUAUUAUUUUGUAGUUUUUUUCGUUGCGCACUUUGAUAUUCAACUGAUCCGGCCUCUGCUUUCGUCGUCAUUCCGCCGAGGAAGCUGCAGUUCGAUGAGCUUGCCACGGUUCAUAUCUUUUAGGAGAACACUCCUCUGUUGUUUACAUCACCAAUCUUGCAGCCAGGUACUGUUGAAGUUUGAACCUUUUGGAUUUUGCUGAAAAUUGGGCCACUUUUGGAAUGGGGAGACAGAACGAGUUGCGGGAGCGAGGGGAGGAGUUGCGGGAGUCCGAGUAGGAGUGGUACAUGGCUGACCCUGAGGGUGUGCAAGUGGUGUCACUGCACAGGGCCCCCGAUUUUUCAAUUUUGCAUACAUAUGCAUAUAUAUAUAUAGCUGGAUGUGUAAAAUAUUAAAAGCCUAAGUCUUAGCACAAGUGUUAUUAUUGCUUCUUUACAUCGGCCUAGGGGAUGGGUUUGAAACUCAUCUUCAUCAUUUUUUUCAGUUUAUUUAUAUUAAAUGCAUAUGCUUCCACAAAAUAAUAUAAAAACUCAAACCCUGACCCUCUAAAUAGUUAAGAAAAAACAAUACGUCACCUUUCCACUUGUUGAUUUGUUAAAUUUGUGUGUGCUAUUAGAAUUUAUAGAAGCUCAAUUAAAAACUAAAAUGAUUUUUUUGAACAAAAAAAAUAAAAAAUUAAAUUCUUAGUACUUUUUAGGGCCUCCAAUUCACUUUCGCACAGGGCCCUGAAAUCUCAGGGCCAGCUUUGAUCCUAAUGUCCUUUUCAUUUACAAUUUAAGUAUCUUCUCAAAUUCUACACACAAGUUGAUGCAGUCGAUCACAUGACCACUUUGGAUAUUAAUUUUUAGAACUCCUUCUGUGUAAGUUUAUCUUACAUUAUUGGUCCUAAGUUCGGAUAAAGAAGGAGGGAGAGAGUGUCGAGCAAUUGACAACCGGCACUUCGUUCUUACGUCGUAUCCUUAUGAUAAUGAAUUCUGAAUGAAAUUUCCCCUUUGUAGAAUUAGGCUUUGUUAUUGUUGUUUAAUUUGCGCUUACUAAAAUAUGGGUUCAAAAUUUUAACUUGUACAUGUUUACUGACACAUAUAAUCUCGAUAAAACUAUGAAUUUUCCUUUGAAAGUCCAGAAUCCAAAACUUCAAUUAGAAAUCAAGUCAACUAGAGGAUUAGGUGAUCCGGUUUUCUUGUCCUUCCCCUUUUUCUAAAUGUUGUUGGAUCCCUUGCUUCUAUCAUCCUGUUAAGUAAACAGAAAGAUAAUUAAUGUCAUUUAGCACAUCCAUUGGUGUUUAUACUUUUUAUAAGAAAAUUAAUAUUACAUUUGAUCAACUUUUAUGCCCAACCAUCUUCAUUAUCACCAGUAUUGUACUCCAAUCGCUUCUUCUCUUACAUUGAUAGUUUUUUCAAUAUUUUAUGGAGAAAAAAAACCAGGGUUUUCUUUCGCAAGAAGCAAAUAUAAUGGCAUUAUGAAUGUUAUCCUAUCAAAUUGAAUGUCCUCACCCAUAUUUUCUAAUCUCACUAAUCAUAGUAACCAAACAUGACCUAAGACUUGAACUCAUGAAUCUUUUUAGCACUUAUUUUUAUUUAAAUCAAACGAUGGGAGGUUGAGAGUUGAACAAUCGUUGUAAAUGUGAUGAUAAAUGCUCCAACAUUGAAUUUGUAACCUCUUUAUCAAACUGAACUUUGAUCAUUGACUUUUGUUUAUUAAUCAUUUUUGUCAUUUUCAUCUAAGUUGAGUGCUAAUGCGUAUACGUGACACAACAAAGACUCAUACAUUAGAUGUUUUUUGUUUUUUUAGUGCAACGAUAUAUUUUUUACUAAGGUGAAGGGAAGUUCGGGUAAGUCACACCAUGAACAACCUAAGGUCAGGGCCGGCCCUGAGGGUGUGCAAGUGGUGUCACAGCAUAGGGCCCCCGAUUUUUCAAUUUUGCAUACAUAUGCCUAUAUAUAGUUGUAUGUGUAGAAUAUUACAAGCAUGAGUCUUGGCGUAAGUGUUAUUAUUGCUUCUUUACAUCGGCCUAGAGGAUGGGUUUGAAACUCAUCUUCAUCAUUUUUUUUUCAGUUUAUUUUUAUUAAAUGCAUAUGUUUCCAUAAAAUAAUAUAAAAAUUCCACACAAUAACAUAAAAAUUCAAACUCUGACCCUCUAGAUAUUUAAGAAAAAACAAUACGCUACAUUUCCACUUGUUGAUUGUUAAAUUUGUUUAUGCUAUUAGAAUUUAUAAAAGCUCAAUUGAAAACCAAAAUUAUUUUUUUGAACAAAAAAAUAAAAAUAAAUUAAAUUCUUUGUACUUUUUAGGGCUUCCAAUUCACUUUCUCACAUGCCCUUGAAAUCUCAAGGCCGGCUCUGGUGCGAGAGGAAGAGUGUUGGGGGUGGUAGUUACAACAAAUUAUGAUAAAACCCACAUCAACUUUUCCACAAAUUCAAAAACCGAAGUCCUAAAAUCUGGAAAGAAAAGCAAAACUUUGAAAUUUUGAAUGGGGGCAAGACAAAAUUUUGAAAUUUACAUAGCAGAACAACAUUUUGUGAAAAACCCAAAAGCAAAAAAUGAUGAUGAAAUGAAUCCAAGGGAAAAGAAAGAUGAAAAUUUGGGAAGUAUCAGGAGGACGUUUUGGCUCAAGAGGGAGUAAUGGGGGCCUCUCAUUUCUGUGACGCCAUAGCUUCGAGGUUUUUCGGGACGGUCUUCGUUCUCCUCGAAGUACUUCCAUCUGUACGCCGCCAUCGUCUUCCUCCUCAGGAAUCGAGCUCACAGGACGAAUCAGAGAUUGAGAGAAUUGGAGAAAAGGAAAGGGGUGGGUGAUGGGGGCACGGGUGGGAUUCGGGAAAGACGAAGGUGUUUUUUUUUUUUUUUUUUGAAUAUUUUUUUUUUGAAUUUUUAAUUUCCACAUCGACUCUUUAAUGACAUGUGACAUCCAAUCAUUGUUCCAUGAGCGUCACGUCAUCAGUUAAUUGGAGAUUUAACAGUUUGACUAACGGAUAUAUAAGACUAUCUCAAAAUUUACAUUUUAAGUAUGAUUCUAAUAAAAAUAAAUUUAAUGUACUAAAUAUUAAAAAUCACGAAACAUGAGGGUAGUAAACUAAGAUUUACCAAAAAAUCAACUGAAUUACCUUCUUUCAAUGUGAAAAAGGGUAUCUUUGACGUCGACAUUGCUACAUCAUAAAGUACUUUUAAAAACCUGGACCGCAUACUGUUCACCUAUAACAUAAUUAAAUACCCACUAAGUCAUCAGUUAAAGUUCAGUGGGUUGGGCUAGAACGUGCCUAACAAAUGUUUUCAGUCCAAACAACUUGGCCUUAAAGGCACCUAACAAUUUAUUUGACAUUUUCAGUAAAUUAAAAUCAAUAUUUGAUACUCUUUGUUUGUUGUCUUUUUAAUCUCUUUCCUUGAUAAAAUUUUGUUUAUACUUGUAUUAAAAAAUGAUUAUACUUAGCAUUAAUAUACUAUCAUAUGAUUUUAGAAUGAUAACCGAAUUUGAUCGUACAUAUCAAAUUUAUAAUAAUAUUCAUAAAAAUUAUUAUUAUGGAUGCGUAAGAUUUAAGAAAACAAUCUCAAUUAAUUAAUUUAUUUUAUUGCAAUCAAAAUAAACUUACUUUCCACACAAUAACUUCUUAAUAACAAAACAUUUAAGGAAACAGUUAACUUUCUAUCUAUAUAUAUCCAAAGGAAGGUGAUCACAUUAAGAAAACAAUUAAGUUUCUAUCUAUAUAUAUAGAAAGGAAGUUCACUUAUACAUUCGCCCAUUGAAAGCAUAGUUACGUUUCUAUAUACAGCUCUCUCUCUCUCUCUCUCUCUCUCUCUCUCAAAGUGAUGAUAUAAAUAGGGUAGUGCUAUCCACACUCAUUUUUGCUUACCACACACUCUUCUUAAUUUUCGACCGUCAGAUCAAAUGAAUUGAAGAAUAUCAUUAACUAAAAAUUAACAAGGUAUGUAGGAAGUAAAAAUGAGUGUGCGAGUUACACUUUCUAUAAAGAUACAUUGUGACUUAUAAAUUGCUUGCAUGUAACAGGUGCUUGAUAAGAAGAAAGAAAUAAAGAAUAUUGAAAAAUGUGGAAGCUUAAGGUCGCAGAUGGUGGCAAUGAUCCAUACAUCUACAGCACAAACAACUUCGUGGGUAGGCAGAUAUUUGAGUUUGACCCUGAAGCAGGAACUACCGAGGAGCGAGCUGAGGUGGAAGAAGCUCGUCUUCAUUUCUACAAUAAUCGCUAUCAGGUUAAGCCCAAUAGUGACCUCCUAUGGCGAAUGCAGGUAUACUUUAAUUAGUUCGUCCAAACUUAUAAUGUUGUCAAUUAGUUUACUGCAAAUAAAAGCCACAAUUUGACACAGGGGCGGAGGGAAGAAGAGAAUAGCCUAUCCUCACAUUUUUUUUGCAAGCCUUCCUCUGUAAACAUAUUUCAUUAUUCUUCUUUACAACCCUUCUCCUAUUAGUCAAUAAUACAAAACACAUUAUAAAUUAUCUCCUAUUUAAAAUUCCAACUCCCAUAUUUGAUUCCAUCCCAACACUAAUUUAAUAUUUAUUUAUUGGACAUAAAAUCAAUAACCUUUAACAUUUUGAUAAAAAAAAACAUUAAACCCGUUCACUUUUAAUUAAAACAAAAAACUUCUUUGGUCUUUCUUUCACAGUCAACCCAAGAGCAAGAGUCCAAGACUAAAAAGCUAUUAUUCUUCUCAUUUCUUGAAAUUUCAUAUCUAUUUUUAUAUAAAAUUCAAAUUAAUUCAACAAAAACAAUACUAUUUGUAAAAUCUAUCUUACUUUCUAUAUUUUUUUUAUUGUUUCUCGUCUAUCUUACAUCUUACUUAAGUGUUAAGAGUUUGGACCUUUUGAUUAAUUCUUCUUAUUAAAUUUAACAAUAUAGAUAACAACGUUAUCAUGUUGUUAUCAUGCAACAAUUUCAAAAUAUGAAAAUUCUUGAGAGACAAUUAUGAUUAUUGAAAAUAUAAAAUAUUAUAGAUGCACGUGUUAUUAUAGUGUUUUGAUUAGUAGUUUUGUAACUGUUAUUCAUCAUAUUUUUUUGCAUUUGUGAAAGGCCCCUCCUCACAUGAAAUCCUGGCUCCGCCACUGAUUUGACAAGAAUACAUUUCCCACCAAUAUGAACCUAUGAUACUUAUUUGAUCAUGUUUCUACUAAAUGCCAGUUCUAGUUAUCUUGGUUCCACCCAUGUAGUUUUUAAUUAGAAACAAUACAUGUGCCCACUCUAUAGGUGCACCUACUUAUCCACCACUUAUUAUUAACGUAUCGUAUCAUACUUGCAUAAUCCGAGACAUUAUUUUACUUUUUCACGUCAUCUAAAGAUUUUGUUUGCAAAAAAAGAAAAAAAAUCAAUUUAAAUUUAGAGAUUGUUCAGUCAACCAUAUGUAGAAGAGCACAAUACGAUGAAAGUUGUAAGCUGUGUUCAUUGAACAUGAUCAACAGUUUUGGUAACAAGUAACAUUCUCAAGAUGAAUAUACCGUUCUUGGUACUAGGGUUUAAUAAUAUUCCUCUUGAUGUACUUAUGUUCGAAUCUUGUAAUGUCGAGUUUGAUACCGAUUUAUUCCCCACCCCUUAAUAUAAAUAUACCCGUUCUUGGUUGGGGGCUUUUGGGCUUCUCUCGAUCUUAUUCCUAGUUGGGGAAAAGAAAGGAGCCUUGUUCGGCAGGUGCACAUCAAGUUGUAAAAAGAACAAAUCACCAAACAAACAAACAAACAAACAUCUACUUCUUGUUUGUCUUGUUUCUGGUACUUACAAGUUUUCAUUUCCUAUAUGAUGGGCAACACCAUUAAAAUUUUAGGGUUUAAUAACAUUUAAUUAGUAAUAAUAACGUCAUCAUAACUUUAAUCCUCUCAUUAGUAUCGCUCUCAAUUUUUUGUUCACUAACCGACAGUUCCUAAGAGAGAAGAACUUCAAACAGACAAUUCCCCCAGUGAUAGUUGAGGAUGGAGAGGAAAUCACAUACGAAAAGGCCACCGCUGCAUUGAGAAGGUCUGUCCACUUCUUUUCAGCCUUGCAAGCUAGUGAUGGCCAUUGGCCAGCUGAAAAUGCCGGCCCGUUGUUUUUCCUUCCUCCUUUGGUGAGCAUUUACCAUUUACUAUCAUGUUAAUUGAAUCUCAUGUUCCCGUUUUAGGGCUUAAAAAUAUAUAGCACAUAUAUUGUCGAGUUUUUACCAAAGUUCAAAUUUUAGGAGGUUACUAAUUACUUUCCAAUUUCCUACUCAAAAUUUGCAGGUCAUGUGCACUUACAUUACGGGACAUCUUACUACUGUAUUCCUUGAAGAACACCGCAAAGAAAUUUUGCGUUACAUAUACUAUCAUCAGGUACAUAAAUAUAUAUAUGUGUGUGUGUGUAUUGGUCUUUGUUCACACAAAUUGCAUCAAAUUUUAAUUUUUCAAAAUGUGCUUAUUUGUGUUAAACUACUAACAAGGGUUGCAGUGAAGUUGCCCAAGAGUUUUCACUUCUACAUCCGAAGUCCCGCUCGUAUAUAUAAAAAAAAAAAAAAAAACUGAAUAAAUACGCAUUACUUUUUCGGGUAUUUCAGAACCAAGAUGGUGGUUGGGGAUUACACAUUGAAGGACACAGCACCAUGUUCUGCACAGCUCUCAACUACAUUUGUAUGCGUAUUCUUGGAGAAGGCCCUGAUGGUGGCCAAGACAAUGCUUGUGCAAGAGCUAGAAAGUGGAUUCUUGAUCAUGGGAGUGUUACCCACAUCCCCUCUUGGGGUAAAACUUGGCUUUCGGUAUGCCUAUGUGCAACACUAAGACUAAUUGCUUUUAUUAGGCUUCAGUUAACUGUUCUUAAAUAGCACUAUCACUACGCAAAUCGUCAACAACAUAUUGAUACUUUAUCUAUGCCAUAUAUAGCUAAAUUACAUGAGAUUAUUUGCUAUCGAUAAUGGAGCAAUAUCGACAACGUAUAAAAAUGUAUCACUCUUAAUUCUAAAUAAUGUUAGUUAAGACACACAAAACUAACAUUAUUGUUGAUACACUCUUUAGUAGUGGUGGGCCCCUAUUAACAAUAGAUUAAGUCAAAUAUUGAAGAAUGAUGGAGUCAUAUUUGGCAUUGUGUGUCUAAAUUGCUUUUACUUCAUCAAUGUAACAAUACUUUCUUUUUAUCGAAAAUAAAACGCGACUAGUUGCUUCAAUUUAGUACUGGUGCUGUUUGAGACUGCAACUAUGUAAAAGCAUUUCCCUUUCUAAUUAAUCUUGCUUAAUUGAUUCUUGUAGAUACUUGGUGUGUUUGAGUGGUCCGGAAGCAACCCAAUGCCCCCAGAGUUUUGGAUUCUGCCUUCCUUUCUUCCUAUGUAUCCAGGUUAGCACAAUUCCGGACACCACAAGUACAAAUAAUUCAAUCUUUCACAUGUUGAUUGAUUUAAUUAGUCUCUCUCUACCUAUAGUCUUCUUUUUUAAUCUCUUCUACAUCAUGCAAAUGCAGGAAAAAUUUGGUGCUUUUGUAGGACUGUUUACAAGCCUAUGUCAUAUUUAUAUGGCAUAAGAUUUGUUGGUCCAAUAACACCUCUCAUACUACAAUUAAGGGAAGAACUCUAUGCUCAACCUUAUGACGAAAUUAAUUGGAAGGGAGUGCGUCAUCACUGCGCUAAAGUGAGUUUAACUUGAUUAAGUUAGCUAAUUAGUUCAUGUUUUCUUGUUUUGGUAAAUAAACUGAUUGCAGUAACAAUUUGAUCGCAGGUGGACAUCUACUACCCUCAUCCUUGGAUACAGGACUUUCUAUGGGAUAGUCUGUACGUAUGUACAGAGCCUCUUCUUACUCGCUGGCCGUUUAACAAGCUGAUCAGGAAAAGGGCUCUUGAAGUAACAAUGGAGCAUGUUCAUUAUGAAGAUGAAAACAGCAGAUACAUUACCCUUGGAUGUGUGGCAAAAGGUGUUAUGCAUGCUAGCUUGUUGGGCGGAAGAUCCAAAUGGUGAUUAUUUUAAAAAGCAUCUUGCCAGGAUACCAGAUUAUUUAUGGGUUGCUGAGGAUGGGAUGAAGAUGCAAGUUAGUACACAUUUUGUUAAUACAGUAUAUGAUACGAUGAAUUGUUCUUGAUCCUUUUUUUUCUGUUUCAAAAGUUCACUCUUCUAAAUCAUUGGAAAACAUUAUAAAUUGAUACAUUUUAUUGAUACAUGCAGAGUUUUGGCAGUCAACAGUGGGAUACUGGUCUUGCCAUUCAAGCUUUGCUUGCUUCCAAUCUAACCGAUGAAAUUGCACCCACGCUCGCUAGAGGACAUGACUUCGUCAAGAAAUCUCAGGUUCGUUUUAUAUAUAGUCAAUUCAACUUUCAUAUUUGUAAAAUGUAAAUGUGCAUCCAUUAUUUUGUUCUAACUAGUGACUGUUUUGGAUUGAAAUUGUUAAGGUCAAGGACAAUCCGUCGGGUGACUUCAAAAGCAUGUACCGCCACAUUUCCAAAGGAUCAUGGACUUUCUCUGAUCAAGACCAUGGAUGGCAAGUUUCUGAUUGCACUGCAGAGGGUUUAAAGGUAACAAAUUCAACUUAGUUGUCUAAAAUGUUAUCUCAAUUUUUCUCACCAUAACCCCAUCUACAGUGUUGCCUGCUUUUAUCGAUGAUGCCACCAGAGAUAGUUGGUGAAAAAAUGGAGCCUGAGCAGUUAUACGAUGCUGUCAAUGUCCUAAUUUCCCUACAGGUGACAACAAUUAUUUCUGACAGUCAUAGAUAUGAGUUUGAGUUGCAUUUUGUUGCCGUAAUCAAAUUUGGAUCUAAUGCAUGGCUGCCUUACUUUAAAAGUUUUGAAAACUUUUAACAUUUCAAUACAUUUUUUCUUCAGUGCAUGGUCUAUUAGGUCUCUCUAGUCAUUACAAAUCUCACUGUAUUUCUCAUUGUAGAGUAAGAAUGGUGGCUUAGCAGCCUGGGAACCAGCAGGAGCAGCAGAAUGGUUAGAAGUAAGAAUUUUAAAAGAAUCGGAGUCAUGUUGUCGAACUUAGCCAGAUGCGUAACGAACUAAAUUUUUUCAAAUCAUUAUUAUUUAGUAUAUACUUACUAGGAUAUUGUCCUUUUUUUCCCCUCAGAUGUUGAAUCCCACAGAAUUCUUUGAGGACAUUGUGAUUGAGCAUGAACACGUUGAGUGCACUUCAUCUGCAAUCCAGGCUUUAGUUUUGUUUAAGAAGUUAUACCCUGGCCAUAGGAAGGAAGAGAUUGAUCAAUUUAUUACCGCUGCUGCACGGUACCUUGAAAAUGUACAAAUGGCAGAUGGUUCAUGGUAUAUCAUAUGAUUAAAUCAAAAUUUGAUUAUAUAAUUUUCUUUCAUUAAAAACUAGAGAAGAAAAAGAACUCAGUGAAGAAACGUUUGCACAGGUACGGGAAUUGGGGAGUUUGCUUCACAUAUGGUACCUGGUUUGCUCUUGGAGGGCUAACUGCUGCUGGUAAGACCUUCAACAAUUGUGCAGCCAUGCGCAAAGCUGUUAGUUUUCUACUCGCAAUCCAGAAAGAGAAUGGUGGUUGGGGAGAGAGCUACCUUUCAUGUCCAAAAAAGGUAAAAUACGAGAGGUGGAUUAUGAUUGAAGCUAGCUGCAAGUAUUUCUUAAUUAAUCUCAUUGUCUUGGACUAAAGUAUUUCACUCUAUGGCGGGUGAUACAGGAGUACGUUCCUCUUGAAGGAAACCGAUCAAAUUUAGUACACACAGCUUGGGCUAUGAUGGGUUUGAUUCAUGCAGGGCAGGCGGAAAGAGACCCCACACCUCUUCAUCGUGCAGCAAAGUUGAUAAUCAAUUCUCAGAUGGAAAAUGGUGAUUUUCCUCAGCAGGUAUCUUGCUUACCACAUUAGUUCCAACCAUAAUUAAAAAAAAAAAAAUUGCCUUAGUAUUACUUGCAUUGCAAGCUUGACGAGUACAAAUAUGAAACACAAAAUAGCAUAUCAUGUUGUGUUGUUUAUACGUAUGCUCAAAUUUUUACUUGAAACGUUGUAUAACUUCUUGUUGAAGUCCCACAUCGGUGGGUUCAAAGAAACCCAAUGGGUUUAAAUAGGAUUACCCUACUCUAACUAAUGUCGAGGCUUUUUGUGGUAAAACCUCACACCUGACGGAUUGGGCAAGUGGUUAAGUUGGGGACAGUAUCGGUGUCGUUAGAGUGGGAUGAGCCUGGCGAUCCAAAAAUCCAACACUUCUAACCACUAAUUAUAUAUGGCAGGAAAUCACUGGAGUAUUCUUGAAGAACUGCAUGCUACAUUAUCCAGCUUAUAGAAAUAUCUUUCCCAUGUGGGCACUUGCAGAAUACCGCAGGCGGGUUCCGUUCGUUGAUGUCUAAGCUUUGCAGCCAUGUUCAUGAAGAAAAGAGUGUUUUGAUUCAUUUGAAAGCUUCGUAUUUCAGUUUAGGGAGUAUUUUUGCUCACCACUAUUUAGUUUGGUUAUGCUUACUACUCUAUUUAUCACCGUUAGAUGAGUUUGAGUUUCGAGAUUUGUUUGCAAAUGGAUUAUAAUAAGCUCAUAGGUUUCAUGUGUGCCAUCUGUCAUGUUGGAUGAGUCACUAAGUAAUCCAUGUGCAUUGCACAUGAUCAGUUCUGUGUGUUUUGAUUAUUUGAAAGCUUUGUAUUUCAGUUUAGGGAGUAUUUUUGCUCACCAUCAUUUAGUUUGGUUAUACUCGCUACUCUAUUUAUCAUCGUUAGAUGAGUUUGAGUUUCGAGAUUUGUUUGCAAAUGGAUUAUAAUAAGCUCAUAGGUUUCAUGUGUGCCAUCUGUCAUGUUGGAUGAGUCACUAAGUAAUCCAUGUGCAUUGCACAUGAUCAGUUCUGUUUGUUCGGUAGCGGAGGUCCAACGGCUAUAAGCCUAUGGCCUCUCACACCUUACAUGCUCGUAAUGCUUUACCGAGAAUUAAGGAAUUGGUGUAAUAGCACCAUCAUCUUCUACUUCUCUCCCUCUCCAUUGUUCUCUGCAACUUCUUCAUUUCAAGUUCUUGUUGAAUGUUAUUGCAGUAAAACCAUCAUAAACCACCCAAAUUACAGAAUCUAAUAUGGUCUCAGAGCCUAAGUUUGAUUUAACUUUCAUCUGGGAGUAAAUCUGUGCUUGUAGAAUCAAGCUCACAUUGAGCUUCAUCUCUGCAAUACUGAGCUUUAUAAACACUGAAAUCCGUCAAACCCAAGUCUAACAUGGCUGGAUCAACUAGUUCUGAACUUAGUACAACAGUUUUCAAUGGUGAAAACUACGAACUCUGGAGAAUCAAACUGAACACCAUUCUCAAUCUCAUGGACCUUGGGAUCUCAUUGAGAAAGGGUGUGAAGUUCCUGAAUCGAAGAAGGAUCUGGCUAAAAGAGCCACUGAUGCAAAGAAGGAGGAGGAAUCAAGCACUCUAGCUGAGGUGCUGAUGAAGGAUGCCAAGGCCCUUGGAUUGAUUCAAGGAGUUGCCUCUGAUCAAAUCUUUCCCACAAUCUCAAAUGAAGAAACAUCAAGGGGAGCUUCGGAAAUAUUACUGCAAGAAUUCAGAGGUGAUAACCAAGUUAGGAGUGUGAAAUUACAAGGAUUACGUAGAGAUUUUGAAAUACACUAGAAUGAGAGAUGAUGAAUCCCUUUAUGUGUAUCUUACUCGUUUGUUUGAUAUCAUUAAUCAAAUGAAGAGUUAUGGUGAAGAGUUAUAUAGAGAAAGAGUAGUACAAAAAUUGCUUAUUAGCUUGCCUAGGUCCUGUGAUUCUAUAUGUUAUGUGAUUGAGCAUUCUAAGGAUCUGGAUACGCUAAAAGAGCAAGAAGUUGUUGCAUCCUUGAAGGGUUUUGAGCAACGGUAGGAUAGGAAUGCUGAGAGCUCCACUGAGAGAGCUUUUGCUAGUUUGAAUGUAGGGUCAAAAUUCCCUAAACUAGUGGUUUUUCUGGCAAUCAAAGGACAAUAAAGAAUUGGAAAAAUAAGGGGAAUAAAUGGGAAAAUAAGACACUUUUUGUACCAAAACAAAUUGCAGGACAAGAGUAUAACAUGAAUGCCUGUAAGCAUUGUGAUAAGCUUCAUUAUGAUAAAUGUUGGUUUGAAGGAAAGCCUAAGUGUACUAGAUGUGGCAAGUUUGGUCACGAAGCUAGAAACUGCAAUGGAAACAAAAAAUUGUGCAGAAGGAAAAUUAUGCAAAUCAAGUGGAUGAACUUGGAACUCUUUUCUAUGCAUGUAAUGCAGUCACAUAGGUGAAAGUUAACAGCACAUGAUACAUUGACAAUGGGUGUAGUAAUAAUAUGACAGGAAAUGAGAAGUUUUUGGUUGAUGUGAAGAAGAACCUCACUGCUUGAGUGAAAAUGGCAACUGGUGAAAUUGUCAAUGUUGCUAGUAAGGGGACUCCUUGUAAUUGAAAUCAAGCUAGAAAGAAAACACAUUCAAGAUGUGAUAUUGUUGCCCGGAUUAGAGAAAAAUCUUCUAAAUGUGGGACAAAUGAUGGAACAUGUGGGUAUUAUUUGCUGUUUGGAGGAUGUGUGGUUAAUGUAUUUGAUGGAUGGAGCAUAGACAAUCUGGUGGUUAGAAGCAAAUAACAGGUAACAGAUGCUUUCCAUUACUAUGGUACUUGCAAACUCCAUGCUAUUGAAUAUAAGUGUCUCACAUUGCUCACAGGUUUGGCACAAGAGAUUUAGUCCCUUGAAUGGAAGAAGUCUCACUUUACUUGUAGAACAAGACAUGGUUCAUGGAUUACUUUCACUAGAAGAAUCAAUGGCAGUAUUUGAAGGAUGCAUGCUUGGCAAACAGCACAGAGAUGAGUUUCCAAGAAUGGCUAAUUAGAGAACAAAAUUACCCCUGGAAUUGGUACUCACAAACAUUUGUGGUCCAAUGCAGAUGGCUGCAUAAGAAUGGGUUUAUUUCUUGAGACACAAGUCAAGAGCAUUUGAAUGCUUCAAGGAAUUUAAAGCUAUGACCGAGCUACAAAGUGGUUAUAAGGUGAAAUGGCUUAGAAGUGACAAAGGUGGUGAAUUCAUGUCCAAUGUAUUUGUUGAAUUAUGCAAUUCCACUAAAGUGCAAAGGCAAUUGAUUGAUCAUGUUUUAUACUCCACAACUAAAUGGUGUUGCUGAGAGGAAAAAUAGAACUGUUGUGGAGAUGGCCAAGACAAUGCUACAUGAGAAGAGCAUGCCAUAUCAAUUUUGGUUAAAGCAUCACAUAUUGCUCUCUAUUUGUUGAACAGAAGCCCUACUAAGGCUUUUGAUAAGAUGACUCCAUUGGAAGCCUACAAUGGAAGGAAACUAGGAAUUGCACAUCUCAACAUUUUUGGCUCACUAUGCUAUGUUCACAUACCCUGUAACUCGAGACACAAGCUAGAGAGCAACAAUCAUAAAUGCAUUUUUGUUAACUAUUUUACUAGUGAAAGGGUACAAACUACAUGAGCCUCUCUCAAAGAAGAUCAUACUCUCAAGAAAUUGUAUUUGAUGAAGAUAGCUGCUGGAAUUGGAGUGAAAACUCUGAGGGAGAUGUUAGUGUUCCAAUCCUUGCUGAGGAGGAAGGGACAACUAGUAAACAUAUUGAAGGUACUACCGAAGUUGAUGAUACUCAAGUUUCGACUCCUAUUACUGAACAAAGUAAGGAUAUUCAAGAUGCAUAUGGUGCCAGCUCACAGAGAGAUGUGGAGUUAUCACAAAGUUAUGACUUCACUCCACAAAAGUGGAGGAAUUUGAUUGAUGUACGUGCACACUACAAUGUAUGCAUUAUUGAACCAGACAACUAUGAGGAAGCUGCACAAGAUGAUUCAUGGAAAAAAGUUAUACAAGUUGAAAUUGACAUGAUUGAGAAGAACUACACUUGGGAUUUGGUGAAUGGACCAUGAGAUAAACCUAUUAUUGAUGUGAAAUGAGUCUACAAGACAAAACUCAACCUUGAUGGUACUCUAUAGAAGAACAAAGCAAGAUUGGUAGCCAAGGGAUAUUCAUAGAAGCUUAGAGUGGAUUUCAAUAAAACCUUUGCCCAUGUGGCAAGGCUUGACACAAUUAAAACCUUGAUUGCCUCAGCAACUCAUAAGUGUUGGAGUCUCUAUCAACUUGAUGUGAAGUCUGCAUUCUUAAAUGGAGUACUUAAAGAGGAAGUGUAUGUGGGAUAAUCAUUGGUUUUUGUGAUUAAAACUGAGGAAGACAAAGUAUAUAAGCUAAACAAGGCUUUUCAUGGAUUGAAGCAAGCACUUAAAGCAUGGUAAGAUGAGGUAGAUGCCCAUUUUAUCAAUGAUCGCUUUCCGAGAGUCCUAGUGAAGCUACAUUUUAUAUCAAAAGAAUGGAACCUCAGGUAUCAUCAUUGUAUCUCUUUAUAUUGAUGACAUUGUCUACAUUGGAAGUUGUCCAUUAAUGCUUUAGAAAUUUGAAAAUGUUAAGAUAAACCAUUAUGAGAUGACAAACUUUGGAUUGUUGCAUCAUUUAUUGGGCAUGGGAGUUGUUCAAACUGAGAAAUUCAUUUUCAUUCAUCAAAAGAAAUAUGCAUUGAAACUACUUGAGAAGUUUGGCUUGAAGGAUUGUAAAUUAGUGGGAACACCACUUGCAGUGAAUGAUAGAUUGAGCAAAAAUGAUGGCACUGAACCAGCAAAUGAAUCUGAAUACAAAAAUCUUGUUAGAAGUAUGUUGUAUUUGAUUGCCAUAAGGCCAAAUAUUAUGUUUGCUGCAAGUCUGUUGUCUAGAUUCAUGCAUAAUCCCACAAAGAAACAUAUGGGAACAACCAAAAGAGAGCUAAGAUACAUUUAAGGAAGUGUGGAUCAUGGAAUUGAGUAUAUCAAAGGGAAAUCAACUUUACUAAUAGGCCAUUGUGAAAGUGAUUGGGAUGGUAAUGAAGAUCUUGUGAGGGGUACCUCUGGAUAUGCAUUCAACCUCAGUUUAGGUGUGUUUUCUUGGGCUUCAAUUAAGCAGAAUACUGUUGCACUUUAAAAUGUAGAGGCAAAAUAUGUUAGUGGUGCAGACAGUGGCGAAGCCACGUGAGGGCGAGGAGUGGCGUCCGCCACUCCCCUCGCCGGAAAACAUAGCCCCAGCGCAGGUUCAGCCCCUCCCCUCCCGGAAAACCCAACCCCUCCAUGGCUGUUCUACCUCCGCCACUGUGGUGCACCAUGGACCUGUCCUCGGUUUAAGUUCUUGCUUGGGAGGGUCCUAGGGUGUGCAUGUGUAUAAGAUUGUGGGUAUGGAUGUUGCUCACGGGUAGAGAGGGAGAGGGUGAGGGCGACUUGAGGGAGAGAGAGCUCGGGGAGCUUCGAAGAAGAGCGGAAGAGGGAGUGAGGGGAGAAAGGAAGAGAGAUGAGAGAGGGAGUACGGGAGAAAGGGACAUAUAUCAGGGGGUGGGCCUUGGGCUCACCAAUUAAGACCCCAAAACUAUUUUUAAUUAGGAGUGGGGUGUGACAUCACAUGUAGGCUUAUUUGUAUUAAUACAUUACGAACGAUAAUAGUUGUAACUUGUUUGUAUUAAUACAUUACAAACGACACUUAAAUUUUUUACUAUAUAAAAGGAUUUUGUUGUCUACAUAUUUUUUGGAAUUUUGUACGCUUUUAAAUUUCGCCCCUCCCCUUGAAAAUUUCUGGCUUCGCCACUGGGUGCAGAGGCAACAUCACAAGCUAAAUGGCUGAGAUUUGUAUUGGAGGAUUUUGGUGAAGAACAAAUUAAGCCUACUCUAUUGCUGUGUGACAAUAUAUCAGCAAUUGCCAUUGCCAAGAACCCUGUCUUUCACCAAAAGACAAGGCACGUUCACAGAAAGUUUCACUUCAUCAAAGAGGCAAUCCAACAAAAUGAAAUUGAGUUGGUAUGCUACAAAACUGAGGAACAAAUGGCAGACAUUCGUACAGAGGCGCUACCAAAGGACAAGUUCUUGUACAAAUGGCAGACAUUUGCAGCCAUCUUCAUGAAGAAAAGAAUGUUUUUGAUUCAUUUGAAAAGCUUAAUUUUGUAUUUUAGUUUAAGUGUUUGUAAAUGGAUGGUCAGGAUUAUAAGAAGCUCACAGUCUGUUAUAUUGGAUGAGUCACUUAAGUGAUCCAGUGCAUUGCAUAUGAUCAAUUCUGUUUGUCCGGUACUGGAGGUCCAGUCUAUGGCCUCUUCCACCUUACAUGCUUGUAAUGCUUCACCGAGACUUAAGGAAUUGGUGUAACAGCACCAUCAUCUUCUACCUUUAUCCCUCUCCAUUGUUCCCUGCAACUUUCUUCAUUUCAAUUUCUUGUUGAAUAUUUUGCAGUAAAACCAUCACAAACCACCUAAAUUGCAGAAUCUAAUACCAUUGCCUUCCAUAGCCUAAUUAGGUUUUUUCUGUAUUGUGCAGCUCUUGCAUGCGGCAUAAAAUAUUAAGCAUAAAAGCCAAUUGUUGAAAUUAUGUAUUAUACAAAAAGUGUAUCAAUCAGAUGGGGAAGUAAAAUUUAGCUAUUUGGAAUCAAUGAAAUUAUACUUCUUGUUCAAACUGAAAACAUAUAAAAUAAAAAAUAAAAAAUAAAAAAUAAAAAAUUUAUUUUCUUAGUAGAUGACUACAAUUACAGUAUUAUAGGGCGAAUAUAUUGUGAGAGAUGUUGCUCAAGGUGCUUUCUUAGGAAUUUAGGCCACAGUUGUUAUGAAUGUACUACAUAAAGAACAUGGAGAUUAGAUGCAAUACAUUUGAGAGAAUUUUUAAAUGACACCAAGUCCUUUGUUCAGCUUUUUCUACUGCAUUUCUAAUGUCUUUGUACUGAUUGAAUAGUUCAUUGAUAAUCUUCUUGCAGUGCGUUUUUCACAAGCUGAUGUGCAACCCAGUCGCAUGUGGGUAAUGCACGAGAGAAAAAUUGUUGCUACUACACUCUCCCUUGAGUUGCUACUACACUCUCCAUCAAGUCUUCACGGAUGAUUGUUGAAGUCUUUGAUCAGUAUAGGCAAUACACACGCAAAUCUAUGUUAGGAAUGCAUGUAAGAAAACAUAAGCUCACAAAAACCUGACAAUGGUAAACCCAAUGCGGGACAAGGCACAAAGUCUCGGAGAAAAAGGUCAGUAAUACAAAGUCGACACUUGAAGUAAUCAAGCUGUGAUUAAUGCUCGCAUUAGCAUAUGACCAGCCCAAGAGAGGUGCCUUAUUAAAACCUUGUUAGGUUAGCGAAAUUCUUAGAAUCUGUCUCGGUGGUGAGUGGUACAGGAAUACGUUCCUCUUGAAUGAAACCAAUCAAAUUUAGUGCACACUGCGUGGGCUAUGAUGGGUCUGAUUCAUGCUGAGCAGGCAUAAAGAGAUCCCGAGCCUCUUCAUCGUGCAGACCUAACUUGCAUUGCAAGACUUAUGAUGAAAAAGAUCAAAUGCAUAAUAACAUUCCAUGUUGGAAUAUGAAUACAUUUGUAAUCAAUCACUGAAUUAUACUGCAGGAAAUCACUGGAGCCUUCAGCACGAACUGCAUCCUACAUUAUCCAAAUUAUCGAAAUAUCUACCCGCUCUGGGCUCUUGCAUAAUACCGCCGGAGGGUUCCAUUGCCUUCCAAAGCCUAAACAAAUCGCCGGUUGAAAUGUACUUUUACUACUUUUCAUGUCUUCUGGUCAUUUCUAUCUUCAACGGUGUUGCUUCAUGCACGGAUGUUUACAUCGAUGUAUCUACGAAUAAUUAAAGAAAGAAAAGCUUUGCGUUUAUCCCUACUGAGCUAAAUUUUCUCAUUCUGUUACUAUUUAUUCUGUUUCCAGUGUUCUUUUUAUCUCUGAAUAGAUCAAAGACAAUUUUGAAUUAAUAAACAUAAAGAUUAUGCAGUAUGUUACCAAUAGAAUUACAUGGUUUUGAGCUGAGUUGAAGCUCUCAUACAGGUUUAUAAACAUCAGUUCAUUAUCCGGAGGACUAAGCUUUGAACAAUAAACAAUCAUUCAGAGGGUGUCCAAUACCUGGCACGGAUAUUCUCCGAGGGCCCAAACGGGAAAAAUGUUUCGGUAGGCUGAAUAGCUGAUCAUACAGUUCUUGUUGAAAACACCAGUGAUCUCCUGUAUGGGGAAUGAAAACAUUACUGGUAGUGCUAGUUACAAAUAGGUUGAAAAUUAGCUAUGCAGUUUCGAAUUCACAUGGGGUUAUCAAGGAUUCACGAUAUAUCUUUUUGUUUUAUAAAGGUCUUUACACCUGCAUUUCUCUCUGUACAGUUUUCUUCUACAUUGGCUAGAUGUGUUGAAAAUGGCAGUUAACAUGUCUAUAAUCAAACCAAACAGAAUAGAUUUCUAUGGCGACAGAAAAACCAUGUAAACUUUAUGUGAAAAAUUGAGGAAAAAGUUGCUAGAUUACCUUUUGAGGGAAAUCUCCAUUUUCCAUUUGAGAAUUGAUUAGUACCCUAGCUGCCCGAUGCAACGGAGUUGGGUCUCUCUUAGCCUUUCAAAGAGGCAAACAUGAGAAGAAAAUACAGGUAUUAAAGUCAGCAACAUGUGGAAGUUAUACAGUUAUUCGUAAAACGUUCCAAAAACUAUGUUUAGCUGCAAAUCAUUGAUUCAUUAUGCAGCAGCCAGCAGCCAGUUCGAUAAGUGGAUGAAGAACUCGAAGGAUAAAUUUAAUAAAUCGCAUGGGAGGGAGAAGAGAUGAAUUUGAUAUCCAAAUGUACCUGCCCGGCACCAAUGAGGGCCAACAUAGCCCAUGCAGUAUGAACUAUAUGUGGCCUAUUGUCCUUGAGAUUUGUGUACACCUGACAUAUAAACAGUCAGCAUUGGAGUGAUGCAAGUGUAACGUAGAUCAUACAUCUUGCCACAUGAGUAUGCGCGUGAAACCAGCAAUUGACUGAAGGAAUGAAGCAAGCUCCGUGGGUAUGAAAGACAAAAGAAAGUAUAUUUCAAAUUUGAGGAAUCAUUAAACCUUGUUCUGACAUGAUAGAUAGCUUUCUCCCCAUCCACCUGAAGAAAGCUCUUUGGAUAACAAAAAGUCGCAUGCUUUACAAAUGCUAGAGCAGUCUUCCUAUGUCCUUCCCGCAGCAACCAACCCUUUUAUUCCAAACCACCCAGCAUAGGUCAAGCAUACUCCCCAGGAACCAUACCUAUCAUAAAUCUCCGUGUAAAUUGGUGCGACUACUUUCAAGAUCACUAUGUUUCUAAAUUGUCAAACAUUAGAGAGGGAGAAAGAGGUGAGAGAUUCUGUCCUACCAAACAGUCUAACAUGUUAUGUCGUUCGACUGUUGAUAAAGAUUGUUGGCAAGAUGGAAUGAUGUUCGAAUAUGCAGUGUUUUAAACUUGACUGAUUUACAUGUCUGACUGUCUGACAAGAGAGCAUCAUGCAAUAAAUGUGUAUGCAUGCAUGAGUUCUCAAUUGUGCAAGUCGUGGAUGCCAAAGACCAUUGCUAGCGGGAUUGCAUUGACUUCGUGGAUCACUUGGACUACACAUCGAAGUCAAUACAACCAAAACCAUUCAGCCAUCAUACAUCCAAACACGAAUGAAAUGCCCUGUAUAUGUAUGCACGUAUUUUUAAUUGAAUUCGGUUACAAACCAAGAUCCGUCUGUUGCUUGUAUCGUUUCAAUGAACUUUCCAGCACGAGCAAUACAGUUUUCUAUUUCUUCACUCCUAUGCCCAGGACAUAAUUUUUUGAACAAUGCAAGUGCUUGAAUUGCCGCUGAGGUGCAUUCAACAUAUCUGCAUCCCCGUUCCAGUCAAGAUGACUUCAGGCAUCUUCCAUGAUAUAGGAUAAAUUCAAAAUAAAGUGUACAGAAAUCUUACGGAUAAUCAAUAACAAUGUCACCAAAAGUUUCGGCUGGGUUGAUUAGCUGAAAAUAGGAUAGAGUUAAGCAUAUGCAUUAUGGAUUCAUAUUAGAUGAUGGUAAAAAACAUGAGCAGGCUAGGCAGCAUAUAAAUGAUACUUACCUCCAACCACUGGUAUGAUCUAGUUAGUUCAUAAGUUGCAAAACCACCAUCGUCAUUCCACAGUACUUCAAGAAUCCAAAGAUUAGGGGAAUAGUUAAAUACUCAUAAAACCAAAAUGCAGGAAUAUGUAAAUACUCUGUCAACAAAUUAAGACUUGAGCUGAGCUGCUGAUACGAAUCGUGACAUAUUGACAAGGAGGGUUCUUUUAAAAAUAUAAAUUAUAAAGAGAAUACAGGUUGACACAUUAUGUCCGGUAGGAUUCAACUCCCGUACAGCCAGUGAUUUACCUGUAAGGAAAGGGUAACAUUUACUGCAUCAUAAAAACGCUUUAUAUCUAAUGAGUCCCCAACUGUUUCUGCUGGAAGUUUUGAUAGUAAUAAGGCAGCCUGCACAAAGAAGUAAAUAUUAAAUUUGUAAUAAAAAGAAUGUCUGUAUGUGAAAUGCUGAGUGUGCAAGCUACCUUCAGCACUUCUGCUGUGCAGUCAGAGAUAGGCCAUCCAUGAUCGGCGGUUGAGAAUGGCCAAGCACCUUUUGAAAUGUGACGAUACCAAAAGUUCAGAUCUCCGGGACAAUCUUCUAAAACCUUCAAAGCAAAAGUACCAGUCAAGCAAGGAUAAUGAGCAUAAUUGUUAAAUGAUACGGUAAAAUUUUCUGCUCACGAAAACCUGGGAAUCUUUGAUAUACUGAUGCGCUUUUCUUAAAGUUGGUCCAUACUUUUCAACAAGGUUAGUUGAUAUGAUCGCUUGAAUGGCAAAAGAAGUAUCCCAUGCUUGACUUCCAUUGUAGCCCUGCGGUAAAAGGAAAAAAAAACAUUAGAUAAAAAUCACAAUUAGCAGCAUGUCAGCAAAGUCUUAAGUUGGUAACAAACUCUAGCGAUGCCAGACCAAAUUGAGAUUGCUUCAGGUAAGAAAGAGGGAGUCGGGAAGAGAUGGGAAGAAUCUUAAAAUCAGUUCCAGCCAAUUUAAUGCUAUAACUGUCCUGCAUCAUCAUGCCAUCUUCAGCGAUCCAUAAAUAAUCAGGGAUUCUCGGGAGAUGCAACUUGAAUGCCUCUGAGUUUGGAUCCUCUGCCCAACAAAAAAGCAUAUUUAACACCUACAUCAUUUAAGAAAUAGGCAAUCAAGAAGCACACAACUACAUACUGAAUGAAUCUGUAAACCAAAGAAACAUGUCAAUUCAGCAAUUCCAAUGGCAACCUUGUCAAUAUAUGUAUGGAUCUAUUGGCAGAUGAUCAUAUACAUACCUUGUUAACAGGCCCUAUGCAUAAGUACCGAGUAUUUUCAUCUUCAUAAUGUAUAUGCUGCAUUACAGUCUUCAAAGCACUCUCCCUCAAUUCUUUUGCUGGCCAACGUGUGAAAACAGGUUCAUAAACUUAGUGAAGAGACCCCCACAAGAUAUCUUGUACCAUUGGGUGCUGAUGGUAUAGAUCUUCCUAGAAGUCGUUUAAAACAUCCAGGUAAGAAUUAAAAACAUAUGCAAAAUGAAUUGUCAUCAAUAAUUACCUGUACAACUAAAAUCCGGUAAAACAGAUGCAGAAAUUGUGGUAUAUUGUAUUUGAAGAGUUAUAGGAAAGCAAUCUAACAAUUAAACAUCCGUCGGACUAAAUCCCUAAAUAAAAAAUGUACUUUUACAAAUAGCUAUCAUGUAUUUCACCUGUGAAUAGCCCUAUGAAAAGUAAAAAAAUGUAUAAUUAAACUCACAAGCACGGGACUUUUAUGCAGGGGAGCUGGAAAAAGCAGAGUACGCAGAUGUUUCUUACCAACCUCUGCAUGUAGAUUGCGAGCAUUAUUCCAAUCAACUUCAUGAUAGGGGACUGUAUAAAGCUCCUUCCUCAAUGACCGGAUUGUGGGUGUGAUAGGUCCAACAAACCUCUUCCCAUACAAAUAUGACAUGGGCAAAUAUACCAUUCGGCAAUGACACCACAUUCUUCCUGUAUGUGGAAAAUUUGAAAAUUCAUAAACUGUAAAGAGUAGCAGUUAGGCAGUUAACAACAUUGACAAGUGUAUGAACAUAAUAAUGUUAAUGGGACCUAUGUUAUUUAUUUGAUCGAGAUAUUUUUAUGAAAGGAGGCUUGAAUUUCUUCUAUCCUGCCUAGAAUGAACAUAUAGCAUCAAUGUCAAACGUAACGAUAUUGAUCAAAGACCUGGAUGAAAUGGAAGAGAGUAAGGACAUAGCCACACUUCAGGCGGAAGUGGAUUAUUCCCAGACCAUUCAUAUGCCCCAAGUACCUAUAACCACCAAAGAGUCAGCUAAUAUUUUCAAAAGACAACACCCUUGGUAGAAUCCAACAAGGAAAACACUGAGUUCAUACUGAAAGCCACAUUUUCCCCCAUGAAGUAACUGCAGUCACGCCACCAUGGUCUAAUAUCCACUUGCGUGCUAGUUCGAUUGCUCCCUGUCCAUCAUCAGCACCUUCACCAAGCAACCUCAAAGACAUAAUUAAGUGCAGUGCCAAACAUGGUACUUGGCCCCUCAAUAUGCAGACCCCAUCCCCCAUCUUCAUUCUGCAAAAACAAUUCAUCAGUGAAUUUCUUCAUUUUUCUAUGCGGAAAUCGAAGCUUUCUUAAAAGGCAUUAAUUUCAUGAAAACCAUUCUUACCUGAUGAUUAUAGAGAUAUCUGCACAUCUCACGUUGAUGCUCUUUCAAUAACACAGCAUUUGGAGCUCCAGUAAUUGAAAGUGUAAUGAUCUGUUGCAAUUGGUAAGUAAUACUUAGUCACGCAACAACUACCGAAUGGACCAAAUAAUAAAGGGUAAAAAAAACAAUCUUGAUUAAUUUAUUUUUCACUAAGAAGAAAGGCUGUGAAGUUCCGAAAUGAAUAUGCAGCCAUCUUUAGGAACGUCAAAUUUAUUUCUCAUGUUUAACCAUGACAUACAGAUUUUCCUAUUUUCAUCUUCUGGAUUACACAGUGAUUACUACUUUUCUCCCUUACCAAACCAGGAAGCAGAAACAUGGGACCCCAUAAUCCCCAGCCCAAUGACCGUCAUGCGCCUGGAUUGUUGAAUAGAAACUGACAGCCCUUCAUAAUGUGGUUGUCACUGCCUCUUCCGUCACCUCUUCUUGAUCUUUAACUUUGAGUUGUGGUAGAUUAGUGGCACAUGGAUUCUCCUUUGCAAACUACAUUUCAAAAAUAAGAACAAAACAACAACAACAACAACAACAAAGCCUUUUCCCACUAAGUGGGGUCGGCUAUAUGAAUCCUAGAACGCCAUUGCGCUCGGUUUUGUGUCAUGUCCUCCGUUAGAUCCAAGUACUCUAAGUCUUUUCUUAGAGUCUCUUCCAAAGUUUUCCUAGGUCUUCCUCUACCCCUUCGGCCCUGAACCUCUGUCCCGUAGUCACAUCUUCGAACCGGAGCGUCAGUCGGCCUUCUUUGCACAUGUCCAAAUCACCAGAGCCGAUUUUCUCUCAUCUUUCCUACAAUUUCGGCUACUCCUACUGUACCUCGGAUAUCCUCAUUCCCAAUCUUAUCCUUUCUCGUGUGCCCACACAUCCCACGAAGCAUCCUCAUCUCCGCUACACCCAUUUUGUGUACGUGUUGAUGCUUCACCACCCAACAUUCUCUGCCAUACAACAUCGCUGGCCUUAUUGCCGUCCUAUAAAAUUUUCCCUUGAGCUUCAGUGGCCUACGACGGUCACACAACACGCCGGAUGCACUCUUUCCAUCCAGCUCGUAUUCUAUGGUUGAGAUCUCCAUCUAAUUCUCCGUUCUCUUGCAAGAUAGAUCAUAGGUAACGAAAACGGUCGCUUUUUGAUCUGAUCUUCGCUAGAUUGCUCCGGUCAUUAGUGUGGAUAAGUAUAUAAAUGGAUAGAGAUAGGAAAGCAAACACAAGAUGUACGUGGUUCACCCAGAUUGGCUACGUCCACACGGAAUAGAAGAGUUCUCAUUAAUUGUGAAGGGUUUACACAAGUACAUAGGUUCAAGCUCUCCUUUAGUGAGUACGAGUGAAGUGAAUGAUUUAGUACACAAAUGACAUUAGGAAAUAUUGUGGGAAUGAGAAUGAUCUCGUAAUCACGAAACUUCUAAGUAUCGGAGUGUGGUGUCGUCUUGACUUGCCUUAUCUGUCUCAUAGGUAGAUGUGGCAUCUUCUCUGGAAGUACUCUUCCUCCAUCCAGGGGUGGUAUCUUUAACUGGUGAGAGAUGCACAAGGUAAUGUAUCAAUUUCACUUGAAGCUUACUUGUAGUUUCAGGCUUGGUCAAGCGCGAUACAAACCAUGUAGUAGGAGUCCCCCAAGUCGCCGAGCUAGGGGGUCUGCUGAAAGAGGUGACAGACAAGGUAAGCAAUCAGAGCUCCGACUGAUUGUUCACCUUCUCCCCAUCUUGCAGCAGCAUGAAGGAUAAAGAGAAGAAAAAUGAGAAGAGAUGAUAUGAGAUACUUUUGCUUUUGAAGAAGUAACUUUCCACAGGCUUAUUCUUGAACUGAGCUGGAGGGUUUUUCUGGUUUCCUCCAGAGUAUAAGGCCGACUGAAGAAUUUGAGGGUCAAAACAAGUCCAUCAAAUCUAGAGUACGUUCCACCCUGCUGAUAUGGGAUACUUUUGCUUUUGACAGAGUAAUGGAUGUAUCGGCACGUGUGCUGUUACGCUUGUCUCCACAUGCUUCCUUGUAUCCUUCGCACUUGCCCUAUCUGUUCCUCAAGCAGAUGCGGAAUCUUCCCUGGAAACAUAAGAUGUUGAAGAUGAGUACUCGAGAGCAAUGCCAGGUAAGUAAUCAGGUAAGGGGUUCUAGGCAGUCAGUUCCUGGCUGGAAGCUUGAUUCCAAGUGCUGACUGAUUGCUCUCUUUCUCCUUGUCUUGCAGGUAAAAACAAGGCCAAAAGAAAAAACAGGGAAAAAGCAUGAUAUGGGAUACUCUUGCUUUUAACCCUGAUGAUAUGAGAUAUUCUUGCUCUAGUAUAGCUUGUUUGCAGAGGUAUUAUCGGGGGGAAAGAAAGCUGAAUAUUUCGAAAGGCUUUGUUGGGAGUGCCCUCUCAGAUAUGAUGAAGGGUUGAGCAUUUUUGCAGGUCUGCCUGUCCGUUGGGGAUGGAGGUCGACAUAUAUAGGAGUCUCCCUAACAACAAGUAGUAAUGCUAUUCCUUUACCCUGCUUGGUCAUAGCACGGUAGUGGGAGCUGCCAGUUUCACAUGUUUUAACUCUGUCAGAGCACUUUGAAAAAGUGGUCUGUGGUAUCUGGCUCUCGAGAUUCGGAGAACGAUGCCUCUUCGAUUUUUGAGAAAGCAAUCAUGUUGGGGGUCUGACUCUCGAGAUUCGGAGAGCAGUGUCUCUUCGAUUUUUGAGGAAGUAAUCAUGUUGGGAGUCUGGCUCUCGAGAUUCGGAGGGCGGUGCCUCUUCGAUUUUGGAGCAAGCAAUCUUGUUGGGAGUGUUGUCUCGAAUGUGAGUAAAGGUUGGACAUGUUUGCUAGUCUACCUUGCCACGAAGCACAAAGGUUGACACAUAGGGACUUUCCAAUUAUCCAGCAAUGGUACUGUUCCUUUACCCUCUCUUCGAUUUUGAGAAAGUAGUCAUGUUGGGAGUCUGGCUCUCGAGAUUCGGAGGACGGUGCCUCUUCGAUUUUGGAGCAAGCAAUCUUGUUGGGACUGUUUUCUCGAAUGUGAGUAAAGGUUGGGCAUGUUUGCUAGUCUACCUUGCCACGAAGCACAGAGGUUGACACACAGGGACUUUCCAAUUAUCCAGCAGUGGUACUGUUCCUUUACCCUUGUGGGUAAUAAUAUGGUAGCUAGACCUUCAAAAUUUAUGUGUCUAAACUUUGUUAGUGCUGUUUCUUUGCUAUUCUUUUACCUUUCUUGGUCAGAGCGAUGUAGUGGGAGCUGCAAGCUUCACGUGCUCAACUUUGGCAGAGAACUUUGGCAAAGUGAUCUGUGGUACCCAUGAGUUAUUGUUGCGUGUGGGAAGUGGGUGAUUGAACAGUAGUAAGAUUCAUGUGCUUUCUACUUCACCAGAAGUCUUCGACAGAAUGCCCAUAAUUUCUGCAAAGCUGAGUGUGCGUGUGACAGGUGCUGACAAGGCUAGAAAAAGUAGGUGCCUCUUUGAUUUCUGAGAUCGGCCUCUGUGGUCUCUGAGCAGCCCAGCUUUUGAGAAAGCGAGCGCCUCUUCGAUUGAUUCGGAGAACGGUGCCUCACCGAUUUUUGAGAAAGCAAUCAUGCUGGGGGUCUGGCUCUCGAGAUUCGGGGAGCAGUGUCUCUUCGAUUUUUGAGAAAGUAAUCAUGUUGGGAGAGUGGCUCUCGAGAUUCGGAGGGCGGUGCCUCUUCGAUUUUGGAGCAAGCAAUCUUGUUGGGAGUGUUUUCUCGAAUGUGAGUAAAGGUUGGGCAUGUUUGCUAGUCUACCUUGCCACGAAGCACAGAGGUUGACACACAGGGACUUUCCAAUUAUCCAGCAAUGGUACUGUUCCUUUACCCUCUCUUCGAUUUUUAAGAAAGUAGUCAUGUUGGGAGUCUGGCUCUUUAGAUUCGGAGGACGGUGCCUCUUCGAUUUUGGAGCAAGCAAUCUUAUUGGGAGUGUUUUCUCGAAUGUGAGUAAAGGUUGGGCAUGUUUGCUAGUCUACCUUGCCACGAAGCACAGAGGUUGACAUACAUGGACUUUCCAAUUAUCCAAGCAGUGGUACUGUUCCUUUACCCUUGUGGGUAAUAAUAUGGUAGCUAGACCUUCAAAAUUUAUGGGUCUAAACUUUGUUAGUGCUGUUUCUUUGCUAUUCUUUUACCCUUCUUGGUCAGAGCGAUGUAGUGGGAGCUGCAAGCUUCACGUGCUCAACUUUGGCAGAGAACUUUGGCAAAGUUAUCUGUGGUACCCAUGAGCUAUUGUUGCGUGUGGGAAGUGGGUGAUUGAACAGUAAGAUUCAUGUGUUUUCUACUUCCCCAGAAGUCUUUGACAGAAUGCCCAUAAUUUCCGCAAAGCUGAGUGUGCGUGUGACAGGUGCUGACAAGGCUGGAAAAGUAGGUGCCUCUUCGAUUUCUGAGAUCGGCCCUCGUGGUCUCUAGGGAGCCCAGCUUUUGAGAAAGCGAGCGCCUCUUCGAUUUCUGAGAUCGGCCUUCGUGGUCUUUGAGCAGCCCAACUUUUGAGAAAGCAAACGGCUCUUCGAUUUCUGAGAUCAACCCUCGUGAUCUCUAAGCAGCCCAACUUUUGAGAAAGCAAACGCCUCUUCGAUUUCUGAGCAGGCGCCUCUUUGAUUUCUGAAGCUCCGUCGAGUGCAGAUUUUUAUAGGGGCUGGCAUUAAGUUCCAAAGCACACUUGAAUCUCCACUAGUAGAAGCUUCAUUCUUGCACUUCUAAGAUCUUGAUUUGUCCGACCUCUUCUCUCUUCAACACCUUUGAAAAUGUCUGGCCCCUCCGACCGUCGUUUUGACUUGAACCUUGUUGAAGAGGCAGCCCCGCCUUCUCCAGACAACAUAUGGCGCCCAUCCUUCGUCUCCCCAACUGGUCCUCUUACCGUUGGGGAUUCCGUGAUGAAGAAUGAUAUGACCGCUGCGGUGGUGGCCAGGAAACUUCUCACUCCCAAAGAUAACAGACUACUUUCCCAAACGGUCUGAUGAGUUAGCUGUUAAGGAUUCGCUGGCUCUCAGUGUUCAGUGUGCAGGUUCUGUGUCUAAUAUGGCCCAACGCCUAUUUGCUCGAACCCGCCAAGUUGAAUCAUUGGCGGCUGAAGUGAUGAGUCUCAAACAGGAGAUUAGAGGGCUCAAGCAUGAGAAUAAACAGUUGCACCGGCUCGCACAUGACUAUGCUACAAACAUGAAGAGGAAGCUUGACCAGAUGAAGGAAACUGAUGGUCAGGUUUUACUUGAUCAUCAGAGAUUUGUGGGUUUGUUCCAAAGGCAUUUAUUGCCUUCGUCUUCUGGGGCUGUACCGCGUAAUGAAGCUCCAAAUGAUCAACCUCUGAUGCCUCCUCCUUCUAGGGUUCUGUCCAGUACUGAGGCUCCAAAUGAUCCCCCUCCGGUGCCUUCUCUUUCUGGGGCUCUACCGACUGCUGAGACUUCUCCUAAGCAACCUUUGUGAAGGCUCCCUCUUGUGUGUUUAUUUUGACUCAUGUAUAUGUACAUAUUUGUAGCUUAUCGGGGAUAUCAAUAAAUAAGCUUUCCUUCAUUUCAACGUAUUGUGUUAAAUACACCAAAGCCUUCUUCGCUAAGUUCUUUGAAUUUUCUUUUGUUGAAGCUUGUAUGUUGAAGCUUUCUGAGUGGAGCAUGUAGGUUGGGGUAGUGUUCCCUUAAUUUCCCGAGUGAGGAAAACUUCUUGGUUGGAGACUUGGAAAAUCCAAGUCACUGAGUGGGAUCGGCUAUAUGAAUCUUAGAACGCCAUUGUGCUCGAUCCUGUGUCAUGUCCUUCGUUAGAUCCAAGUACUCUAAGUCUUUUCUUAGAGUCUCUUCCAAAGUUUUCCUAGGUCUUCCUCUACCCCUUCGGCCCUGAACCUCUGUCCAUAGUCGCAUCUUCUAAUCGGAGCGUCAGUAGGCCUUCUUUGCACAUGUCCAAACCACCGUAACCGAUUUUCUCUCAUCUUUCCUUCAAUUUCGGCUACUCCUACUUUACCCCGGAUAUCCUCAUUCCUAAUCUUAUCCUUUCUCGUGUGCCCACACAUCCAACGAAGCAUCCUCAUCUCCGCUACACCCAUUUUGUGUACGUGUUGAUGUUUCACCGCCCAACAUUCUGUGCCAUACAGCAUUCGCCGGCCUUAUUGCCGUCCUAUAAAAUUUUCCCUUGAGCUUCAGUGGCAUACGGCGGUCACACAAACACGCCGGAUGCACUCUUCCACUUCAUCCAUCCAGCUUGUAUUCUAUGGUUGAGAUCUCCAUCUAAUUCUCCGUUCUUUUGCAAGAUAGAUCCUAGGUAACGAAAACGGUCGCUCUUUGGUAUUUCUUGAUCUCCGAUCCUCACCCCUAACUCGUUUUGGCCUCCAUUUGCACUGAACUUGCACUCCAUAUAUUCUGUCUUUGAUCGGCUUAGGCGAAGACCUUUAGAUUCCAACACUUCUCUCCAAAGGUUAAGCUUUGCAUUUACCCCUUCCUGAGUUUCAUCUAUCAACACUAUAUCGUCUGCGAAAAGCAGCAUACACCAAGGAAUAUCAUCUUGAAUAUGUCCUGUUAACUCAUCCAUUACCAACGCAAAAAGGUAAGGACUUAAGGAUGAGCCUUGAUGUAAUCCUACAGUUAUGGGAAAGCUUUCGGUUUGUCCUUCAUGAGUUCUUACGGCGGUCUUUGCUCCUUCAUACAUAUCCUUUAUAGCUUGGAUAUAUGCUACUCGUACUCCUUUUCUUCUCUAAAAUCCUCCAAAGAAUGUCUCUUGGGACCCUAUCAUACGCUUUUUCCAAAUCUAUAAAGACCAUGUGUAAAUCCUUUUUCCCAUCUCUAUAUCUUUCCAUCAAUCUUCGUAAGAGAUAGAUUGCCUCCAUGGUUGAGCGCCCUGGCAUGAACCCGAAUUGGUUGUCCGAAACCCGUGUCUCUUGCCUCAAUCUAUGCUCAAUGACUCUCUCCCAGAGCUUCAUUGUAUGACUCAUUAGCUUAAUACCCCUAUAGUUCAUGCAAUUUUGUACGUCGCCCUUAUUCUUGUAGAUAGGCACCAAAGUGCUCGUUCGCCACUCAUUUGGCAUCUUCUUCGUUUUCAAAAUCCUAUUGAAAAGGUCAGUGAGCCAUGUUAUACCUGUCUCUCCCAAAACUUUCCACACUUCGAUUGGUAUAUCGUCUGGGCCUAUUGCUUUUCUAUGCUUCAUCUUCUUCAAAGCUACAACCACUUCUUCCUUCCGGAUUCGACGAUAAAAAGGAGUAGUUUCUACACUCUUCUGAGUUACUCAACUCUCCUAAAGAAGCACUCCUUUCAUGUCCUUCAUUGAAAAGAUUAUGAAAAUAACCUCUCCAUCUGUCUUUAACCGCGUUCUCUGUAGCAAGAACCUUUCCAUCCUCAUCCUUGAUGCACCUCACUUGGUUUAGGUCCCUUGUCUUCUUUUCCCUUGCUCUAGCUAGUUUAUAGAUAUCCAACUCUCCUUCUUUGGUAUCUAGUCGUUUAUACAUAUCGUCGUAAGCCGCUAACUUAGCUCCUCUGACAGCUUUCUUCGCCUCUUGCUUCGCUUUUCUAUACCUUUCACCAUUUUCAUCGGUCCUCUCCUUGUAUAAGGCUUUACAACAUUCCUUCUUAGCCUUCACCUUUGUUUGUACCUCCUCAUUCCACCACCAAGAUUCCUUUUGGUGUGGGGCAAGAACAAAAUACAUACAUAAAAAAUGGAAAGUAGUUUUACAAAACAUGUUAACUUCAAAACUCAUACGAUUUGGCCCAAAACCACUAAAAUUCUUCACUCAUAUUGGAAAGGGUUUAACAAAUUAGACAUAAUUGAGGACACUAACUCUAAGAAUGGAUAAAACACACUGACAACUUUAAGUUUUAUACAAAAACACCUCAAAGAGCUCAAUUGGAGAACAUGGUAUCUCAAACACAGAUCACCCGAAAGAAAAACAUCAUUCAGACUUACAAUGCCUAAUACUACAAAUGAAAUCCUAGUUUCUACAAUACUGUGUGAAAAACCCGACCGCAUUGUUCAACAGCAUUGUCAAAUAGAGCACAGUUCUAACUGAUGUUAUACAUAAUUCAAUGAUCCAGAGCACCGCAACCAUAAUUUGAACAGUUUGCAUUCAAAUUUCAGUAAAUAAUUAACCUUUUUUCACCCAUAUGCAGUAUAUUCAAUUUCUUGAGAAAAAGUGUCGAUGAAUUGAAAAAUGAAGAAAAACCCAGAUGAAAGAACCUGAAUUCUCAUGAGGAGGUCCGAGCUGUGCCGCCUUUCGAAACGGUGGUUCCAGAAAGCCUUGCGGGCAUCUUCAAUUUGCUGAAGCUCUUCUGGGGUUCCAGUCUCUGGGUGGAACUCCCACACCUGGCGGCCCAAGCGGUUGUUCACACUCUUCAGCCAUUGACCGCCACCUUCUCCUCCCACUGUCUCUGCCCCUACCUUCAGCUUCCACAUUUUUUACUUUGUUCUCUCCCUCUCUCUGUGCCAAUGAGAUUGUAUGUACUUUGCAUACGUCGCUAAAUCCGCGUGAAGUUGAGAUUUGAGAUUUUUUUCGGAACUAUAUUUUACAUUAAAAAGUUAAUUUUGAUAAUAUUUACUUUAUCAUUUAUUUUAUCUUUAUUGUUAAAAUUCAAAAUUUUCAAAUCAUUUUUAUUAGUUUUCUUUUCUUUCUUUCCUUUUGUUGGCCAUGUGAGCACAUCAAUCUUUGUGUAUUUACGGAAAAAAUCAUUAUUCUUCUAAUAAAUAGUUAAAUAUUUGUUUUAUAUAACAGUAUACUCAUUUCAUUAUACUUAAAAAUAAAUAAGUUUUCACCGUAAAAAUAAAGAAGUAGUUCGACUCAAAAUUACAAGAGUUGUCUUUUUGGUUUUUCCCACUAUAAGAGUUGUCUUUUUUAGUUGAAAGUUACUUUUCUUAAAACAAUCGGUAUUUGAAGGAGAUUUAAAUUCGGGAACUUCUUCAAUAUUGAAAAAAUAAGUAUUAGAUCGUUUGCUUGCGUCACAAAUAAAUUGAACUUCUUUAUCAUAAGAUUGUGCCCUAGAGGGGUUUAAUCUGUAGUUAAGUUUUUUUCCUAUGCCUUGUCACCAAGGAUUUUGUAUUUUAUUUGUGUUUAUGCCAAGAGACAAUCCUAAACUAAUCUGAUCUUAGUUUGCAACUGCACAGUAAAUUGAAAGACAAAAAGUAAUGCAAGUAAUGAUAGAAAGGAAAGACUGGGAAGUAAAGGAUGGUUAGAUGUCAAGGAAGAAAAUAUCGGUAAUAUCGGUAGUCCGAAAACACGGAAAUAUCGAUGGAAAUAUCGGGAUAAUAUCGAUAUCGAUAAAAAUUACAUGGAAACCACGGAAAUUGUAAGAAAAACUUGGAAAUUUUUAAUGAAACUUUGUAGGAUGUUUAUUUAGUCAAUUAUCUAUUAGUUUAUCACAAAAAAUUGGAAGGAAAUGCAUUGCAUGAUGGAUUUAACUGAUUUAAGUUGAUUAUAUAGCGAGCUGGCAAACAUUGUGAGUGUAGAAAAUAUGUAGUAAUUAAUGAAAGAAGUUUAAACACACCAUAAUCAUUUAUCUAUAAUUAAUUAGUACAAUAUUUGGAGGUUUUAUUUAGGAUAUUAAAAAAAAAAAAGGAAGUGAAUAAAAUGAUGAAGAAUAAUGUGCCGAAUUUGACACUUUAAAUUUCUUACACAUAAGAAUAAGACUAAACUUUAAUUUGGAUGCCGAUUAUGUUUUUUCAAGUUUAUAUAAAGUAAAAUAAUUGAAUUUUGGAAGCCAGGAGUGUGUCAAUUGAAUUUUGGCCGGCGUGCAAGAUAUCAAUCUCUUCGUCUCGUCGAGUAGUACAACUUUCCUUUUUGUUUCACUCAAUUUCGUUGAGUAUUGAAAAAGUUAUACUCAUUUGAAUCUUACCCAGUUUCCGGCGACCUCAGUGGCUUUCGAGGAAAUUUCCGGCCAAACCACAACGAGUCAGACGUCGUGUGAGGUACCAUUCUCUUCGUCUCUUCGAGGGCUACAACUUUCCUUUUUGUUUCACUCAAUUUCGUUGCGUAUUGAAAAAGUUAUACUCAUUUGAAUCUUACCCAAUUUCCGGCGACCUCAGUGUCUUUCGAGGCAAUUUCCGGCCAAACCACGGCAAGUUGGCCGGCGUGCAAGGCAUCAAUCUCUUCGUCUCGUCGAGUAGUACAACUUUCCUUUUUGUUUCACUCAAUUUCGUUGAGUAUUAAAAAAGUUAUACUUAUUUGAAUCUUACCCAGUUUCCGGCGAUCUUAGUGACUUUCGAGGCAUUUUCCGGCCAAACCACGACGAUUCAGACAUCGUGUGAGGUACCAUUCUCUUCAUCUCUUCGAGGGCUACAACUUUCGUUUUUUUCUUGCUUGAUUUCGUUGAGUUUUGACAAAGUUAUGGCCGUUUAAAGUGGGUGUAAAUUUUCGGCCGAAAUUCUGAUUUUCUUCUAUUGGGAGAGUCCCACAUCGUCCAUGCUUGCUCACUGCCCUCGCAAUUUGUCCUAUAAAACCCACAUUCCCCUGCUCAGUACGCCAUAUCUUGUUCGCCCUGUGGGCUAUGAUCAAGUGAAGUAUGUGUUGAGUUUUCUCAACAUAUUUAAGUAUUUUUUAAUAUUAUGUUGCGAUAUUAUUGAUAAUUUCGAAAAUAUCCCGAUAUUAUCGAUAAUAUUCCGAUAUUUUGACGAAAAUCAUUUGGAUAGUUAAAAAAAUAUCGGAUCUUCAAAAAAACGAUAAUAUCGGUGAUAUUUCGCCGAUAUUAUCGAUUUUUUCUUCCAUGUUAGAUGUUCAUCAAAUGUUAAUUAACAAGAAAGUAAAUUGCAUAUAAGGCUAAGAAUUUGAAAAGAAAUGACAAAUACAAGUAUUCAGGCAAAGUUUAAACCUAUUCAGGCAACUACUAAUAGGCAAAUUCUUGCAAGUAAGGGAAUUUUUUUUAGAAAGGAAGUUAAUACAAAAAAUCGAUUCUAGAAGUGAUAUUGCAGAGCUAUAAAGAAAAAUGAAAAUUAAUAAAAAGAACUUGAAAACUAUGAAUUUUAACGAUAAGGACAAAAUAAAGGGUAAAAUGAAUCAUACCAGUAUUAACUUUUUAGUGUAAAAAUAUGAUUUUUCGUUAAAGUGAACAGUAUCAGGAGCUUUUCGUUAAAAUUUCCUAAAAAAAUUAGUGUCUAAACAACAAAAAGAAUUUGUAAAAAGUAGGUUUGCAGAGCUUUGAAGUCUUUUUGCGUUGAGUGAGUGUUUUUUUGUGCAGAGCUUUGAUCUCUUCUAUAAAGACUAUCGGAUCAAGUGAUCUGGACUCUUGAAAUUUGAUCCAAUGACUAAAAACAGGAUUUUCUUUUAAAAAUUAUAAUAAUUUUAGUUAUUCAAUCAAAUUUCAAAGAUCCGGAUCAUUUGAUUUGAUGACCUUAGUGGAAGAGAUCCUUUAUACUUCCCUCUUAGUUCAUUCCCUAUGACCCAAUAAGUUAAUGAUUUGACUAUUGCCAGAGGAUGAGUUUUUCAUCUCGCAGCUCGAGCUUUUGUCCCUUUGAAACUACAAUUUUUCCACCAGAUAGCAACUGUCAUCUGAAAAUAAAAAAAAAAAAGGUAAAUCUUAAUUUACUACCCUCAUGUUUAGUGGUUUUCAACAUUUAGUACAUCAAGUUUUUUUCGUUUUAGAGUCAUACCUAAAGUGUAAAUUUUGGGACAAUCUCAUACAUCCGUUAGUCAAACUGUUAAAUUUUUCAUUAACUGAUGACGUGGUGCUUAUGUGGACAAUGACUGGAUGCCACAUGUCAAUAGAGGCCUACUUGAAUAUUAAAAAAAUUAAAAAUUACAAAAAAAAACCCACCCCCCUCCCAAAAAAACCCCCUCCCUCCCUUCCAUCUCUCCUCUGCAACCCGCAACACCUCCACCAUUCCUCUCCAUACCACCACCUCCUCCACCAUUCCUCUCCUAACCCCAACCCUCUUCUUCCUCCUCCUUCUCCUGCACCCCAACCCUCGUCGUUGGCUGUCCACAGCCGACCCGUCCCCAAGCCCCCUGGAGACAAUGCCAUUUUCCGUUUUCGCCGAUGUGGAUCCGGCCUCUGCUUUCGUCGUCACUCCGACGAGGAAGCUGCAGUCCGAUGACCUCGCCACGGUUCAGCUCUUUUAGGAGAACACUCCCUCUGUUGUUUACAUCACCAAUCUUGCAGCCAGGUACUGUUGAAGUUUGAACCUUUUGGAUUUUGCUGAAAAUUGGGCCACUUUUGGAAUGGGGAGAGAGAAAGAGUCGCGGGAGCGAGGGGAGGAGUUGCGGGAGUCCGGGUAGGAGUGGUGCGAGAGGAAGAGUGUUGGGGGUGGUAAUUACAACAAAUUAUGAUAAAACCCACAUCAACUUUUCCACAAAUUCAAAAACCCAAGUCCUAAAAUCUGGAAAGAAAAGCAAAAAUUUGAAAUUUUGAAUGGGGGCAAGCCAAAAUUUUGAAAUUUACAUAGCAGAACAACAUUUUGUGAAAAACCCAAAAGCAAAAAAUGAUGAUGAAAUGAAUCCAAGGAAAAAGAAAGAUGAAAUUUUGGGAAGUACCUGGAGGACGUUUUGGCUUAAGAGGGAGUAAUGGGGGCCUCUCAUUUCUGUGACGCCAUAGCUUCGAGGUUUUUCGGGACGGUCUUCGUUCUCCUCGAAGUACUUCCAUCUGUACGCCGCCAUCGUCUUCCUCCUCAGGAAUCGAGCUCACAGGACGAAUCAGAGAUUGAGAGAAUUGGAGAAAAGGAAAGGGGUGGGUGUGCACGGGUGGAAUUCGGGGAAGACGAAGAUGUUUUUAUUUUUUUUAUUUUUUAUUGAAUAAUUUAUUUUUGAAUUUUUAAUUUUCAUAUGGACUCUUUAAUGACAUGGUAUCCGGUCAUUGUCCAUAUGGACGCCACAUUAUCAGUUAAUAGGAGAUUUAACAGUUUGACUAACGGAUGUAUGAGAUUAUUCCAAAAUUUACACUUUAAGUAUGACUUUAAAACGAAAAAAACUUAAUGUACUAAAUGUUGAAAAUCACGAAAUAUAAAGGUAGUAAAUUGAGAUUUACCUAAAAAAUCAAUUGAAUUACCUUCUUUCAAUGUGAAAAAAAGUAUCUUUGACAUUCACAUUGCUACAUCAUAAAGUACUUUUGAAAACCCGGACCGCACACUGUUCACUUGUAACAUAAUUAAAUACCCAUUAAGUCAUUAGUUAAAGUUUAGUAGGUUGGGCUGAAACGUGCCUAACAAAUGUUUUCAGUCCAAACAAAUUGGCCUUAAAGGUACCUAACAAUUUGUUUGACUUUUUCAGUAAAUUAAAAUCAGGCCUUAAAGGUACCUAACAAUUUGUUUGACUUUUUCAGUAAAUUAAAAUCAAGGGAAAAUUAGGUUCACAUUCUUAUUUUUGUUACUCCAUUGAUUAAAAUUCUAUUCAUUUUCAAUUUUUCUUCAAGAUCUUUGGUAUUAAUAACAUCAUUAAUUAUUUGAAUAAUAAAAUAUUUUUAUUUUUAAAUAUAUUCAUUUAGUGUUAAAAAUGCUACAAUUAGUAUAUUUAUAUUUAUGGCUAAAUUUUUUAUUGUAUAUUUUUAUUUUUAGUUUGUACCUAUUUUUAAUUUGCAAAUAUUUUUUAUUUGUACCCAUAUAUUAGUUUCUUUUUGUGCCUAAUUUUUUAAAGUUUUAUUUGUGUUUGUAUCUAUGUGUAUACCUUCACGUGACAUUGUAUAUUUAAUUAAUGAUAUAAAAAUUACAUAUGGUAUAUUUAUGUUUAUGCCUAAACUUUGUAUCAUAUAUUUAUAUUUUUAGUUUGUACCCGCUUUUAAUUUGCAACAUUUUUAAAAAAAUUGUAGUAUUUUCUUUUUAGUUUUAUUUUGUACUCAUGUAUUAAUUUCUUUUGGCACCUAUAUUUUUAUAAAAUUCAUUUGUACUCAUAAUUUUUUAAUCUUUUAUCUGUAUCCUAAUUUAUUUAUAAUGUACCCAUUCUUCUUUAUUAAUGUACCACAUUGUUAUAUGUGAAAUGUACCUAUUUUUUUUGUAAAAUGUACCAAUUUUUUUAACACUAUGGAUACAUUCUUUUGCCAUUUAUUAUUUCUUAUUUUUAAAUAGUUUUUAUCCAUUUAUUAAAUCAAAAUGUUUGAAUUUUUUUAUUGUAACCGUUUCUAAUAGUAUUAUAAUGAGGAAUUUUAAAUUUAUAGGAUUAUAAAUCUCAUAAAAUAUCAAACAAUUAAUGUCAAAAUUAUGAAAAUAUAAAUAUUAAUAGUAAUAUAAUGAGGUGUACAAUGUCAAUGGACUUUGAUCAAACUUUGAAUACUAUUAAGGUUUUAAUCAAAGAAUGUUAAAGAUUAGGGACCGCAUCCAAAGUAUCCCUAAAAUUAAUAUUUGAUACUCUUUGUUUGUUAUCUUUUUAAUCUCUUUCCUUGAUAAAAUUUUGGUUAUACUUGUAUUAAAAAAAAUGAUUAUACUUAGCAUUAGUAUACUAUCAUAUGAUUUUAGAAUGAUAACCGAAUUUGAUCGUACAUAUCAAAUUUAUAAUAAUAUUCAUAAAAAUUAUUAUUAUGGAUGCGUAAGAUUUAAGAAAAUAAACUCAAUUAAUUUAUUUAUUUUAUUGCAAUCAAAAUAAACCUACUUUCCACACAAUAACUUCUUAAUAACAAAGCAUUUAAGGAAACAGUUAACUUUCUAUCUAUAUAUAUCCAAAGGAAGGUGAUCACAUUAAGAAAACUGUUCAGUUUCUAUCUAUAUAUAUAGAAAGGAAGUUCACUUAUACAUUCGCCUAUUGAAAGCAUAGUUACAUUUCUAUAUACAGCUCUUUCUCUUUCUCUCUCUCUCUCUCUCUCAAAGUGAUGAUAUAAAUAGGGUAGUGCUAUCCAUACCCAUUUUUGCUUACCACACACACUUCUUAAUUUUCGACUGUCAAAUCAAAUGAAUUGAAGAAGAUCAUUGACUAAAAAUUAAUAAGGUAUGUAGGAGGUAAAAAUGAGUGUGCGAGUUACACUUUCUCUAAAGAUACAUUGUGACUUAUAAAUUGCUUGCAUGAAACAGGUGCUUGAUAAGAAGAAAGAAAUAAAGCAUAUUGAAAAAUGUGGAAGCUUAAGGUUGCAGAUGGUGGCAAUGAUCCAUACAUCUACAGCACAAACAACUUCGUGGGUAGGCAGAUAUUUGAGUUUGACCCUGAAGCAGGAACUACCGAAGAGCGAGCUAAGGUGGAAGAAGCUCGUCUUCAUUUCUACAAUAAUCGCUAUCAGGUUAAGCCCAAUAGUGACCUCCUAUGGCGAAUGCAGGUAUACUUUAAUUAGUUUGUCCAAACUUAUAAUGUUGUCAAUUAGUUUACUACAAAUAAAAGCCACAAUUUGACAAGAAUAACAUUUCCCACCAAUAUGAACCUAUGAUACUUAUUUGAUCAUGUUUCUACUAAAUGUGAGUUCUAGUUAUCUUGGUUCCACCCAUGUAGUUUUCAAUUAGAAACAAUACAUGUGCCCACUCUAUAGGUGCACCUACUUAUCCACCACUUAUUAUUAACGUACCGUAUAAUAAUUGCAUAAUCAGAGACGUUUUUUUACUUUUUCACAUCAUCUAAAGAUUUUGUUUGCAAAAAAAGAAAAAAAAAUUUAAUUUAGAGAUUGUUUAGUCAACCAUAUGUAGGAGAGCACAAUACGAUGAAAGUUGUAAGCUAUGUUCGUUGAACAUGAUCAACGGUUUUGGUAACAAGUAACAUUCUCAAGAUGAAUAUACCGUUCUUGGUACUAGGAUUUAAUAAUAUUCGUCUUCACGUACUUAUGUUCGAAUCUUGUAAUGUCGAGUUUGAUACCGAUUUAUUCCACACCCCUUAAUAUAAAUAUACCCGUUCUUGGUUGGGGGCUUUUGGGCUUCUCUCGAUCUUAUUCCUAGUUGGGGAAAAGAAAGGAGCCUUGUUCGGCAGGUGCACAUCAAGUUGUAAAAAGAACAAACCACCAAACAAACAAACAAAUAUCUACUUCUUGUUUGUCUUGUUUCUGGUACUUACAAGUUUUCAUUUCCUAUCUGAUGGGCAACACCAUUAAAAUUUUAGGGUUUAAGAACAUUUAAUUAGUAAUAAUAACAUCAUCAUAACUUUAAUCCUCUCAUUAGUAUCGCUCUCAAUUUUUUGUUCACUAACCGACAGUUCCUAAGAGAGAAGAACUUCAAACAGACAAUUCCCCCAGUGAAAGUUGAGGAUGGAGAGGAAAUCACAUACGAAAAGGCCCACCGCUGCAUUGAGAAGGUCUGUCCAUUCUUUCAGCCUUGCAAGCUAGUGAUGGCCAUUGGCCGGCAGAAAAUGCUGGCCCGUUGUUUUCCUUCCUCCUUUGGUGAGCAUUUACUAUUUUACUAUCAUGUUAUUUGAAUCUCAUGUCCCGUUUUGGGCUUAAAAAUAUAUAGCACAUAUUUCUCGAGUUUUUACCAAAGUCAAAUUUAGGAGUUUACUAAUUACUUUCCAAUUCCUACUCAAAAUUUGCAGGUCAUGUGCACUUAACAUUACGGGACAUCUUAUACUAUACUCCCUGCAGAACACCGCAAAGAAAAUUUUGCGUUACAUAUACUAUCAUCAGGUACAUAAAUAUAUUAUAAGAUUAUAUUGGCUUGUUCACCCAAGAUUGUAUCAAAAUUUUAAUUUUUCAAAUGUGCUUGUUUGUGUUAAACUGACUAACAAGGGUUGUAGUUGCCCAAGAGUUUUUCCUUCUACAUCCGAAAGUCCGCUCUAUAUAUAUUAUAUAUAGAAAAAUAAAAUAAAUAAAAAAAACUAAUAAAAUAAUGCUAAUUAAUAAUCAUCUACUUUUCGGGUAAUUUCAGAACCAAGAAUGUGUGUUCGGAUUACACAUUGAGGACACAGCACCAGACUGAACAGCUCUUCAACUAAUUGUAAUGUAUCUUGGAGAAAGUGAUGUGCCAAGACAAGCUUGUGCAAGAGCUCAAUGAUCUUGAUCAUGGCAAUGUUACCCACAUGGCUCUUGGUAAAAACUGCUUCGAUGCCUCUGAACACCUAGUAGAUUGAUAUAGGCUCAUUAAUGUUCUUAAAUAGCACAAGAGACGCAAUGCAACGAACAUAUUGAUAGCUUUUAUCUAUGCCAAUAUAUGGCUGAAUUACAGGAAUUAAAUUUUGCUUCGAUAAGGACAAAUAUCGACUAAUCGUAUACAAAUGUAAUCACUCAUUAAUUCUAAUUUAAUGUUAGUUAGACCAACAAAACUAACAUUAUGUUGAAUACACUUUAAUAGUGGUGGGCCCCAUUAACUAGAUAAGUAAUAAUUGAAGAUGAGGUCAUAUAAUGUGUUUAAGUUUUAUUCUCAAUGAACAUAUUUGGUUAUGAUGGGCUGACUAGUUGUCAAGUUUAGUAUAGUGUGUUGAGCUGCACACCAAAGGUUUGCUUUCAUAUCUGCUUAAUUAUUCUUGGUAGAUACUGGUGUGUUUAGUGUUACUUCAAUACAGAACUGUCACCUUCUAUUCUUCCUUAUAUCCAGUUCACAUCCAACCAAAAGCAGUACAAAUAAUUAUCUUCACAUGUUGAUUGAUUUAAUGUCUCUCUCCGCCUCAUACAUCUUUCACACAUGCAAAUCAGGAAAAAAUGUGUGCUCUGUCAGGAUAUUUUACAAUGCCUAUCAUAUGUAUCUGGCAAAUGAUUUCGUUGGUGUCCAAAACACCUCUCAUACUACAACAAAAUCUUGCCGCCUCUCUUAAGAGGGAGUGUUUUCUGGUAAAUGAGUUUAAACUUGAUAGUAUUAAUAGUUCAAUGUCUUGUUUGGUUAAAGUUGCAGUAAUAUGAUCGCCGUGACAUCUACAAAACAUCCUUAAUACACUUUCACAUGUUGAUUAUGUACAGAGCCUCUUCUUAAACUGCGUGCCCGGUUACAAGGCUGAUCGAGGGCUCUUGAACAUAUGGAGCAAAAAUUAUGUGAACAGGCAGUGUUUCAAUUGUUGAAAAGGUGUAUGCUGCUAGUGUUAGGAAGUCUGGUUAAUUGCCCUUCCAGAUAACAGACUUUAUGACCUGACAUGGGAAUGAAGAUGCCGCCACUUUGUUAAUACAGUAUAGUGAUACGAUGUAAUUGUUUCUUGACGCUGCAGAAGUUCACCUCUAAAUCAUAGUGUCAUUCGAAUCUUCUAAUUUAUGAUACAUGCAGAGUUUUGGCAGUAAAACAUGGGAUACGCUCAUUGAAGCUUUGCUUGCUUCAAUCUAACUGAUGUUUGACCCAGCUCGCUAUAAACAUGACUGUAAGAAAUAUCGUUUAUAUACAAUCAACUUUCAUAUGAAAAUGUAAAUUGAGAAGCUGUUCUAAUAUGACUUUUUAUUGAAAUUUUAAGUCGAAGGACCAAUCCGUCGGGCGACUUGCAAUAAAGCAUGUACCGGCCCACAGUUUCCAAAGAUCGGUGGACUUUCUCUAUCAAGACCGAUGGAUGGCAAGUUUCUGAUUGCACUGCCAAGAGGUUGUAAAAGGUAACAAGAAUUCAACUUAGUUGUCUAAAAAAUGUUACUCAUUGUUCUCAACCCAAUAACCCCAUCUACAGUGUUUGCCUUGCUUUUAUCGAGCUGCCACCAGAGAUAGUGGUGAAAAAAUGGAGCCUGACAGUUAUACGAUGCCUGUCAAUGUCCAAUUCCCAACAGGUGACGAACAAAUUAUUUCUGACAGUCAUAAGAUAUGAUUUGAGUUGCAUUUUGUUGCCUAAUCAAUUGGAUCCUAAUGCAUGCUGCCAUUGACUUUAAAAGUUUGAAAACUUUUAACAUUUCAAUACAGUUUUUCUUCAGUUGCAUGGUCUAUUUAGGUCUCUCUAGUCAGUGUACAAAUCUAACUGUUUUUUCAUUGUAGAGUAAAGGAAUGGUGGCUUAGGCAGCCGGAACCAGCAGACAGCAGAAUGGUUAGAAGUUAAGGAAAUUUAAAAAAGAAUUGGAGUCAUGUUGUCGAACUUAGCCAGAUGCGUAACAAACUACAAUUUUUCAAAUCAUUAUUAUUUAGUAAAUACUUACUAGGAUAUUGUCCUUUUUUUCCCCUCAGAUGUUGAAUCCCACAGAAUUCUUGGCGGACAUUGUGGUUGAGCAUGAAUACGUUGAGUGCACUUCAUCUGCAAUCCAGGCUUUAGUUUUGUUUAAGAAGUUAUACCCUGGCCAUAGGAAGGAAGAGAUUGAUCAAUUUAUUACCGCUGCUGCACUGUACCUUGAAAAUGUACAAAUGGCAGAUGGUUCAUGGUAUAUCAUAUGAUUAAAUCAAAAUUUGAUUAUAUAAUUUUCUUUCAUUAAAAACUAGAGAAGAAAAAGAACUUAGUGAAGAAACGUUUGCACAGGUACGGGAAUUGGGAGUUUUGCUUCACAUAUGGUACCUGGGUUUGCUCUUGGAGGGCUAACUGCUGCUGGUAAGACCUUCAACAAUUGUGCAGCCAUGCGCAAAGCUAUUAGUUUUCUACUCGCAAUCCAGAAAGAGAAUGGUGGUUGGGGAGAGAGCUACCUUUCAUGUCCAAAAAAAGGUAAAAUAUGAGAGGUGGAUUAUGAUUGAAGCUAGCUGCAAGUAUUUCUUAAUUAAUCUCAUUGUCUUGGACUAAAGUAUUUCACUCUAUGGCGGGUGAUACAGGAGUACGUUCCUCUUGAAGGAAACCGAUCAAAUUUAGUACACACAGCUUGGGCUAUGAUGGGUUUGAUUCAUGCAGGGCAGGCGGAAAGAGACCCCACACCCCUUCAUCGUGCAGCAAAGUUGAUAAUCAAUUCUCAGAUGGAAAAUGGUGAUUUUCCUCAGCAGGUAUCUUGCUUACCACAUUAGUUCCAACCAUAAUUAAAAUAAAUAAAUAAAUUGCCUUAGUAUUACUUGCAUUGCAAGCUUGACGAGUACAAAUAUGAAACACAAAAUAGCACAUCAUGUUGUGUUUGUCUAUACGUAUGCUCAAAUUUUUACUUGAAACGUUGUAUAACUUCUUGUUGAAGUCCCACAUCGGUGGGUUCAAAGAAACCCAAUGGGUUUAAACAGGAUUACCCUACUCUAACUAAUGUUGAGGCAUUUUGUGGUAAAACCUCACACAUGACAAAUUGAGCAGGUGGUUAAGUUGGGACAAUAUCGGUGUCGUUAGAGUAGGAUGAGCCUGGCAAUCCAAAAAUCCAACACUUCUAACAACUAAUUAUAUAUGGCAGGAAAUCACUGGAGUAUUCUUGAAGAACUGCAUGCUACAUUAUGCAGCUUAUAGAAAUAUCUUUCCCAUGUGGGCACUUGCAGAAUACCGCAGGCGGGUUCCGUUCGUUGAUGUCUAAGCUUUGCAGCCAUGUACGUGAAGAAAAUAAUGUUUUGAUUCAUUUGAAAAGCUUUGUAUUUCAGUGUAAAUGGAUUAUAAUAAGCUCAUAGGUUUCAUGUGUGCCAUCUGUCAUGUUGGAUGAGUCACUUAUAAUCCAUGUGCAUUGCACAUGAUCAGUUCUAUUUGUUUGGUUAUAAGCCUAUGGCCUCUCACACCUUACAUGCUUGUAAUGCUUUACCGAGAAUUAAGGAAUUGGUGUAACAGCACCAUCAUCUUCUACCUCUCUCCCUCUCCAUUGUUCUCUUCAACUUUCUUCAUUUCAAGUUCUUGUUGAAUGUUAUUGCAGUAAAACCAUCAUAAACCACCCAAAUUACAGAAUCUAAUAUGGCCUCAGAGCCUAAGUUCGAUUAAACUUUCAUCUGGGAGUGAAUCUGUGCUUGUAGAAUCAAGCUCACAUUGAGCUUCAUCUCUGCAAUACUGAGGUUUAUAAAGACUGAAAUCCGUCCCAAGUCUAACAUGGCUGGAUCAACUAGUUCUGAACUUAGUACAGCAGUUUUCAAUGGUGAAAACUACGAACUCUGGAGAAUCAAAAUGAACACCAUUCUCAAUCUCAUGGACCUUGGGAUCUCAUUGAGAAAGGGUUUGAAGUUCCUGAAUCGAAGAAGGAUCUGGCUAAAAGAGCCACUGAUGCAAAGAAGGAGGAGGAAUCAAGCACUCUAGCUAAGGUGCUGAUGAAGGAUGCCAAGGCCCUUGGAUUGAUUCAAGGAGUCGUCUCUGGUCAAAUCUUUCCCACAAUCUCAGACGAAGAAACAUCAAAGGGAGCUUCGGAAAUAUUACGGCAAGAAUUCAGAGGUGAUAACCAAGUUAGAAGUGUGAACUUACAAGGAUUACGUAGAGAUUUUGAAUACGCUAGAAUGAGAGAUGAUGAAUCCCCUUAUGUGUAUCUUACUCAUUUGUUUGAUAUCAUUAAUCAAAUGAAGAGUUAUAUAGAGAGAGUAGUACAAAAAUUGCUUACUAGCCUGCCUAGGUCCUGUGAUUCCAUAUGUUAUGUGAUUGAGCAUUUUAAGGAUCUGGAUACGCUAAAAGUGCAAGAAGUUGUUGCAUCCUUGAAGGGUUUUGAGCAACGGUUGGAUAGGAAUGCUGAGAGCUCCACUGAGAGAUCUUUUGCUAGUUUGAAUGUAGGAUCAAAAUUCCCUAAACUAGUGGUUUUUCUGGCAAUCAAAGGACAAUAAAGAAUUGGAAAAAUAAGGGGAAUAAAUGGGAAAAUAAGACACUUUUUGUACCAAAACAAAUUGCAGGACAAGAGUAUAACAUGAACGCCUGUAAGCACUGUGAGAAGCUUCAUUAUGAUAAAUGUUGGUUUGAAGGAAAGCCUAAGUGUACUAGAUGUGGCAAGUUUGGUCAUGAAGCUAGAAAUUGCAAUGGAAACAAAAAAUUGUGCAGAAGGCAAAUUAUGCAAAUCAAGUGGAUGAACUUGGAACUCUUUUCUAUGCAUGUAAUGCAGUCACAUAGGUGAAAGUUAACAGCACAUGAUACAUUGACAGUGGUGUAGUAAUAAUAUGACAGGAAAUGAGAAGUUUUUGGUUGAUGUGAAGAAGAACCUCACUGCUUGAGUGAAAAUGGCAACUGGUGAAAUUGUCAAUGUUGUUAGUAAGGGGACUCCUUGUAAUUGAAAUCAAGCUAGAAAGAAAACACAUUCAAGAUGUGUUAUUGUUGCCCGGAUUAGAGAAAAAUCUUCUAAAUGUGGGACAAAUGAUGGAACAUGGGUAUUAUUUGCUGUUUGGAGGAGGUGUGGUUAAUGUAUUUGAUGGAUGGAGCAUAUACAAUCUGGUGGUUAGAGGCAGAUGACCGGUAACAGAUGCUUUCCAUUACUAUGGUACUUGCAAACUCCAUGCUAUUGAAGAUAAGUGUCUCACAUUGCUCACAGAUUUGGAACAAGAGAUUUAGUCCCUUGAAUGGAAGAAGUCUUACUUUACUUGUAGAACAAGACAUGGUUCAUGGAUUACUUUCACUAGAGGAAUCAAUGGCAGUAUGUGAAGGAUGCAUGCUUGGCAAACAGCACAGAGAUGAGUUUCCAAGAAUGGCUAAUUGGAGAGCAAAAUUACCCCUGGAAUUGGUACUCACAAACAUUUGUGAUCCAAUGCAGAUGGCUGCACAAGAAUGGGUUUAUUUCUUGAGACACAAGUCAAGAGCAUGUGAAUGCUUCAAGGAAUUUAAAGCUAUGACCGAGUAACAAAGUGGUUAUAAGGUGAAAUGGCUUAGAAGUGACAAAGGUGGUGAAUUCAUGUCCAAUGUAUUUGUUGAAUUCUGCAAUUCCACUAAAGUGCAAAGGCAAUUGAUCAUGUUUUAUACUCCACAGCUAAAUGGUGUUGCUGAGAGGAAAAAUAGAACUGUUGUGGAGAUGGCCAAGGCAAUGCUACAUGAGAAGAGCAUGCCAUAUCAAUUUUGGUUAAAGCAUCACAUAUUGCUGUCUAUUUGUUGAACAGAAGCCCUACUAAGGCUUUUGAUAAGAUGACUCCAUUUGAAGCCUACAAUGGAAGGAAGCUAGGAAUUGCACAUCUCAACAUUUUUGGCUCACUAUGCUAUGUUCACAUUCCCUCUAACUCGAGACACAAGCUAGAGAGCAACAAUCAUAAAUGCAUUUUUGUUAACUAUUUUACUAGUGAGAAAGGGUAUAGACUAUAUGAGCCUCUCUAAAAAAAGAUCAUACUCUCAAGAAAUUGUAUUUGAUGAAGAUAACUGCUGGAGUUGGAGUGAAAACUCUGAGGGAGAUGUUAGUGUUCCAAUCCUUGCUGAGGAGGAAGGAACAACUAGUAAAUAUAUUGAAGGUACUACCAAAGUUGAUGAUACUCAAGUUUCAACUCCUUUUACUGAACAAAGUAAGGAUAGUCAAGAUGCAUAUGGUGCCAGCUCACAGAGAGAUGUGGAGUUAUCACAAAGUUAUGACUUCACUCCACAAAAGUGGAGGAAUUUGAUUGAUGUACGUGCACACUACAAUGUAUGCAUAAUUGAACCAGACAACUAUGAGGAAGCUGCACAAGAUGAUUCAUGGAAAAAAGUUAUACAAGUUGAAAUUGACAUGAUUGAGAAGAACUACACUUGGGAUUUGGUGAAUGGACCAUGAGAUAAACCUAUUAUUGGUGUGAAAUGAGUCUACAAGACAAAACUCAACCUUUAUGGUACUCUAUAGAAGAACAAAGCAAGAUUGGUAGCCAAGGGAUAUUCAUAGAAGCUUAGAGUGGAUUUCAAUGAAACGUUUGCCCAUGUGGCAAGGCUUGACACAAUUAGAACCUUGAUUGCCUCAGCAACUCAGAAGUGUUGGAGUCUCUAUCAACUUGAUGUGAAGUCUGCAUUCUUAAAUGGAGUACUUAAAGAGGAAGUGUAUGUGGAUUAACCAUUGGUUUUUGUGAUUAAAAAUGAGGAGGACAAAGUAUAUAAGCUGAACAAGGCUUUUCAUGGAUUGAAGCAAGCACUUAAAGCAUGGUAAGAUGAGGUAGAUGCCCAUUUUAUCAAUGAUCGCUUUCAGAAGAGUCCUAGUGAAGCUACAUUUUAUAUCAAAAGAAAUGGAACCUCAGGUAUCAUCAUUGUAUCUCUUUAUAUUGAUGACAUUGUCUACAUUGGAAGUUGUCCAUUAAUGCUUGAGAAAUUUGAAAAUGUUAAGAUAAACCACUAUGAGAUGACAAACUUUUGGAUUGUUGCAUCAUUUAUUGGGCAUGGGAGUUGUUCAAACUAAGAAAUUCAUUUUCAUUCAUCAAAAGGAAUAUACAUUGAAACUGCUUGAGAAGUUUGGCUUGAAGGAUUGUAAAUUAGUGGGAACACCACUUGCAGUGAAUGAUAGAUUGAGCAAAAAUGAUGGCACUGAACCAGCAAAUGAAUCUGAAUACAAAAAUCUUGUUAGAAGUAUGUUGUAUUUGAUUGCCAUAAGGCCAAAUAUUAAGUUUGCUGCAAGUCUGUUGUCUAGAUUCAUGCAUAAUCCCACAAAGAAACAUAUGGGAAAAACCAAAAGAGAGCUAAGAUACAUUUAAGGAAGUGUGGAUCAUGGAAUUGAGUAUAUCAAAGGGAAAUCAACUUUACUAAUAGGCCAUUGUGAAAGUGAUUGGGAUGGUAAUGAAGAUCUUAUGAGGGGUACCUCUGGAUAUGCAUUCAACCUCAGUUUAGGUGUGUUUUCUUGGGCUUCAAUUAAGCAGAAUAUUGUUGCACUUUAAAAUGUAGAGGCAAAAUAUGUUAGUGGUGCAGAGGCAACAUCACAAGCUAAAUGGCUGAGAUUUGUAUUGGAGGAUUUUGGUGAAGAACAAAUUAAGCCUACUCUAUUGCUGUGUGACAAUAUAUCAGCAAUUGCCAUUGCCAAGAACCCUGUCUUUCACCAAAAGACAAGGCACGUUCACAGAAAGUUUCACUUCAUCAAAGAGGCAAUCCAACAAAAUGAAAUUGAGUUGGUAUGCUACAAAACUGAGGAACAAAUGGCAGACAUUCGUACAGAGGCCCUACCAAAGGACAAGUUCUUGUACAAAUGGCAGACAUUUGCAGCCAUCUUCAUGAAGAAAAGAAUGUUUUUGAUUCAUUUGAAAAUCUUAAUUUUGUAUUUUAGUUUAAGUGUUUGUAAAUGGAUGGUCAGGAUUAUAAGAAGCUCACAGUCUGUUAUAUUGGAUGAGUCACUUAAGUGAUCCAGUGCAUUGCAUAUGAUCAAUUCUGUUUUGUCCGGUACUGGAGGUCCAGUCUAUGGCCUCUUCCACCUUACAUGCUUGUAAUGCUUCACCGAGACUUAAGGAAUUGGUGUAACAGCACCAUCAUCUUCUACCUUUAUCCCUCUCCAUUGUUCCCUGCAACUUUCUUCAUUUCAAUUUCUUGUUGAAUAUUUUGCAAUAAAACCAUCACAAACCACCUAAAUUGCAGAAUCUAAUACCAUUGCCUUCCAUAGCCUAAUUAGGUUUUUUCUGUAUUGUGCAGCUCUUGCAUGCGGCAUAAAAUAUUAAGCAUAAAAGCCAAUUGUUGAAAUUAUGUAUUAUACAAAAAGUGUAUCAAUCAGAUGGGGAAGUAAAAUUUAGCUAUUUGGAAUCAAUGAAAUUAUAAUUCUUGUUCAAACUGAAAACAUAUAAAAUAAAAAAUAAAAAAUAAAAAAAUAAAAAAUUUAUUUUCUUAGUAGAUGACUACAAUUACAGUAUUAUAGGGCGAAUAUAUUGUGAGAGAUGUUGCUCAAGUUGCUUUCUUAGGAAUUUAGGCCACAGUUGUUAUGAAUGUACUACAUAAAGAACAUGGAGGGGCUUCAAAUGAUUAGAUGCAAUACAUUUGAGAGAAUUUUUAAAUGACACCAAGUCCUUUGUUCAGCUUUUUCUACUGCAUUUCUAAUGUCUUUGUACUGAUUGAAUAGGUCAUUGAUAAUCUUCUUGCAGUGCGUUUUUCACAAGCUGAUGUGCAACCCAGUCGCAUGUGGGUAAUGCACGAGAGAAAAAUUGUUGCUACUACACUCUCCAUCAAGUCUUCACGGAUGAUUGUUGAAGUCUUUGAUCAAUAUAGGCAAUACACACGCAAAUCUUUGUUAGGAAUGCAUGUAAGAAAACAUAAGCUCACAAAAACCUGACAAUGGUAAACCCAAUGUGGGACAAGGCACAAAGUCUCGGAGAAAAAGGUCAGUAAUACAAAAUUGACACUCGAAGUAAUCAAGCUGUGAUUAAUGCUCGCAUUAGCGUAUGACCAGCCCAAGAGAGGUGCCUUAUUAAAAUCUUGUUAGGUUAGCGAAAUUCUUAGAAUCUGUCUCGAUGGUGAGUGGUACAGGAAUACGUUCCUCUUGAAUGAAACCAAUCAAAUUUAGUGCACACUGCGUGGGCUAUGAUGGGUCUGAUUCAUGCUGAACAGGCAGAAAGAGAUCCCGAGCCUCUUCAUCGUGCAGACCUAACUUGCAUUGCAAGACUUAUGAUGAAAAAGAUCAAAUGCAUAAUAACAUUCCAUGUUGGAAUAUGAAUAAAUUUGUAAUCAAUCACUGAAUUAUACUGCAGGAAAUCACUGGAGUCUUAAGCACGAACUGCAUCCUACAUUAUCCAAAUUAUCGAAAUAUCUACCCGCUCUGGGCUCUUGCAUAAUACCGCCGGAGGGUUCCAUUGCCUUCCAAAGCCUAAACGAAUCGUCGGUUGAAAUGUACUUUUACUACUUUCAUGUCUUCUGGUCAUUUCUAUCUUCAACGGUGUUGCUUCAUGCACGGAUGUUUACAUCGAUGUAUCUACGAAUAAUUAAAGAAAGAAAAGCUUUGCGUUUAUCCCUACUGAGCUAAAUUUUCUCAUUCUGUUACUAUUUAUUCUGUUUCCAGUGUUCUUUUAUCUCUGAAUAGAUCAAAGACAAUUUUGAAUUAAUAAACAUAAAGAUUAUGAAGUAUGUUAGCAAUAGAAUUACAUGGUUUUGAGCUGAGUUGAAGGAGCUCUCAUACAGGUUUAUAAACAUCAGUUCAUUAUCCGGAGGACUAAGCGUUGAACAAUAAACAAUCAUUCAGAGGGCGUCCAAUACCUGGCAAGGAUAUUCUCCGAGGGCCCAAACGGGAAAAAUGUUUCGGUAGGCUGAAUAGCUGAUCGUACAGUUCUUGUUGAAAACACCAGUGAUCUCCUGUAUGGGGAAUGAAAACAUUACUGGUAGUGCUAGUUACAAAUAGGUUGCAAAAUUAGCUAUGCAGUUUCGAAUUCACAGGGGGUUAUCAAGGAUUCACGAAAUAUCUUUUUUGUUUUAUAAAGGUCUUUACACCUGCAUUUCUCUCUGUACAGUUUUCUUCUACAUUGGCUAGAUGUGUUGAAAAUGGCAGUUAACAUGUCUAUGGCAACAGAAAAACCAUGUUAACUGGUAAUUGUAGAUUGAACAGUCAAGAAGGUACAAAGAAUUUUAUGUGAAAAAUUGAGGAAAAAGUUGGUAGAUUACCUUUCGAGGGAAAUGUCCAUUUUCCAUUUGAGAAUUGAUUAGUACCCUGGCUGCCCGAUGCAACGGAGUUGUCUCUCUUAGCCUUUCAAAGAGGCAAACAUGAGAAGAAAAUACAGGUAUUAAAGUCAGCAACAUGUGGAAGUUCAUACAGUUAUUCGUAAAACGUUCCAAAAACUAUGUUUAGCUGCAAAUCAUUGAUUCAUUAUGCAGCAGCCAGCAGCCAGUUCGAUAAGUGGAUGAAGAACUCGAAGGAUAUAUUUGAUAAAUCGCAUGGGAAGGAGAAGAGAUGAAUUUGAUAUCCAAAUGUACCUGCCCGGCACCAAUGAGGGCCAACAUAGCCCAUGCAGUAUGAACUAUAUGUGGCCUAUUGUCCUUGAGAUUUGUGUACACCUGACAUAUAAACAGUCGGCAUUAGAGUGAUGCAAGUGUAACGUAGAUCAUACAUCUUGCCAAAUGAGUAUGCGAGCGAAACCAGCAAUUGACUGAAGGAAUGAAACAAGCUCCUUGGGUAUGAAAGAAAAAGAAAGUAUAUUUCAAAUUUGAGGAAUCAUAAUCCUUGUUCUGACAUGAUAGAUAGCUUUCUCCCCAUCCACCUGAAGGAAGCUCUUUGGAUAACAAAAAGUCGCAUGCUUUACAAAUGCUAGAGCAGUCUUGCUAUGUCCUUCCCGCAGCAACCAACCCUUUUAUUCCAAACCACCCAGCAUAGGUGAAGCAUACUCCCCAGGAACCAUACCUAUCAUAAAUCUCCGUGUAAAUUGGUGCGACUACUUUCAAGAUCACUAUGUUUCUAAAUUGUCAAACAUUAGAGAGGGAGAAAGAGGUGAGAGAUUCUGUCCUACCAAACAGUCUAACAUGUUAUGUCGUUCUACUGUUGAUAAAGAUUGUUGGCAAGAUGGAAUGAUGUUCGAAUAUGCAGUGUUUUAAACUUGACUGUGAUUUACAUGUCUGACUGUCUGACAAGAGAGCAUCAUGCAAUAAAUGUGUAUGCAUGCAUGAGUUCUCAAUUGUGCAAGUCGUGGAUGCCAAAGACCAUUGCUAGCGGGAUUGCAUUGACUUCGUGGAUCACUUGGACUACACAUCGAAGUCAAUACAACCAAAACCAUUCAGCCAUCAUACAUCCAAACAUGAAUGAAAUGCCCUGUAUAUUUAUGCACGUAUUUUUAAUUGAAUUCGGAUACAAACCAAGAUCCGUCUGUUGCUUGUAUCGUUUCAAUGAACUUUGCAGCACGAGCAAUACAGUUUUCUAUUUCUGCACUCCUAUGCCCAGGACAUAAUUUUUUGAACAAUGCAAGUGCUUGAAUUGCCGCUGAGGUGCAUUCAACAUAUCUACAUCCCCGUUCCAGUCAAGAUGACUUCAGGCAUUUUUCCAUGAUAUAGGAUAAAUACAAAAUAAAGUGUACAGAAAUCUUACGGAUAAUCAAUAACAAUGUCACCAAAAGUUUCGGCAGGGUUGAUAAGCUGAAAAUAGGAUAGAGUUAAGCAUAUGCAUUAUGGAUUCAUAUUAGAUGAUGGUAAAAAACAUGAGCAGGCUAGGCAGCAUAUAAAUGAUACUUACCUCCAACCACUGGUAUGAUCUAGUUAGUUCAUAAGUUGCAAAACCACCAUCGUCAUUCUGCAAUACUUCAAGAAUCCAAAGAUUAGGGGAAUAGUUAAAUACUCAUAAAACCAAAAUGCAGGAAUAUGUAAAUAUUCUGUCAACAAAUUAAGACUUGAGCUGAGCUGCUGAUAAGAAUCAUGACAUAUUGACAAGGAGGGUUCUUUUGAAAAUAUAAAUUAUAAAGAGAAUACAGGUUGACACAUUAUGUACGGUAAGAUUCAAUUCCCGUACAGCCAGUGAUUUACCUGUAAGGAAAGGGUAAUAUUUACAGCAUCAUAAAAACGCUUUAUAUCUAAUGAGUCCCCAACUGUUUCUGCUGGAAGUUUUGAUAGUAAUAAGGCAGCCUGCACAAAGAAGAAAAUAUUAAAUUUGUAAUAAAAAGAAUGUCUGUAUGUGAAAUGCUGAGCGUGCAAGCUACCUUCAGCACUUCUGCUGUGCAGUCAGAGAUAGGCCAUCCAUGAUCGGCGGUUGAGAAUGGCCAAGCACCUUUUGAAAUGUGACGAUACCAAAAAUUCAGAUCUCCGGGACAAUCUUCUAAACCUUCAAAGCAAAAGCACUAGUCAAGCAAGGAUAAUGAGCAUAAUUGUUAAAUGAUACAGUAAAAUUUUCUGCUCACGAAAACCUGGGAAUCUUUGAUAUACUGAUGCGCUUUUCUUAAAGUUGGUCGAUACUCUUCAACAACGUUAGUUGAUAUGAUCGCUGGAAUGGCAAAAGAAGUAUCCCAUGCUUGACUUCCAUUGUAGCCCUGCAGUAAAAGGAAAAAAAAAUACAUUAGAUAAAAAAACAAUUAGCAGCAUGUCAGCAAAGUCGUAAGUUGGUAACAAACUCUAGCAAUGCCAGACCAAAUUGAGAUUGCUUCAGGUAAGAAAGAGGGAGUCGGGAAGAGAUGGGAAGAAUCUUAAAAUCAGUUCAAGAUAAUUUAAUGCUAUAACUGUCCUGCAUCUUCAUGCCAUCUUCAGCGAUCCAUAAAUAAUCAGGGAUUCUCGGGAGAUGCAAUUGAAUGCCUCUGAGUUUGGAUCCUCUGCCCAACAACAAAGCAUAUUUAACACCUACAUCAUUUAAGAAAUAGGCAAUCAAGAAGCACACAACUACAUACUGAAUGAAUCUGUAAACCAAAGCAACAUGUCAAUUCAGCAAUUCCAAUGGCAACCUUGUCAAUAUAUGUAUGGAUCUAUUGGCAGAUGAUCAUAUGCAUAAAAAUUAUUCUGAAUGCAUACCUUGUUAACAGGCCCUAUGCAUAAGUACCGAGUAUUUUCAUCUUCAUAAUGUAUAUGCUGCAUUACAGUCUUCAAAGCACUCUCCCUCAAUUCUUUUGCUGGCCAACGUGUGAAAACAGGUUCAUAAACAUAGUGAAGAGACCCCCACAAGAUAUCUUGUACCAUUGGGUGCGGAUAGUAUAGAUCUUCCUAGAAGUUGUAUAAAACAUCCAGGUAAGAAUUAAAAACAUAUGCAAAAUGAAUUGUCAUCAAUAAUUACCUGUACAACUAAAAUCCGGUAAAACAGAUGCAGAGAAAUUGUGCUAUAUUGUAUUUGAAGAGUUAUAGCAAAGCAAUCUAACAAUUAAACAUCCGUCGGACUAAAUCCCUAAAUAAAAAAUGUACUUUUACAAAUAGCUAUCAUGUAUUUCACCUGUGAAUAGCCCUAUGAAAAGUAAAAAAUGUAUAAUUAAACUCACAAGCACGGGAUCUUUAUGCAGGGGAACUAGAAAAAGCAGAGUAUAUUCAAAGGGGCAGAUGUUUCUUACCAACCUUUGCACAUAGAUUGCGAGCAUUAUUCCAAUCAACUUCAUGAUAGGGGACUGUAUAAAGCUAAUGACCGGAUUGUGGGUGUGAUAGGUCCAACAAACCUCUUCCCAUACAAAUAUGACAUGGGCAAAUACACCAUUCGGCAAUGACACCACAUUCUUCCUGUAUGUGGAAAAUUUGAAAAUUCAUAAACUGUAAAGAGGAGCAGUUAGGCAGUUAACAACAUUGACAAGUGUACGAACAUAAUAAUGUUAAUGGGACCUAUAUUAUUUAUUUGAUCGAGAUAUUUUUAUGAAAGGAGGCUUGAAUUUCUUCUAUCCUGCCUAGAAUGAACAUCUAGCAUCAAUGUCAAACGUAACGAUGUUGAUCAGAGACCUGGAUGAAAUGGAAGAGAGUAAGGACAUAGCCACACUUCAGGCGGAAGUGGAUUAUUCCCAGACCAUUCAUAUGCCUCAAGUACGUAUAACCACCAAAGAGUCAGCUAAUAUUUUCAUAAGACUACACCCUUGGUAGAAUCCAACAAGAAAAACACUGAGUUCAUACUGAAAGCCACAUUUUCCCCCAUGAAGUAACUGCAGUCACGCCACCAUGGUCUAAUAUCCACUUGCGUGCUAGUUAGAUUGCUCCCUGUCCAUCAUCAGCACCUUCACCAAGCAACCUCAAAGUGACAUAAUUAAGUGCAGUGCCAAACAUGGUACUUGGCCCCUCAAUAUGCAGACCCCAUCCCCCAUCUUCAUUCUGCAAAAACAAUUCAUCAGUGAAUUUCUUCAUUUUUCUAUGCGGAAAUUGAAGCUUUCUUAAAAGGCAUUAAUUUCAUGAAAACCAUUCUUACCUGAUGAUUAUAGAGAUAUCUGCACAUCUCACGUUGAUGCUCCUUCAAUAACACAGCAUUUAGAGCUCCAGUAAUUGAAAGUGUAAUGAUCUGUUGCAAUUGGUAAGUAAUACUUAGUCACCCAACAACUACCGAAUGGACCAAAUAAUAAAGGAAAAAAAAAACAUUCUUGGUUAAUUCAUUUUUCACUAAGAAGAAAGGCUGUGAAGUUCUGAAAUGAAUAUGCAGCCAUCCUUAGGAAUGUCAAACUUAUUUCUCAUGUUUAACCAUGACAUACAGAUUUUCCUAUUUUCAUCUUCUGGAUUACACAGUGAUUACUACUUUUCUCCCUUACCAAACCAGGAAGCAGAAACAUGGGACCCCCAUAAUCCCCAGCCCAAUGACCGUCAUGCGCCUGGAUUGUUGAAUAGAAACUGACAGCCCUUCAUAAUGUGGUUGUCACUGCCUCUUCUGUCACCUCUUCUUGAUCUUUGACUUUGAGUUGUGGUAGAUUAGUGGCACAUGGAUUCUCCUUUGCACACUACAUUUCAGAAAUAAGAACAAAACACAUACAUAAAAAAUGGAAAGUAGUGUUACAAAACACAAAUAGAUUUUCUUCUAAUGAGGAAAGAGGAUCGUAUAACUUGUAAGGAUUGCAAAGUUAUACCAGGAGAGAGCGUGACUAAUCAACAUCGCUUGUUGGUGAUGGAUGUACAUAUCAAAAGAGUGAGAAAAAAGAACAAGACUUGGAAGUGCCCAAGGACUAGAUGGUGGAAUCUAAAAGAAGAAAAACAAGUCAUUUUCAAAGAGAAAGUAAUCACCCAGUGUGUGUGGGAUAGAGAGGGGGAAGCUAACCAAAUGUGGGAUUCCAUGGCUAGUUGUAUCUGAAAAGUAGCAAAAGAGGUAUUAGGAGAGUCCAAGGGCUUUGCCCCACACCAAAAGGAAUCUUGGUGGUGGAAUGAGGAGGUACAAGCAAAGGUGAAGGCUAAGAAGGAAUGUUGUAAAGCCUUAUACAAGGAUAGGACCGAUGAAAAUGGUGAAAGGUAUAGAAAGGCGAAGCAAGAGGCGAAGAAAGCUGUGAGAGAAGCUAAGUUAGCGGCUUAUGACGAUAUGUAUAAGCGACUAGAUACCAAAGAAGGAGAGUUGGAUAUCUAUAAACUAGCUAGAGCAAGGGAAAAGAAGACAAAGGACCUAAACCAAGUGAGGUGCAUCAAGGAUGAGGAUGGAAAGGUUCUUGCUACAGAGAACGCGGUUAAAGACAGAUGGAAAUGUUAUUUUCAUAAUCUUUUCAAUGAAGGACAUGAAAGGAGUGCUUCUUUAGGGGAGUUGAGUAACUCAGAAGAGUGUAGAAACUACUCUUUUUAUCGUAGAAUCCGGAAGGAAGAAGUGGGUUGUAGCUUUGAAGAAGAUGAAGCAUAGAAAAGCAGUAGGCCCAGACGAUAUACCAAUCGAAGUGUGGAAAGUUUUGGGAGAGACAGGUAUAACAUGGCUCACUGACCUUUUCAAUAGGAUUUUGAAAACGAAGAAGAUGCCAAAUGAGUGGCGAAUGAGCACUUUGGUGCCUAUCUACAAGAAUAAGGGCGAUGUACAAAAUUGCAUGAACUAUAGGGGAAUUAAGCUAAUGAGUCAUACAAUGAAGCUCUGGGAGAGAGUCAUUGAGCAUAGAUUGAGGCAAGAGACACGGGUUUCGGACAACCAAUUCGGGUUCAUGCCAGGGCGCUCAACCAUGGAGGCAAUCUAUCUCUUACGAAGAUUGAUGGAAAGAUAUAGAGAUGGGAAAAAGGAUUUACACAUGGUCUUUAUAGAUUUGGAAAAAGCGUAUGAUAGGGUCCCAAGAGACAUUCUUUGGAGGAUUUUAGAGAAGAAAGGAGUACGAGUAGCAUAUAUCCAAGCUAUACAGGAUAUGUAUGAAGGAGCAAAGACUGCCGUAAGAACUCAUGAAGGACAAACCGAAAGCUUUCCCAUAACUGUAGGAUUACAUCAAGGCUCAUCCUUAAGUCCUUACCUUUUUGCGUUGGUAAUGGAUGAGUUAACAGGACAUAUUCAAGGAUGAUAUUCCUUGGUGUAUGCUUUUCGCAGACGAUAUAGUGUUGAUAGAUGAAACUCAGGAAGGGGUAAAUGCAAAGCUUAACCUUUGGAGAGAAGUGUUGGAAUCUAAAGGUCUUCGCCUAAGCCGAUCAAAGACAGAAUAUAUGGAGUGCAAGUUCAGUGCAAAUGGAGGCCAAAACGAGUUAGGGGUGAGGAUCGGAGAUCAAGAAAUACCAAAGAGCGACCGUUUUCGUUACCUAGGAUCUAUCUUGCAAAAGAACGGAGAAUUAGAUGGAGAUCUCAACCAUAGAAUACAAGCUGGAUGGAUGAAGUGGAAGAGUGCAUCCGGCGUGUUUGUGUGACCGCCGUAUGCCACUGAAGCUCAAGGGAAAAUUUUAUAGGACGGCAAUAAGGCCGGCGAUGCUGUAUGGCACAGAAUGUUGGGCGGUGAAGCAUCAACACGUACACAAAAUGGGUGUAGCGGAGAUGAGGAUGCUUCGUUGGAUGUGUGGGCACACGAGAAAGGAUAAGAUUAGGAAUGAGGAUAUCCGGGGUAAAGUAGGAGUAGCCGAAAUUGAAGGAAAGAUGAGAGAAAAUCGGUUACGGUGGUUUGGACAUGUGCAAAGAAGGCCUACUGACGCUCCGAUUAGAAGAUGCGACUAUGGACAGAGGUUCAGGGCCGAAGGGGUAGAGGAAGACCUAGGAAAACUUUGGAAGAGACCCUAAGAAAAGACUUAGAGUACUUGGAUCUAACGGAGGACAUGACACAGGACAGAACACAAUGGCGUUCUAAGAUUCAUAUAGCCGAUCCCACUCAGUGACUUGGAUUUUCCAAGUCUCCAACCGAGAAGUUUUCCUCACUCGGGAAAUUAAGGGAACACUACCUCAACCUACAUGCUCCACUCACAAAGCUUCAACAUACAAGCUUCAACAAAAGAAAAUUCAAAGAACUUAGCGAAGAAGGCUUUGGUGUAUUUAACACAAUACGUUGAAAUGAAGGAAAGCUUAUUUAUUGAUAUCCCCGAUAAGUUACAAAUAUGUACAUAUACUUGAGUCAAAAUAAACAAACAAGAGGGAGCCUUCACAAAGGUUGCUUAGGAGAAGUCUCAGCAGUCGGUAGAGCCCCAGAAAGAGAAGGCACCGGAGGGGGAUCAUUCGGAGCCUCAGUACUGGACAAAACCCUAGAAGGAGGAGGCAUCAGAGGUUGAUCAUUUGGAGCUUCAUUACGCGGUACAGCCCCAGAAGACGAAGGCAAUAAAUGCCUUUGGAACAAACCCACAAAUCUCUGAUGAUCAAGUAAAACCUGACCAUCAGAUUCCUUCAUCUGGUCAAGCUUCCUCUUCAUGUUUGUAGCAUAGUCAUGUGCGAGCCGGUGCAACUGUUUAUUCUCAUGCUUGAGCCCUCUAAUCUCCUGUUUGAGACUCAUCACUUCAGCCGCCAAUGAUUCAACUUGGCGGGUUCGAGCAAAUAGGCGUUGGGCCAUAUUAGACACAGAACCUGCACACUGAACACUGAGAGCCAGAGAAUCCUUAACAGCCAACUCAUCAGACCGUUUGGAAAGUAGUCUGUUAUCUUUGGGAGUGAGAAGGUUCCUGGCCACUACCGCAGCGGUCAUAUCAUUCUUCAUCACGGAAUCCCCAACGGUAAGAGGACCAGUAGGGGAGACGAAGGAUGGGCGCCAUAUGUUGUCUGGAGAAGGCGGGGCUGCCUCUUCAACAAGGUUCAAGUCAAAACGACGGUCGGAGGGGCCAGACAUUUUCAAAGGUGUUGAAGAGAGAAGAGGUCGGACAAAUCAAGAUCUUAGAAGUGCAAGAAUGGAGCUUCUACUGGUGGAUAUUCAAGUGUGCUUUGGAACUUAAUGUCAGCCCCUAUAAAAAUCUGCACUCGACGAAGCUUCAGAAAUCGAAGAGGCGCCUGCUCAGAAAUCGAAGAGGCGUUUGCUUUCUCAAAAGCUGGGCUGCUCAGAGACCACGAGGGUCGAUCUCAGAAAUCGAAGAGGCGUUUGCUUUCUCAAAAGCUGGGCUGCUCAAAGACCACGAAGGCCGAUCUCAGAAAUCGAAGAGGCUUGCUUUUCUCAAAAGCUGGGCUGCUCAGAGACCACGAGGGCCGAUCUCAGAAAUCGAAGAGGCACCUACUUUUCCAGCCUUGUCAGCACCUGUCACACGCACACUCAGCUUUGCGGAAAUUAUGGGCAUUCUGUCGAAGAUUUCUGGCGAAGUAGAAAGCACAUGAAUCGUACUGUUCAAUCACCCACUUCCCACACGCAACAGUAGCUCAUGGGUACCACAGAUAACUUUGCCAAAGUUCUCUGACAAAGUUGAGACACGUGAAGCUUGCAGCUCCCACUACAUCGCUCUGACCAAGAAGGGUAAAAGAAUUGCAAAGAAACAACACUAACAAAGUUUAGACACAUAAAUUUUGAAGGUCUAGCUACCAUAUUAUUACCCACAAGGGUAAAGGAACAGUACCACUGCUGGAUAAUUGGAAAGUCCCGGUGUGUCAACCUCUGUGCUUCGUGGCAAGGUAGACUAGCAAACAUGCCCAACCUUUACUCACAUUCGAGAAAACACUCCCAACAAGAUUGCUUGCUCCAAAAUCGAAGAGGCACCGCCCUCCGAAUCUCGAGAGCCAGACUCCCAACAUGAUUACUUUCUCAAAAAUCGAAGAGACACCGCUCUCCGAAUCUCGAGAGCCAGACCCCCAGCAGGAUUGCUUUCUCAAAAAUCGAAGAGGCAUCGUUCUCCGAAUCUCGAGAGCCAGACCCCCGACAGCUUGUCUGUAAUCUUCACACGCAACAUCAGCUUUCCAGAUACCACAGACCACUUUUUCAAAGUGCUCUGACAGAGUUAAAACAUGUGAAGCUGGCAGCUCCCACUACCGUGCUAUGACCAAGCAGGGUAAAGGAAUAGCAUUAUUACUUGAUGUUAGGGAGACUCCUAUAUAUAUGUCGACCUCCAUCCCCAACGGACAGGCAGACCUGCAAAAAUGCUCAACCCUUUCUCUUAUCUGAGAGGGCACUCCCAACGAAGCCUUUCGAAAUAUUCAGCUUUCUUUCCCCCCGAUAAUACCUCUGUAAACAAGCUAUACUAGAGCAAGAAUAUCUCAUAUCAUCAGGGUUAAAAGCAAGAGUAUCCCAUAUCAUGCUUUUUCCCUGUCUUUUCCUUUGGCCUUGUUCUUACCUGCAAGACAAGGAGAAAGAGAGCAAUCAGUCAGCACUUGGAAUCAAGCUUCCAGCCAGGAACUGACUGCCUGGAACCCCUUACCUGAUUACUUACCUGGCAUUGCUCUCGAGUACUCAUCUUCAACAUCUUAUGCUUCCAGGGAAGAUACCGCAUCUGCCUGAGGAACAGAUAGGGCAAGUGAGAAGGAUACAAGGAAGCAUGUGGAGACAAGCGUAACAGCACACGUGCCGAUACAUCCACUACUCUGUCAAAAGCAAAAGUAUCCCAUAUCAGCAGGGUCGAACGUACUCUAGAUUUGAUGGACUUGUUUUGACCCUCAAAUUCUUCAGUCGGCCUUAUACUCUGGAGGAAACCAGAAAACCCUCCAGCCCAGUUCAAGAAUAAGCCUGUGGAAAGUUACUUCUUCAAAAGCAAAAGUAUCCCAUAUCAUCUCUCUCCUCAUUUUUCUUCUCUUUAUCCUUCAUGCUGCCUGCAAGAUAGGGAGAAUGUGAACAAUCAGCCGGAGCUCUGAUUGCUUACCUUGUCUGUCACCUCUUUCAGCAGAUCCCCAGCUCGGCGACUUGGGGGACUCCUACUACAUGGUUUGUAUCUCGCUUGACCAAGCAUGAAACUACAAGUAAGCUUCAAGUGAAAUUGAUACAUUACCUUGUGCAUCUCCACCAGUUACAGAUACCACCCCUGGAUGGAGGAAGAGUACUUCCAGAGAAGAUGCCAUAUCUACCUAUGAGACAGAUAAGGCAAGUCAAGACGAUACCACACUCCGGUACUUAGAAGUUUCGUGGCUACGAGAUCAUUCUCCCACAAUAUUUCCUAAUGUCAUUUGUACUAAAUCAUUCACUUGUACUCACUCAAGGAGAGCUUGAACCUAUGUACUUGUGUAAACUCUUCACAAUUAAUGAGAACUCCUCUAUUCCGUGGACGUAGCCAAUCUGGGUGAACCACGUACAUCUUGUGUUUGCUUUCCUAUCUCUAUCCAUUUAUAUACUUAUCCACACUAAUGACCGGAGCAAUCUAGCGAAUAUCACAAAAAGUGACCGUUUUCGCUACCUAGGAUCUAUCUUGCAAGAGAACGGAGAAUUAGAUGGAGAUCUCAACCAUAGAAUACAAGCUGGAUGGAUGAAGUGUAAGAGUGCAUCCGGCGUGUUGUGUGACCGUCGUAGGCCACUGAAGCUCAAGGAAAAUUUUAUAGGACGGCAAUAAGGCCAGCGAUGUUGUAUGGCACAGAAUGUUGGGCGGUGAAGCAUCAACGUACACAAAAUGGGUGUAGCGGAGAUGAGGAUGCUUCGUGGGAUGUAUGGGCACACGAGAAAGGAUAAGAUUGGGAAUUAGGAUAUCCGAGGUAAAGUAGGAGUAGACAAAAUUGAAGGAAAUAUGAGAGAAAAUCGGUUCCGGUGGUUUGGACAUGUGCAAAGAAGGUCUACUGACGCUCCGGUUCGAAAAUGUGACUACGGGACAGAGGUUCGGGGCUGAAGGAGUAGAGGAAGACCUAGGAAAACUUUGGAAGAGACUCUAAGAAAAGACUUGAGUACUUGGAUCUAACGGAGGACAUGACACAAAUGAGCGCAAUGGCGUUCUAGGAUUCAUAUAGCCGACCCCACUUAGUGGGAAAAGGCUUUGUUGUUGUUGUUGUUGUUGUUGUAGUGUUACAAAACAUGUUAACUUCAAAACUCAUACGAUUUGGCCCAAAACCACUAAAAUUCUUCACUCAUAUUGGAAAGGGUUUAACAAAUUAGGCAUAAUUGAGGACACUAACUCUAAGAAUGGAUAAAACGCACCGACAACUUUAAGUUUUAUACAAAAACACCUCAAAGAGCUCAAUUGGAGAACACGGUAUCUCAAACACAGAUCACCCGAAAGAAAAACAUCAUUCAGACUUACAAUGCCUAAUACUACAAAUGAAAUCCUAGUUCCUACAAUACUGUGUGAAAAACCCGACCGCAUUGUUCAACAGCAUUGUCAAAUUGAGCACAGUUCUAACUGAUUUUAUACAUAAUUCAAUGAUCCAGAGCACCGCAACCAUAAUUUGAACAGUUUGCAUUCAAAUUUCAGUAAAUAAUUAACCUUUUUUCACCCAUAUGCAGUAUAUUCAAUUUCUUGAGAAAAAGUGUCGAUGAAUUGAAAAAUGAAGAAAAACCCAGAUGAAAGAACCUGAAUUGGUUCCAGAAAGCCUUGCGGGCAUCUUCAAUUUGGUGAAGCUCUUCUGGGGUUCCAGUCUCUGGGUGGAACUCCCACACCUGGCGGCCCAAGUGGUUGUUCACACUCUUCAGCCAUUGACCGCCACCUUCUCCUCCCACUAUCUCUGCCCCUACCUUCAGCUUCCACAUUUUUUACUUUGUUCUCUCUCUCUCUGCCAAUGAGAUUGUAUGUACUUUGCAUACGUCGCUAAAUCCGCGUGAAGUUGAGAACGCAUCAAUUUUUGAGAUUUCUUUCCAACUAUAAAACUACACUUUUACACUAAAAGUCUGGUACAAUUCACUUCAUUAUUUAUUUUAUCCUUAGACCUCGUUUGGCAGCUCGGACUGUACUGACUAUUUCUGUCGGAUAUGAUAAAUAGCCACCGGAUAGUACUGACUAAAUUAGUCGGGCGUUUGUUGCAGUAUCGGAUUAAUGACCGUAUUAUUUAUACUGUGUUUGGUACUGAACCGGAUAGGAUAAGAGAAAAAAAAAAUUAACAAAUCUUUCUUUGUUUGUUGAACUUUUCUCAUAUUUAUACAUAUUGAAAACCACAUAAAUUUUCAAAUAACAAAGAAAAAUAGUAAAUUCCAUACAUCAAAUUCAAAAUAUUUUCCAAUAACAUAAAAGAAGGUUCACAAAAAACAACUACAAUCGUUACAUUAUAUAAUCCAACCACAUAUUCAAGUUCAUAAAAUAUACAAAUGCAAGUUGGUUUCAGUAAGAAACAGUUUGUCCAAAUAGCCAAAACAUAUGCAUGCUGCUUUUAACAAAAUAUAUGCAUGCUGCAGCUUUUAAUAAAAGAUAUGCAUGCUGCUUUUAACAAAAUAUAUUGUUGUUGGUUUGAAAUGUCAAUUGCGGUUACUUUGUCCAAGUAACAUGAGUACGAAAGCUUUUUUCAUUGCACCAUCCAAAGACAAGAAUGUCCUCUCAUUCUGUGGCUUUUCGAAAAGAAUAUUUAGUGCCUUGAUUUGAUCCUCAAUAGACAAAUCCAUCUUUGACAAUUCUGAAGCAAUCUCAAGUUUUGGAUCCACUCCUUUCCCAAAAGCAGCUUGUAAAACUUCACCCAACUUAUCCACUGAUUCAGAAAGCAUUUCUUUAAAUGCCACAGCAAGAUCAUUAUCAUUAGCAGCUCUCUUCCUUUUCCGGGUACUUGAACUGCUUGACCGUUGAGCAACAGAAGGAUAACUAGUCUCCACCUCAUCUUCAUCUUCAUCUUCAUUAAUGUGCUCAGGCUCAUUCAUCAUCAGAGUAGGAGUUGCAGCUCCUACUCCAAUUGCUCGGUCUUUCCCAAAAAUAACAUUCAAUCUGUCAUACAAUGGAAACGAUUUUCCUAGCCAGCCCUGUACUUCUUUGUUAACCUGCAAUGCAAAAACAAAUCACAUUAUCCAUAAAAUACAAAUAAUCUUAUUUUGUUCCAGAAUGGGGCUAGAGGAUAUGGUUUGGUAGACACAAUCAUACUAUUAAAUUGUAUGUAAAGGAACAUGUUAAGUAAUCAAAUAUGUAAAGUUAAAUUCUAGUAUUAUGUUACAGAAUUACCUUCACAUAAGACUGCCAUACUUCAUUGCUAUCAACCUCAAUACACUUUCGUACAUCAUUCCAUGCAAAACCAGUUUUAUUAACCAUGUCAUAAACUAUUGCAUAAUCUUUUUUCCACCUCCUCAUUUUGGACUCAAUAUGUGGAACUGCCUUUAUAUUGGCAUUAGGACAUUUCAAAUUAAUAGCAGUUUCAAAUUGAGCCAUUGUUCCGGGUUUGAAACAACCGUUAUCACAUCGCAAAUUCUUAACAACUGCAUCCUCAAGUAUGGACAUCAAUGCAUCUUCUUCAUAUUGUUUCCAAACCCUUCUACUUCCUUUUGGUUGACUACUUUGUUCACUUUCCACUCCUAUAAUUACAUACACAAUAAGAUAGCAUAUAAUCAACAGUGCAUAUAAUUAAUAGUAAGUGAUAAAAACCAUAAGUAAAUCAUCACACUUUUUAAAUAAAUACAUAAGCAGGUCACACUUUGUUAAGUAUCAUAACCGAAUACAUAAGAAAUCACUAUUUGUUCAAAUAACAAACCAUAACCAAAUGACAACAUGCAUAUGUAAGAAAAUUUAAUCAAAUCACACUUGUGCACACCACUCAUUGUACAUAUUCAUGGCCAAAGUGUUUCUACAUGCAGUCCAUUCUUGUGUAGGUUGAACAGUCUCAAUCAUAUCUUCAUCAUCAUCACUACUUUCAGAUUCGUCCAAGUUUAGGAUUUCAUUUUCUAUUGGAUCAGCUGACAUAUGCCUUCUAAUAAGAUUAUGUAAUAGGCAGCAGGCUGUCAUAAUUCUAAGUUGUGUUUUAAUUG
This 130513-nucleotide long non-coding RNA is filed under the name Malus domestica (apple). RNAcentral describes it as "long non-coding RNA (MDOM_LNC017750)". Lineage: Eukaryota; Viridiplantae; Streptophyta; Magnoliopsida; Rosales; Rosaceae. The record is from RNAcentral.